GAAAGGACAGGUUCAUAUUUCAUGAGGAACCCAUGCAGAUGAUUGCAGAUAGUUCUAAACAUGGUAGCUUGCAUUAGAUCGACAUGAGAACCAACGCAACUCAUUUCUCCAUUUCUCCUCUUUGAUUGUGUUUCAAGUGCACCAGCAUUAUAUAUUAAGCAAAAGCUUCAACACGAUCAGAGACAUGAAAUGACCAACGAUCAUAUCAGGAGAAAUGAGAAAGUCAGAUUUUAUCACGUCCAAAAAUCCAAAAAAGGUGUUGACGAAAGAGGCUUGAAUCUGUGGGGGCUGAUUUAAAAUCGAAAAUAGAUAGGAUUAGGCUAACAACAAAUCCAGCCAGAAGGCCAGGUGAGCGGACACGGAAAACUAGGACGAAAAGGAGUGUCAUGUGAGUCAAAAGGAAAUGAGCAACACAGCACUAUUUUAUUCAAUGGGCUCCAUGAAGCUUUGAUUCAUGUUCAUAACUUUACUCUCAACAAGCUUCACUAUAAAAAGUUGGUAUCGAUCAAAAUGAAAUUUGGGGUUGUCACCUAGUUGUCACUGCAAAUUUUGCGGAAAAAACUCAACACCUGAGUUUGAAAACGCCUGGAAAUUUGACUACAAUGGAACUCAUUAACUUUACACCAGUCCUCUAUCCAACACGAAACUCGUGUUUCUGAUAAAUUAUUACUGAGGAAAACAGUAUGGCAUUCUUCUUCAGUUGGCAGGAGCUUUCUUGCAGUGAUUCUCAAGCAAUUCCAUUGUAACACUCUUUGGCCUCUCCAGCGGCAAUCCAAGAGCUCGAUCCCAUAUCAGCUGAAUGAACAAAAGUGUAUCAGUAAAAUCUAAGGCAUCAAACAGGAUCACAGAAAAUGAUAAUGACUGUAGAACAAACCUGAGAGCAAAUGCCAAUACUCCUUGAUACACCGAAAAGUACAGUAUAGUACCUAUCAAAAAGCAAUUUAAAGGAGUGUUAUCAUCUUUCCUCAUAAGUUAUGUAGUUGCUAUUGAAAAGUCAAUGUGGUAAUAUAUUAUUCAAAGAAACAUAAAUGGAAUACCUAGCUUCAGUUAAACCGUAGUAGUUCAGCAACACCCCACUGUGAGCAUCAACAUUAGGCCAUGGGUUUUUAACCUAAAAGCAGAAAUAAAAUCCAUAUUAGAAUAAGAAGCCACUCCCAGAUAGGAUUGCAGGACCAUCAGAAUUUGCAAGCAAUUGGAUCCAUGGACAAAAAUACAGACGAUAUUUUUACUACCUAAAAGACGAGCAUUAUUCUAUGUUAUUUAUGUUUUCAGCCUAGAGCAAAAGGAUAAACAACUUGCCUUGCCCAGCUGGGUAAGAACUGGAGGUACAACUUCAUAUAGCUUAGAGACCUGUAAGGUCAAAACUAGGUUAGCUAGUGAAAGAAUUGUCCACGGGAUUAAAAAAAACCAUGUGUAUUAAAAAGGCAUGGCCUUGUUAAUGUAACAUGAUCAGGAUAAAGUGACAACCAGCUGGAACAAUGGAUCAUCAGGUAAAUGCUUCAAUGCAAACUCCCUUUGACAUGUAUAUCUUGGAUCAGUUUUGCGUAGAACUCCAUGACCAAAUCCAGGAACAACCUGCAAAAUAAGGGAGUGGUGAAUGAAGAGAAAUGUGUGAAUUAAACACAACAAAAGCAGAAGCAGGACUAUUGUGAAGUAACAAUGUGAGAGGAACUAAGAUAUUUAUAGAUUUUGAAAAGCAUCAGCCAACUGUUCUUAUUUCAAAAUGACAUAAAGUCAUAAACUACCUUUCCGCUAUUUAAUGUUUUCCAAACAUAGUCUUUAAGUUGUUCUGUGGUUAUAUUCUCUCCACACUCUUCUACCACGGAUUUGAUCCAAAGGAGAACUUCCUGCAACCACAAAAUUCUGAUGAGCAAGAAGAGAAGCAAUAACAAUCAUCUACGGCAGAAAGAAAGUGAUGCCAGCAUUCAAAGGAACUUGUUUUUUGUAAUAGAUUACACAGUUGGUGAUCUUGAUGUUAGAAAUAAAUGUGAAAAACCCUACACAGAUAGCAAGAGAAACAUUUUGGUUUAUAAAUCUAUUUAUGGUACAAAGAAAAGAGGGGCAAACAAGAGCAACAAAUGCCUGAUAUAUUGGUUAAGUUUUAUAAGAUCUCCUCAUUUUUAUAUUAACAAGUGAUUUAGUCUCAAUAUCACUCAUGGACUUUGUACUCACAAUUUGCAAAAAGGUUUUUUUUAUUUCUAUUUUUAUAUAUGAAUUGCUCCAUUCAAUGGUUUUCAGUGAAGUAUUGCCUAUAAAUGAGAAACUCUUAUUGCCAGACAUGGUUUCCCACCCAUUUGCAUAGAUAUGUGACAAUGUUCGGGCAUCUUUGCUUUUGCAGUUACUAAGGAUACGUGACAGUUUGAGUGUCUAUAGCCAAUACCAAAACAAUCAGAACUUCUAGAGAGCAUUCUUGAGUCCAGAUUUUUGCUUGUCUUUAGUUCAAAAAUACAACGCAAGUUGGGUACCUUAUAAUCUAAGAGAUCCAUAACUUUCAAGUUGCAUAUUUAGAAAUCAAGCUCAUUGUCAAGUGUCAACAAUUAGAAAUCUUUAGGGUAAUAUGAUAGCGCCCACAGAAAGGGACAACCUAAGACCUUUGGUCCUUGUUCUUAAUAUAUCUUCUUCAGCACAAACUAAAAUGUUGAUCCUACUCCAAAGCCCCAGAACAGAAGAAGAAAGGACAUCAACGAAGAAUUAGGUGAGAGAGAAUAGAGAGUAAGCUGGAUCAGAAGAUAGGACUUAAGCUGCCAUACCUGAUUUGCCAAGCCAUGGAGUGGCCCAGCUAAACCAUUCAAUGCAGCUGCAAAUGAAAGAUAAGGAUCUGAAAGUGCACUAGCAACCUGAACACAGCACAACAUUGAUUCAAGGAAAACCAUAUGCAUUAGCAUUUAACUGGAUAAGAAGCCAUACACAAUACCCCUCCCUUCCCACCAAAAAAAAGGGGGGUGAGUAGGUGAAGUCCUGGAAAUGCAUAACUUGAGUAACUUACCAGGUGACCAGUAUGAGCACUGACAUUCCCACCUUCAUGGUCACUGCAUCACAUUAAGAAAAGAAAGAAAAAUUAGCAUGAUAAAAUGCUUCUCUGUUUACCACAUGCAUCACAUGAAAGUCACUAGAAUUUUCUUCAAUCCAAGAAAAGAACAAGAUAUACAAACCUAUGGAUUGUAACAUAAAGCCUCAUAAGCUCUUGCAUUUCAGGACUAUCAAAUCCCAACAUGUGUGAAAAAUUUCCACCAUAAUCCAAAGAGUCAUUCAUAGGAAUAACUUUCCCAUCUUUGUAAAUCCUUCAAGAAACACGAAAAGAUCAAGGAAAUCAAAAUCAAUUUCAUGAAAUGUAAUAUUAUAAGCACAGUGAAUUAAGUCCCGCAUAAAACACCCAACUACCAGAAAUUUGUGUUUGUGUGUGUGUGUGUGUGUGUGUGAGAGAGAGAGAGAGAGAGAGAGAGAGAGAGAUUUUGCACGCUCAUAGAUUUGUAAAAGUGGCUUAAGGAUGAAAAUAUUCACAGAGAGUUCUUGCUCAAGAAAAAAAAUUAUCCCCACAAUACAGGAGUAGCGAAAGUUUUCAAAACACUACAUUCAACACCAUGCCCCAGCCUUUUCUGAUGCUAUCAGGCACAAUAUGCAAGGUUGAAUGCUGUAUAAAAUGCUCACUGACCUUCGAUAAAUAUAUGAAGCUACUAUUGGCACACGAGCAAUCAGACUAAGAGAAUCCUCAUAUGUUGGCUCCCAGUACCUAUGAAUUUACAUUGUUAUAACACCAGCAUAACACAUAUAACACUAAUAAAUGAGGAGAAAAAUCCUAAAAACCUUACUUUGAUUUAUGAAUCCCUUUUUCAUAGGCUUUUUGAAAUUCACUCUGAACCUGAAAGACCAUCAACAAAUACAAAAAUACAAAAAUACAAGUCAACUAACACUAUUUAAUCUGUCUUCUUCCAGAUAAUAUGUUAAAUUAUUCAGUUAAUCUUUCCCCACUCCACAAUUUUAUCUCUUAGAGCCUCAAUUGGUCACGCAUGACACAGAAAAGCUCUCAAAAAGUCAUAUUAGAAAAUCAAAAACAAUAAUGGUCAUUUUGAAUUAGCUGAACUGUGAUGAUAAAUACAAUCUAAGCUAUGAUAAAAGAGGACAGAAGGUGGGCCACAUAUAUAUAAGGGUGUCAGAGCAUUUCUCUACCUGUAGGGCCAUAACACCAGUUGCAAACUGAGUCAUUGGAUGAGCAGUGACAGGUAAGGCAUCAAUGGCCUUAAAGACAUAAUCUGCAACCAAGAACAAGAGGUCAUUCGCCAUGCUAAUCACGAAUGCAAACAAAAGAAUUAAUACUUCCAGGUCAAUAAACAGUUGAAAAUCAAUGAGAGGGAUGCAUUAAACAGGACCAGCUGCCACAAGAAAUAUACUGUGCCAUCCAGCUGCUAAAAAACUUAUUAGCGGCGCAGUUUCUCAUAAAAAAAAAAAACUAUGGACCUGGAACAGAGGCACGGUCACGCAAUUCCUUCGAUAAGGCACCGACUUGCUCUUUGGUUGGUACCUAAAACAAAAGAAGAGAAGAAAUGCUAAAUGAUGGUGAGAGAAAAUUUUCCAGAGACAAGAGAUUAAGAUAACUUAUGAUGUUGUGUACCUUUCCUGUUAAAAGAAGCCAAAGAAGACCCUCUGGCAAAGGUUCUCCACCAGGCUUUGCAGCUGGCAACAAUUUUUGGCAUUCAGGAAUUGACAUGCCCCUAAAGCGAAUUCCCUGAGAAACAAUGCACAAUAACUGAAAUGUGAUGCAGGCCUAUAGUAGAUUUUUUCAAGUCUACUUAUUUUGGGAAAAAAAAAAUUGGGCUUAAUCUUAUUAUUCUAGUUUCCUAUUUCUAUUAUGACUUAUUUUAUUGGGUGUCAGUAAAUGAGUACCCUAAGGAGACAAUUAGUUUUCAAUUGGAAAUAAUGACUUGGAUUGUUUACAAGAUUGGGCGUGCUCUUGAUUUAGUCCUUUAAGAUCAAGAUUGUCUCUCUUAUUUGUGAUUUUUUUGUUUCUAUUCUACAUCAAUUUUCUUGUUUUGAUGAUUUUUCUCUCAUCCUAAAUCAAUUCGGCACCCGCUGUAAUCAAAUUGUUUAAAAUAAGAGAAAUAGAAUAGUUUAUGAUGAUUGAUUAAUUAAUAUUUAUCCAUACCUCAUCUGGAUCAAGUAAUGAAGUCUCCCACAGUAAUCCAGUCAUUCCUCUCAUCCCCCCAAGCACCUUACCAAUUCAGUGAACAAAUAAUUCAAUCAGAAGUUACACAACAAAUAACAACUGUUAUAUUAAUAGAAAUUAAACAGAAUUGUGACUUAUUGAUCUAAAAACAAACAGCAAAAGCUCAGAACUAUAAUUACCAUGUCAACAGUAAUAUUUCCCAAUUGAACUUUUCCAUACUCUGACUUAAGCUUCUUCAGGCGCUCCUGCAACGAAAUGAAAAAUAAGAAACUAUGAAUACUUGUAGCAAUCUGCAAGAACUAGCUUCAUCAGAUUUUGUACAAAAACUUGUUGCGACAAAGUUAAUUGAGUGUAAGGUGCAAGCACCAAAAAGUUAAGACAUAAGAGAAAUUAUCAUUGCUUUUUAAACGAGGAAAUACAUACCUGUUGUUCUGGGAUCAAUUCCUUCAGCUGAGAAUGAAGGUCCUAAAAAUUCAAGAGAGAGAGAGAGAGAGAGGAAAAGAAUCACUAUAAAAGAAAACGAAGCAGAUCAAAUAACAAAUUGCAACAGAAACCACAUUGGUCCGCGUCAAAAACAUCAAAACCCUAAACACCAUCCCGAUGAUUUUUAAGAUAUGGAGGAGAGAGAAGAAAAGAUGAGUACAAGAUCAGAAGAGAUGGUCUGCGUUUGAAUCCAUCUGAAAGAAUUGCUGAGGUUUGACUGUUUCUGAACCUGAUGCUGCUGCAUUAAUCCAAUCUAAUCAAAUCAAAUCAUCCUUCUAUCAAAAAAUAAAAAAAUGGAGGCUUGUAAAGAGAGAGAACAGCAGAAGUUACAGCAUGAGAACGAAGCCUGGAAAGAAGAGGAACGCUUCGAAAGAAAACCAUGGCGAGCAAUCAAUCACCUACACAGUCAGUCAAUGAAUCAAAAAAGGUUUAGGUUUUGACUAAAUGAAGAAUUGAUCAAAAACUACUCAAUCGAACGAUCAAAUCACGCAGGUGAUCAAAGUAAUACCCAAUAAUUGAAACGGAAGUGCAGAGAAAUAAAGGGAAAAAAAUACUGAAAUGAAGGAUGGAGAGAAUGUUAAUCGUAGACGAUCAAUUUUAGAUUUAUGAAAUGCCUUCGCCGUUGUUUAGUCUUAUUGAAAAUUAAACCUUCACUUGAUUGAAUAUUCCAUUCCAAUUACCAUGAGUUAAUACCGAUAUUUUUUCCCUAUUUUAUUUUGUUGACCAACCUACAAGUCAAACCCUAAUUUUAGUUUUUUUUUUUCUUCCAAACGUUGUGAAAUACUCAAAUUUGUUUUAUUUCAUUGACACGAGAGAUUCAUCUAUUGAUUAACGAGUUUUUAUUUGUUUUUAAUUUUUUUGUAUUUAAUUUAAAAAAAUGGUAUAAAACUAACGUUGGAUGUGUGUUUUUAAAAUGAUUCGAUCAAAGAAUUUAGUCUAAAUUAAUAUAUAAAUUAAUCUAAAUUGAUAUAUAUAUAAAAAAAAACAAAGGCAUUUUGAGUGAGAAAACAGAGCAACAAAGACCAAGUUCAGAUUUUCUUACCUGAGUUCUUGGAAAUUUGAGGCUUCGUCGCUUUGCUAAUUAAAAUAAUGUGGGGAGAAAGAAAAGGGGCUGGUUGAGAGAGAAAGGGGCUUGGUUGAGAGAGGCAGGGGGCUUGUGUUAUUUAUAGAGCCAAUAUAGGAAAGAGAGACCGGACACAAACAAGACCAUUCUAUUUUCUCGUGUACUGCUGCUAUCUAUUCAUGUUUUUUAAUAUAUAUAUAUAUAUAUAUAUAUAUAUAUAUAUAUAUAUAUAUAUAUAUAUUUCUACUUAAUAAAAACUAAAUUUAUAAGUUUUGUUUAUGUUUAUUAUUUCUAACUUUUCCUCUCAUCGUUUGAUUAUUACCAGCUAUUUGACCCGUAUAUCACAGGCAAUCAAAUAAUUAUUUUUUUAAAAAAUAAUAUACCAGCUUUUUCAAUAUAUUUUUUACAUAAAAAAUCACAAUCAUAAAAUAAGAAACUGAUAAUGCCUUACAAGCAAGAAAAAUCAUCAAAGACCUAAUUACAAGCUUAUUUGAUUAUUAAUGAGAAAAAAUAGCAGAAGUGGUGUUUUAUACAAAGAAAACUCAUUUUUUUCACCCUAUAUCUAUCGUCUUAAAGAUUUAAAAAAACUUGAUAAUGCCUUAUAGAUAAUUUAAAAAUUAUUAGCCAUAAGGGACGUAGUGUGAUGGUAAAGGAUUUAAGAUCUGUAUAGCAUAUCUCGAGUUUGAGUUAAGGCAUGCACCUCUUCUAAAAGCCUUGAACAGCAGAAAUUUUACUUGCUCACCUGGAUCCACAAAGUGCGCUUUCUGGAGGUGGAGUUUUCUCGAAUAAAAAAAAUUAAAAAUUAGUUCAAGAAUAAAUAAAUAAAUAAAUGUUCAAUGUGGCCAUAAAAUAAUGCAAUUAAUGAAAACAAUUGUUGUUCAAUUUGGCCAUAAAUAAAGUAAUAGAUGAGAAAAAGGUUCGAUAAUCAAGAUGAAAAAAGAAUCACCGAAUAGAGUUUCUUAUAAUAAUUAUAAUUGUCUGGCCAAUUGCCCUUUGGACAAAUCAUACAUGAGCGUGCCACAUAUUCAAAUGUCAAAGAGGUAUCGAAUUUUGACCAGGCACUUUUCAUUAGUUGGUGGUGGGCUAUUUACGUCAUAUUUGGAUAAAUAAAAGUUGAAGUCAAUCACAUCAGCAAAAAUCUGCACGUUUCCGCAGAACUGGUUGGCAGGGGAUUGUUGCCCUCGCUUUGAUUGGCUGAAAAAGGUGGCACCAAUAUUUUACAGGAGAAUCGCUCUUGAUGCCAGGUGUAAGAUGCUUAUUCUGGCAUAACUGAAGCAAAGCUCGCCUGGAGCACAUAUUGUCUGGUGGAUGAAUGCUGAUGCCCAUGUGAUGGAGAAUUUAGAACCUUGACUGUGAGUAUGAUUGUAAUUGUUUUUAAUAUAGUUAUCUUACAUGACUUGGUAAUUAACUUGGUAAAAUAAUUAGUUCAUAAUUUUUGUGGGUUAACCCAGAUCAAAAACAAAAACACAUAUUAAUAUGGUUCUUUUGAUAUAAAACAUCACAUUAAUAUAUAUGCUAGCAUAAUUAAUAAGAAAAUAUCACAUUAAUAUAUAUGCUAGCAUAAUUAAUUAGCAUCAAUAGAUUAGAAGGUGCAUAAGAUGCAUUUAUCUUCAAAUAAACAAACGUGAUAACAUAUUUCAGAAGAAAGGAUGCAUUCAUCAUGUUCAACUAAUAAUCCAGAUUUAAAAAUAACAGUUCCAGAACAAUUAAUCUAUCACAUGAUGAAUAGCUAGUAUUGACACAAACAAACAUUAUUGAAUAAAAAGGUUAUGUGUUGGAAGUGGUACUUGCAGAAAUAUUGCUCAUGUAAUCUUAUCAAACCGAAACUGCAUACAGGAAGAUAAUAUUGCUCCAAGUGCAAGCAAUUAUUAAGUUAAAGAACUCUAAAACGCGUGGGAAAGCACUGUAGCUUUCCCCACGCCUUUUAAACUUUCCCUGUAUAUAUAUAUAUAUGAUUAUAUUAUUAUAUUAUACAUAUAUCUCACUUGCUUUCCAAACUAUCUCAUGAUGUCGCUUUUUUGAAAUCUAAAAAGAAAAGUGAGAUAGUUUGGAAAGCAAGUGAGGUGUGUGUAUAUAUAUAUAUAUACAUGUUAUUAUAUUAUGCAUAUCCCUUGCUUGCUUUCUCAACUAUCUCACUUUUCUUUUCAGAUUUCAAAAAAGCGACAUCAUGAUUUUGAUAUUUUAAAUACUUUGAAAAACUACGCUGUUAUUUUUUUCUUUCUCUAUAAUUGCGUCUUCUUUUCCUUCUAUAAAGUUUAUAAAAUUAAGGGAAUAUUGAUUUAUCUAACAUGUCAUCAGCUUCAAGAUAAUUAAAAGGACAUGCAAAGAGGCAAUAAACUUUCACGUCUUCAAGUUUCAUUUAGACAAAGUCAAGCCAGCCAGUCUUUUUAACAGUGCAUUAAAUGAAUGUAACGUUGGCAUCAUUAUGCACACAUACUUGCCCUUGUGUUUUCAUUAUUUCCUGUUCUGUUUUAGUUGGCAUUUCUAUUUUGGUUAGUGUAGUUGGCAGGCACUUCUAAUUGUUUUAUUACAUGCAAUAGUGCUCUUCAAAAAUGGUUAUUUAGCAAUUUAAUUCUCUCGGCUCCCAGCUCUUUUAUAAUAUUUGAAGGUGUAUUUUUGUGCAACUUUUAUUUGUUGAGGGUUCCAGUGGGAUAUACUUUUGUUUUUGUCAGUGUAUACUAGCCAUAAUUUGUUAUGCUUUUCUCUGCAGUUCGGUUUUUCCUUUAUCAUAUCAUCUUUCAGGAGAGGACGACUUCAAGGUUAAAUUAUUUUUUUGUCUGUUGCUUUUUAAGACUCUGUUAUGACAAAUAAAUAUGUUCAUGUUGCUGUCUGCAUCUUAAAUUAUUGUGCAUGGGCUAUGCCCAAUCAUUUUCGACGUUUACAUAAAUUUGCCACCUGACAAGAACAUUUUUAUUUCGUUGAACAUCAAGUAUCUUUGCCUUUUGUGUUUGAUUAUGCAGUUUAGUGGUGCAUUCUUUUUUAUUUUCAUCGUCGCCAUGUUCUUCAAAAACUCUUCAGAGAUAUCAAGGCAUAUCACAAUUAAAAAACUGAACUUCAAAUAUGAUAGUGGCUAUCUCAAUUAUUAUUUGUUGAACACAAAAUAAUUCAAUAUUACUCUUAGGUCAGGCGUUGCAGCCAUACCCGAGAUUCUUGAGUAUAGCUUUGCAGAAAAACCCAAGAUUUUUAAAUUUUUAUUUUUUUUUAAUAUUUUUUAUACAAAAAAAUAACCCGCGGCAUCGCGCGGGUCAUAUAUCUAGUAAUAUUCUAAAAGGCGUGGGGAAAGCACUGUAGCUUCCCCACGCCUUUUAACUUUCCUCAUUAUUAAUAUAUUAUAUUAUUAUAAUUAUUAUAUUAUAUUAUAUUAUUCUAUUCUAUUAUAUUAUUUUGUUUUUUGUCCUCUAUUAUAACAUAUCCUAACAUGUGAUGGAGAAUUUAGAGCCUGAUUGUGAGUAUGAUUGUAAUUGUUUUUUACAUAGUUAUAUAACGUGACUUGGUAAUUGACAUGUAAAAUUAAUAGGUCACAGGUUUUGUGGGUUAAUCCGAGUUAAAAACAAAAACAUAUAUUAAUAUGGUUCUUUUAACAUAAAAUAUCACAUUAAUAUAUAUACUAGCAUAAUUAAUAAGAAAAUAUCAUAUUAACAUAUAUACUAGCAUAAUUAAUUAGUAUUAAUAGAUUAGAAGGUGCAUUUAUUUUUAAAUAAACAAAUAUUUAGUAACUUGACAGCAUAUUUCAGAAGAAAAAAUACAUUAAUCAUGUUCAACUAAUAAUCCAAAUUUAAAAAUAAUAGUUUCAGAACAAUUAAUCUAUCACAUGAGUAUUGACACAAACAAACAUUAUUGAAUAAAAAGGUUAUGUGUUGGAAGUGGUACUUGCAGAAAUAUUGCUCAUGUAAUCUCAUCAAACCGAAACUGCAUACAGGAAGAUAAUAUUGCUCCAAGUGCAAGCAAUUAUUAAUUAAGUAAUAUUCUAAACGGCGUGGGGAAAGCACUGUUGCUUCCCAGCUUCCCCACGCCUUUUAACUUUCCUCAUUAUUAAUAUAUUAUAUUAUUAUAAUUAUUAUAUUAUAAUUAUUAUUAUAUUAUAUUAUAUUAUAUUAUUCUAUUCUAUUAUAACAUAUCCUAACAAGUACUGUAGCUGUCUUUUUUUUGUUUUUAAUUUUUUUUAAUGAAUUUUUUUUAUUUAAUUUAGUUUGUUAAUGUUAAUUUUUUUAUUUAGUUAUCAGAUUUUCAUGACUAAGUUCCUGAGUUUGAUGGGUUAACCUGGUUUGACGAGUUAACCCGGAAUUUUUUUCUUUUUAAUUAACUUUUUUCGUUUAGUUUAGUUUGUUAAUGUUAAAUUUCUUUCUAUUUAAUUAUCAGACUUUCAUGACACGUAUUUCGGGCUUGACGGGUUAACCCAGUUAAUUCUGGGUAAACCCGCCAAUUUUUUUUUAUUUAGUCAUCAAACUUUCAUGACACAGAUCCCAGGUUUGAAGGGUUAACCCAGUUAAUUCAUAUUUUUUUUCUUUUUCUUCAUUAGUUUUUUUCUUCCUAUUGGUUUUUUUUCUUUGUUUUUUUAAUUAAUCUAUUUAAUUAUCACACUUUUAUGACACGACCUUAUAGCCAAACCCACAUCCAAUGCUCUUGGGUCCGAUGUUGCAGCCACACUCACUUAAACUUAAGUCAUGUAAGUUUAAUAUUAUUAUUAAUAUUAUAAAUAUUACUCUUGGAUCAAGCGUUGCAGCUAGACCCAAGGCUUUUGGGUAUAUCUUUGCAGAAAGACCUAACACUCUUAAAUCUUAGCCUUUUUGAUAUUUUUUAUACACGAAAAAAAAAUUAACCCGUGGCGUAUGCCUUUGGUUUUUUCUUUUCUUUUCCUUUUUAAGCCUUUUAUUAUGGACUGCACAGUGCAGUUCACAGUAAACAGGCUUAUGCCUUUAGUUUAUUUUUAUUUUCUAUAGUUUCUUAAUAUUAAAUUUUUUCUUCAUUAGUUUAGCCCAGUUGAUUCAAAAUUUUUUUCUUUUUCUUCAUUAAUUUUUUUCUUCCUGUAGGUUUUUUUUUUCUCUUUGCUUUUUCCUUUUUUAAUUAAUCUUUUUUUUUAAUUUAGUUCAUUAAUAUUAAAUAUUUUUUCUAUUUAGUUAUCACACUUUCAUGACACGGAUCCCAGGUUUGACGGGUUAACCCAGUUGAUUCAGAUUUUUUUUCUUUUUCCUCAUUAGUUUUUUUCUUCCGAUUUCAUCUUUUAAUAUUGCAUGCAGUCAACAGUGAAAAGGAUGAUGCUUUUAUUUAUUUUUUUCUUUUUUUUCUUUUUAUGCCUUUCACUGUGGACUGCACAGUGCAGUACACGGUGAAAAGGCUAAUGCCUUUCUUUUUUUUAAUUAAUUUUUUAUUUUGUUUGUUGAUAUUAAAUGUUUUUCUAUUUAGUUAUCAAACUUUCAUGACACGAAUCUUAGGUUUUAUGGGUUACCCAGUUAAUUUAUAUUUUUUUUCUUUUUCUUCAUUAGUUUUUUUCUUUUUAUAAGUUUUUUUCUAUUAUUUUUUCUUUUGAAUUAAUAUUUUUUUAUUUAAUUUAGUUUAUUAAUAUGAAAUUUUUUUCUAUUUAGUUAUUGGUUGAUGUCUUUGUUUUAUUUAGUUAUCUUAGGUUUGGCUAAUGAAAGAAUUUUUUUUUUUUACAUUUUUGCCAUUUUUAUGCCUUUGACUGUGGACUGCACAAUGCAAUCCACAGUGAAAAAGCUGAUGUCUUUUGUUUGUUUUAGUUUUUUUUCUUUUUAAUUAAUUUUUUUCGUUUAAUUUAGUUUGUUAAUGUUCAAUUUUUUUUAUUUAGUUAUCAAACUUUCAUGACACGGAUUCCAGGUUUGACGGGUUAACCUGGUUUGACGGGUUAGCCCAAUUAAUUAUGGGUAACCCAUCAAUUUUUUUUUCUGAUUUAGUUAUUAAACUUUCACGAUACGAAUCCAAGGUUUGACGGGUUAACCUGCUUUGAAAAGUUAACCCAAUUCAUUCAGAUUUUUGUUCCUUUUCUUCAUUAGUUUUUUUAAAGAAAAACUUAUGGAUUACUACAAUGUUUCUAUACAUGGCUUUUUUAUGAAUUUUUCUUCUUCUUUUUUUUUUCCAAAAUAGUCUUUGUUGAUUUUGCUUCGUAGUUUUUUUCUUUAAAACACUGUGGAUUAUUAUAAUAUUUCCCCAUAUUGUUUUUGUUUUACUACAGUGUUUCCCCUCAUAUUUUUUUAAAAAAUUAUCUUUGUCGAAUUGUUUUUUUAAUAUUGAGCUGGUUGAGAAUUCAGCUUUAAUUUUCUCCGCAUGUUUUUUUUCUAUUUUUUUCAUUUUUUUUAUUUUUUCCCAAAAUUGUCGUCUUCUUCUUUUUUGUGUUUUUUUAGAAUUGUUUUUUUUAUUAUAUUUUUUUAAUAUCGAGCUAGUUGAGAAUUUAUCUUUGUAGUUUUUUCUUUAAAACAUUGUAGAUUGCUACAGUGUUUUCCCAUAUGGUUUUUUUUUUCUUUUUUUAUGAUUUUUUUCUUUUUUUUCCAGAAUAGUCUUUGUCGAUUCUAUUUUUUUUCAUAUUGAGCUGGUUGAGAAUUUAGCUUCGUGGUUUUUUUAUUAAAAACACUGUGGAUUGCUAUAGUGUUCCCCCACAUGAUUUUUUUUGUUAUGAUUUUUUUCAAAAUUAUCUUUAUCGAUUUUAUUAUUUUUAAUAUUGAGCUGAUUGAGAAUUACAACUGUAGAUUUUCUCAUGAAACACUAUAGAUUGCUACAGUGUUUCCAUGCAUGUUUUUUUUCCCUUUCGGUUUUUUUUUAUGAUUUUUUUCAAAAUUUUCUUUGUUCAUUUAAUUUUUUAAAUAUUAAUCUGGUUGAGAAUUUAGCUUUGUAGCUUUUUCCUUGAAAACAUUGUGGAUUGCAACAGUUUUUCUACAUAUAAUUUUCCAAGGUUAUUAGGUCUGGUAUUGUAGACAAACCCACUUAAACUUGGGUCAUGCAAGUUUAAUGUUAUUAUUAAUAUUAUAAAUAUUACUCCUAGGUCAGACGUUGCAGCCAAAACCAAAACUCUUGGGUAUAGCUUUGUAAAAAGAUCUAACACUUUUAGAUUUUAGUUUUUUUUCAUAUUUUUUAUGCAAAAACAAUUAACCCGCGGUAUCAUGCAGGUCAUGUAACUAGUGUAAAUAAAAAUAAAAAGAAACAUAUGGAAAGACAGGGUCGUCCAUGUUUUGCCAUGUAGUGUUAUCCAUACACCACUAUAAGCUAAAUAUAAAAGUGUUUUUUGCCAAGUUCUAACAAAUCCUGUAAUUGAAUCUGACUAUAUUUUUAUAUUGAUCCGAGUGUGAAAAAAAAACACUAACCUAAUGAUGAUGCAUGAAACAAGAUGAAGAACCAGUUAGGGGGCUGAUCAUAAGAGUUAACUGUUGAAAAGUAAACUAACACAAAGCCAGAAACCAUCGACUCCCGAAUAAAUUUCAAUGAGUGGUAUUCAGAUCAAAUCACUAGAGCACUCGAAUUUCGAAGGCCAUAACUAAUCAAACUUGAAGCAUAUAGUAAAAGACAACUUGAGCGAAUUCCAAAUAUUCUAAAUGGCAGGUAGGUUCUCAAUUUAGCAGACUACUAAAAACAGGGGUAAUUAGCAUCUGAAUUUAGCAACGGAUAAUUCCAUUGCUAAAUUCAGUAAUAGAUUUGCAACGGAUUACACAUGUAUUAUUUUUUAAUAUUAGCAACGGAAAAUCCGUUGCAAAAUUUACAUUGAAUUUAGCAACGGAUUUUCCGUUGCUAAUUGAAAAAAUAAUUAUUUAAAUUUUAAUAUAAAACCAAAAUUACGAACAUCGUUGAUUACACUUACUAGGAUAAAAUCUCAACCGUUUAUUUUUCGCUGGCUUUUGUAAAUCUACAUCAGUACUCUCCCCCCACACCGAAAUGCAAACAGAGACCAAUUAACAAAACCAACAGAUGAAAAUUAAUGAUCUUCCAUUCUCCUUCGUCCCUAGUCUCCUUCGUCCCUAAUAACAUCGAUCCAUAACUGUAGAAAAAUCACCCUCUCUUCAUCGAUUUGAUUUUCCUUUAUCCUAAACAUUUCAUCUUCUUCGCAUCUUCAGCAGCCCUAAUUUUUUUUCUUCAUCUUCUUCUCCUUCAUCUGAACAGUUUCAAUCUUUCUCUGUAAACCACCAAAAACACAGACCCAUCAUUAUCACCAUCGAACAUGCUGAUUUAACCCUUCUCCUUGUAAAUGGGUUGGGUUUUUCACGCUUUUCUUCAAUAGUUCAGGUAAUUAAUUUAGGGUUUUUGUUUUUCUUUGUUGCAAUUUAACUUACACUAAAAAAUUUUCACCUAACUUUCCCAAUCUCAGGGCUUUUUUUGUCCUGUAGAUCCAUCUCGGUCACCUGUUACUCAAGAACACAGGUAACAUUUUUUUUCGAUACUUUGAAUAUUGGUUUUAGGCUAUUAAUUCGAUAAUAUAAGGGUUUAUGAAAUGUUUUUACCAUGAUCUAUAACCUAAUUAUGCAUGUUUAAUUGAAAAUUUAUCAAAACCCCCAAUUUAAUUUUUAGGGUUACGGUUUAUAAAUUGAAUGACUUUAGGCUACUGGACUAAUGCUGGUAAUUCAUGUGUCUGGAAGAGAGUGAUCGAUGGAAAUUAUGCAUCAGUUCAAUUUCUUCACUUUCACUGAGAUGUUUCAUGCUGUUAUAACUUGCUACCCUGUUGCUUCAACUUUUUUCCUUGUAAUGCUCUACUUCUAUAAUUUUUUAGUGUUACAGCAGCGUAUGGAUGCUGUUAAAAUCUAGAGAGUCUAGCAACUGGUUAACCUGUGAUGCAUUUUCUUCUUCUGUAGCAGUCCAAGUGUUUCUUUUUUUCUUGCUGUGAUUUGAUUGAGCAUGCUUGCAAAGUUUUAGUGCUGCCUUUUAGUCACAGCCAAUCCAACUUACUAGGAUGUGGUGGUUGCUGAUUCGUGUGGAUAUUUUUUCAAAAUAUGCAAUUAUUAGUUUUAGUUGCAAAACUUAUACGCACUUAUUUUCCUUGACAAAAUUCAAAUUUUGCUGGAAUAAUCCACCUUUUAUUUUGUUGUGUUAUGCAGGAGAAACCUCAACUAUUUCAGUUUGUUCCAAAUUAAAAGCAGGUACUAUUUGUUCAGACCACAUUGUAUUCACAAAGUUGUAUUUAUUGUGAUAGAUUCAUAAUUUUGUUUAUCUGAUUUAUGCUCUCACAGGUCAAGGCAGCACACCAACUUCUCAAGACUAUUCCACAUAGCUAUGGGAGCAGGAGGGUUGAUGAAGUUCUUGUUUUUAGCAAACAAAAUUCAGAUAUUGCAAUAGCUACCAAAGACCGGAUUAAGUGGUGUGUAUUGAUUCUCUUGUAUCAAAAUUUAAAUAUGCAUAUUUAAAUUUUCAGGGCAUAGGACUGUUUUUUUUUUCCUUAUUCAAUUCCAGUUUGUAUAUUGGUUAUAUUCAAUUAACUUUUCAGGGCACAAGACUUUUUUUUCCUUUCCCUAUUCAAUUCUAGUUUGUAUAUAAAAAAAUUAAUUGAAUGAUUUUCUUUCAUUAAAUCUGAUAUUAAAUUUCUUUUUAGAUGGAAAUUAUGAGACCAAAAUGAAACCUGGAGAUGACUAAAUAAUAUAUCAAUUAACUAUAAAUUUAUUUUGAUUGUUGCUGGGAAGUCAGUAGUUCCUUGCUGUGAAUUCUUGGACCUGUAUUGAUUUUCUAUUGAUCUGACUUUUGGUUAGCUAGGUUUAUUUAUAGCUAAGUUAUUUAUGCUAUGCUUUUUGUACCUUGUUGUUCUACUCUUUGAACUAAAAGCAUCUCAUUGGAAUUUCAUUUUAUGCAAAGGCUCGGUUUUGUAGAAAAAUUAUGUCCUAACCAUAUAGAUUCCUAUUAAGUUAUAGGUUUUAAGAAAUAAUAAUUAGAGUAAAUUAUAAUUUAGUCUAUGCAUUUUUUUAUGAUUUUAUAAGUCAUUAUGUUUUUGAAAACCAUAAGAUAUAAUAUUUCAUAUUAAAGGAUUUAUGUUGAAAAUUAAUUUUCAUGUGAAACUCACUUCAAAUCUGUUCUGAAAUAUGCUCUUUUAACCAUGUUUUUUUUUAAAAAAAAAAUCUAACAUUAUGUGCUGGUGGGUGUUUCUUGGGUAGUUCUAUGCUUUAUUGAUGUGCUCUUUCAGGAGUGGAGGUCUUACAGUGUGAUGAGAUGCUAAUUUGGGGUCUAUUUGGUUAGCAAGAAAUGAUGUGAUCUUUAACAAUACUAAACCAUAUAUGCUGAGAUGAAAUUUAUUCUCGUAUCUUUCAUAAUGUUGCUAAGUGGGUGAGGUCUAUUCAUGGUUCCUUGUUAUAAAUUAAAUGUUAGUUAUUUUGAAACUUCAAAAUAACUUUGUAAUCUUGUUCAAGAUUGAAAAAUUUUAGGUUAGAUUUUAGAAGAAAAAAAAUUGUUAUGAGAAGACAAUUGCCAUGAAAAUAUAAAAACUAAACAGUACUUUAACUUGGAUAUUCUUUCUAUUUUUCAUAGUUUAACUUAGAUUUGUUUUAAAGACUAGCAAUUGAUAUAGCUGGAUGGGUUUAACAUACUGUUUAUGUUUUUUAUUUUUCCAGCAAUAUGAAUGGCUUAUUGGAUCACAAUAUAAAUCAUUAGAGUUGGCUAAGUCUGAUUGGGUUGUAACAAGGAAAUCUCCACCUUGGGCCAUUGAUUAUUAGGGCUUAGGUAAGUCUAUUUUGCUCCAUUUUUUUAUUGUUGCUUAAUUAGAUUAUGUUUAAUUUGUCUGCUGGGCAUGCCUAUUGUAAUCUUUUCAAUUAAUUGGAACUCUGCUUUGCAUUGGGAUAAGAUUAUUCAUAUUUAAAUUUAUUUUCCUUGUAGAUCCUAGUUUUUGAGGUUUAUGUGAACAUGAUGCUGGGAUUAUAUUCAAUUAACUUUUCUAGGCAUAGUACUGUCCUUUUUAUUUCUGCUUUUACAUAUUGCUUCCUGAAGUUCAUGUUUUUGGUAAUUUUCCUCUUAAGAAGAAUAAGAAUAAGCCACUGUCUUCUUUAUUUAAUUUCAAAACCAUGAAGGCAUUUAGAGGCCCAAAUCGCAUUUUGAUUAUUUGGUUAGACAAUAUAAAUCAAUGACAAGGUAUUUUAGAACUUUGGGUGGGUAGUUCAAAAAAAGCCCUUUCAUGUUUAAACCAACUUUAAUUAUUUUUAAGGCUGAUUAAUGGGUUGUCCAAAAAAAUAAUAAUUAAUGCUUUUUGAAACUUAUACUGUAUUUUUUAGCGGCAACGGCAAAACCAUUGUAAUUAAAAUAUAAUAUUAUAGUGUUUAUAUAUUAAAAAAAUCUGAAAUUAAAUUAAAUUAAUAGUUUACUCCAAUAAUUAAAAAGGAAAUGGAUAAAUAACAAUAUUGUUUAAAUUUGGAUUCAAUUAAUAACCUAUUAGAAUUCUUAUAUUUCAAAUAAAUUUUUGAACUCAUUUAAUCCUUGUCUAGAAUUCCUUGACAGCCUCUUCAUAGCAAUUUCUUGUCCAUCUUCUAGCUUACCCUAAAAGAAAAUGUUUAUAAAAUACCAAUUACAUAUAGCUAAGUGGUACAUAUUUUAUUUUAAAUGAUUGUUUAAGUACUAGUAGUUAAAGAAGUAUGUUUAUUUAUAAAAAUACUUAUUGGUGUUAUCAUGUUAAUUAGAUUAACAUGGAUGAUCGAUCGUGGAUGUAUCGUCGUCUUAUGAAUGGUCGUCUUCGUCCUGAAUACAUUACAGGUGUUAGAAGAUUUAUCAAUUUUGCCUUUUCAAUUGAUAAAAAUAUAUCUGGGGGGGAAAUUAGAUGUCCUUGUGUGAGGUGCAAAAAUCAAAAGUUUUUAAAGAAAGAUGAUGUUUGUAAGCAUCUAUUGAUAAAAGGUUUUUUACCUUGUUAUGAAAAUUGGACUGUACAUGGGGAGCCUUAUGUCGCACAACCAAUAUUGGCUGGAGCUUCAUCGGUUAAAAUUAGUCAAGUUGUAAAUGAUGUUUGUCUAGAAAAUCCAUAUAGGAAUCUAGUAAUGGAUGCAAUGGGGGGAUGGUGAUGCAUACUAUAAUGAUAAUAUGUCUAGUCCUGUGGUAGCAGAGGAACUUCCAAAUCCGGAGGCAACUAAAUUUUUUCAGCUUUUGAAAGCUGCGGAGGAGCCUUUGUGGGAUAGGUGUACCAAGCAAUCCAAAUUAUCUGCUUGUGUACAAUUGCUUAAUAUGAAGUCAACUUUAAAUUUGACUCAGACUGCUUUCAACAAGUUUAUUGAUUUUACAAAAAGUUGCAUGCCCAAUGAUGAAAAUUUGGUAUCCAAUUUUUAUGAUGCCAAGAAAUUUAUGCGGCCACUUGGACUUGGUUAUGAGAAAUAUGAUGUGUGUCCUAAUUACUGUAUGCUAUACUAUGGAGUAGAUGCUAUGAAAAUAAAUUGUGAUUUUUGCGGAAGUUCACGAUACAAACCUAGAAAUCCAACUAGUAAAGGUUCCAAUAAGGUAGAGAGGCAACAAUAAGGUAGAGAGGCAACUUCGAUACUUUCCCUUGACACCAAGGCUUCAGAGACUGUUCAUGUCUCCAUAUCAUGCCAAAGAUAUGACAUGACAUCAUUUUCAUACGUCAGAUAAUGGGGUUAUGGUGCACCCAUCUGAUGGGGAGGCAUGGAAGGAGUUUAAUCGUGUCCACUUAAGCUUUGCAUCAGAUCCGAGAAAUGUUUGGUUAGGGUUAUGCACUGAUGGGUUUUGUCCAUUUGACAUGUCUUCAAAUACAUACUCUUGUUGGCCAGUAAUUGUUACUGUUUAUAAUUUGCCUCCGUGGAAGUGCAUGACUAGACCAUUCAUGUUUUUGACAAUGAUGAUUCCUAGGCCAAAGAAUCCGGGGGAAAAGCUUGAUGUUUUCCUAAGACCUUUGAUUGAUGAGUUAAAGAAUUUGUGGUCUGUUGGUGUUGAAACAUAUGAUGUAUACAGAAAGGAAAAUUUCCAAUUAAGGGCAGCUUUGAUGUGGACCAUUAGUGACUUUCCAGCAUAUGGCAUGUUAUCGGGGUGGAGUACUCAUGGAAAUCUGUCUUGUCCUUAUUGUAUGGAGUUUGUGUGAAGGGAAGUUGCUAUGAUGAUAAUGAACGUGAUUAUUAUGGAAUGCUUAAAGAAGUUGUUCGGCUCAAAUACUUGGGGAGUAAGUGCAAGUUAUUUAUGUUUAAAUGUAAUUGGUAUGAUACAAAACGAGGGAUUAGAGUGCAUCGUUCGAAUAGUUUGGUUGAAAUCAAGCAUACAUCUCGACUACACGGAAAUGAAGAUUUUGUGUUAGCACAACAAUGUCAACAAGUCUACUAUACAUAUCCGCCUAGUAAUAAAUCAUCUGAAUGGUGGACGGUUAUUAAGACAAUUGCUAGAAGUCGUUCUAAUGUUGACAUGGGUGAAUUUAUUGAAGAUGCCAACAAUGUGAGAUCAUUUGAUGUUGAUCAAUCAGAUGAGAUUUAUCAACCAUGUCGUGUCCUUCCUACCCAAACACUUGAUGAUCAAAAUAUAAUUGUUGAAUCAUCUUAUUAUGAAGAAAUCAGUCAACAUGAAUUGCUUCAACUUGACAUAAAUUAGGGAAACAAUGAAAAAGAAGAAGAACAAGAAGAUGAUGAUAAUGAUGGCGAUGGCGAUGAGGAUGAUUCUUAUGGUGGUGGUGGUGAUGACGACGAAAACAUGGUUUUGUGUGAUGAUGAUGACAUGGUUAGGAGUGUCGCACGUCACCCGCACGUCGCGGCGAAGAUUCCACUUCAAUCUAAAUGUGAUGUGUGUCCCUACUUAUCUAUCUUUAUUUGGCAAAUAUGGGGGACAAGAAAAUCUAGUCUUUUAUUGGUGAAAAAUGGAAUAGGAGUCGCCACCUAAUAUUUUGGUCACUAGAAACCCUAACUAGUCUCAGAGAUCGGGUACGGGGACUGGUUGUGUAAAGGGAAGGUAUUAGCACCCCAAAUACGCCCUACCUAAGGUAAGCUGCAUUGUUUUAUUGUCUGAUAAAAUCUAAGGUCUUUUCGUGUUUCCUAGUUGUGUGUGUUUCCUAGUUGUUGGUAUGGUUCCAGAAAAGGAUCUCCUCGGUAAGGAGAUCCUUAUCUUAUUGGGUAAUUCUGACAUUAACAAGAGAAUUUAAUAUCCGGAAUACGUCUUACGUAUAAGAUCGUAACCCAAUAUAAUAAAAGAAAAUAAAAUAAUUUUUUUAGAAUUUUUAAAAUAUUGGCCUAGUUCUCAUGGCUUGAAUAAACUGGUUAUUAAAGCCAAAAUGCAUGUUAAUACAUAUAUUGUUUUGAAAUUUCCUUUGUUGUAUGAAAAUAUGAUGUUACAAUAGUUAUAUAUAUAUAUAUAUAUAUUGGAGAGACUAGGCCAUAUGCAUGAAAACAAAACAUUUUUAUUUUUAUUUUUAUUUUAUUUUUUUGAUGACUUGACGAAAACCGAGUAUUUUAAUACCGGACUUGUAUCUUUACAGUAUAAAAAUACAAGCGAUAUUGAUCAAAAUACAGUAACAUAUUUGCGGAAAAUCACGGAUUUUUUGAAAUAAUUCUUUGAAGAAAUUUUUUUCGAACGGGCCAGACCCGGCCCAAAAAGAAACUAGGCCGCAAUCAGCCCAAAAUAAAUUGGGGCCUGAUUUCUACAGGGUUGGACUCAGCCCAGCAGCAGGGGCUGGGGUUCCAACCCAAAACAAGCAUGGACUGGUACUGUGCACCUGCACAGUAACCAGUUAAUUAAUUAGCUGGUUACUAUAUACAUGCACAGUAUACCGGGUAAUUAUUUUCUUGCUUGCAGAACGUGCACAGUGCACGUUUUGCAUGCAAGAAGAUGAACAAUAAAACGAGAUAGGGGGCAGAGGGCUGACCUGUGGUGGCUCUGAAGGCAGUGCUGCUGGCGGUUGCUAACCGGAGAAUGGCUUGGACAGUGGUUAGCUUUUCUUCCUUUUCUUCACUGUGUUUUUUUCUUCUACUCUGUUUCCCUCUGUUUCUGUCUUCUCCUUUUAUUUCUCAUGGUGCUGUUGCCGACUGAGAGAAUGGUGGCAGCUGGAGGUGGUGAUGAUGACAGAGCGACGGUGGCUCUUCCCUACAGUGGCGGGCAGUGUUUUGCUGUUGUUUUUCCCAUCUGUACCGUGGCGCAAGUUCCUGCCCUUUCCUUCGAUGAUGUUCUUCCCUCUUACGACAGUUCUGUUAUUGUUGGCAGCGCUGAUGGUGGUGGAAUGGCGGAGGUUCCAAGGGGUAAGGCACGUUUCUUCUUCUCCUCCGUGCAGAGACCCUAGUCUCUGCUUUUUUCUUCUUGGUUUGCUUCUGUUUGCUUUGCUUCACUGUUUCUAUCACUUUGCUUCCCUGCUUCUUCUUCCAAGUGGUGGUUCUAAGAGGAAGGUAGGUGGUGCCUUGCUGUUCUGACUGCUUCACUGGCAGUGGAGGCCGGUGGCGGUGUAGUGGCUCCCUCGAGAUAACCAACUUGUUUAUGGAGGACAUAAUUCAUAUAGGAGUUAUGGGAGAGUUGAUGGUGAUGAUGGUAAUGAUAAUGAUGUGAACAUUAGAGAUGAAGAUGAGGGAGACGGUAGUAAUGAGAGAGGUGUAUGUGAUGAGGAUCCAGAUGGUGUGCCAUCAAUCCACGGUUCAACAUCUUCUCCAUACAAUUAUAAUCAAAAUGUUAAAAGGAAGGGUUUUGACACACCAAUAGAUCCAAUUACAAGAAAAAAAGAGCUUUGUUUGUAUGGCACAACAGAGUAAGUUUAAACUUUUAAAAACUAACUUAUUAAGGUUAUAUUUUCAGGUAUGAAAAAAAUUAUUUAUUAUUGUGUAAUUAUUUGUUUCCUAUAAGUUUGUUAUUAUAUAUUUUCAGGUUCAAUAACGCAUCGUGUGGACGUGCAAUCGGAGAUAUUUUGAGGUCCAAUUUUAAGGGAGCAUGGCACUCUUGGGAAAAAGUAGAUUCAAUGUGCCGAUGAACUCUUUAAAGAGUUUAAGGUAAGAACCAACACUAAUUGCUAUAUUCUUUUCAAUUUUGAUCACUUUAAUAUAGCAUUAUGAAAAUUAUGAACUGAAUAGCUAUAGAAGUGUGCUGGUCAUUGUCUUGUUAUUUGUAACCAUAAAUUAUUAACUGAAUAGCAAGUACUGAUUUGUGUUCUAAUUUGUUCUUAUUUCUUGUUUACUCUUUAAUAUCAUUUAAUUUCUUUAGUUAUUACAUCAUCUUGCAAAUUCGGAACAAAAUAACACAAUAUGAUUAAUUAUUUAUAUAAUUUGAAAUUUUGUGCACUCUUUUUACUUGGUAUAUAUAUUAUUUGGUAGAAAAAAUAUUCCUUUCCUGAGGAAGAUGAGUCGAUUGUUCGUAAAUUUUUUGAAGAUAAGGCUAGGAUAGCUUUGAAUCAACAAUUGACACGAGCUCGCAAGAAAGCCAUGUCAAAAGAAAACACUAUAAAUAUUAUAGAUUGCCUUGAUAAAGGUCCUGCUUGGAUAAACAAUGAUGACUAGAAUCAAAUGAUCAAAGAUGUUUGGUUCACCCCUGAAUUUCAAAGGAGGUCUGAAUCUGCUAGGAGGAAUCGAUUAACCAAAACAGAUGGUAAAAUAAGCACUCAUUCUGAAGGAACAGUGUCAUUUGCAUCAUAUCGAGCUAACAUGGUAAGGAUUUUUUUGUUAUUAUGCUUAAGAUAAUGAAUUAAAUUUUAUAUAUUUAUCUUUUAUAAUAUUUAUUAAUCUUAAAAGCAAGAGGAAGCUGGUGGAAAAGAACCUCCAUGGGAUGAUGUCUUUUUAGCUUUGCAUCAGAGUACUAAGCAGUCUGGUAGCUUCAUCGACAACAAGUCUAAAAAAGUGGUUGUAUGUAUUUUUAUUUGAUUAUUUCUUAAUAUAACUUAAGUAUUAUUUAACAUUCAAAUGAAUUUAUUGUUGCAUGUAUUUUAUUUGUAGGAAAAUUAUAAAAUGGAGAUGAUUUCAAAGUAUGGAACUAAUCGGGAAAAUCAUCCUUCAUUUGAUGGAGCAACUUGGUGUGUGGCUUCAGGAGGAGUUACAAAGGGUAGGGUAUAUGGUGCACCUCGUAUGCCAAAAUCUAUAGUUAGUACAAGUUCUUCAUCACAUUCCUACUCGGUGGAGUCAUCAUAUCCUAGUUCAUCGUAUCGAGCAUUGCAACAGGAGAUAAAGGAUAAAGAAGAGGAGAUAAAGAAAAAAGAUGAUUUUAUUCUUAAAAUGAAACGGCAAAUGGAUUCCAUGCAAGAAUAUCUUGUGAACAAUCUUGGAUAUCAUGGUGGGACAUCAAAUAUUGGCCAAGGUAUGCCUUCACCUAUGGCUCCCCAGAUAAUGACACCUAUGGGUCCCACAUCUCAACCACUUUAUCGACCUACACCUCGAUCACUAUAUACUGAUCAAUCUUGUGUCGAUCCACAAUAUCAUGGUUCGUCUUCGCAACCAACACCAUGAUUGUAUCUUUUGUCGUUUUUUUUAUUAUAUUUCGACUUAAUUGUAUUAAUGCAAGUUUGACUAAAUUUUUAUAAUAUGAAUAUUAUUUUUAUUUCAUUUUUUAUUAGUUAUACAAUUAUUUUUAAUAUUAAUUUAUGUUGGUUAUAUAUAUUCUACAACUUUUAAAAUAUCCAUAAAUAAUUAAUUAAAAAAAUUAAAAGUCAUUUUAAUAAAUAAAUAAAAAUUAAUUUAAUAAAAAUAAUAUACUCAGCAACGGAUAUUCCGUUGCUGAUCCCCAAAAUUAGCAACGGAAUUUUCGUUGCUAAAAUUGCAAUGAAAAAUCCGUUGCUAAAAUUGCAACGGAUUAUCCGUUGCUAAUUGUAAGCAAUGGAAUUUUCGUUGCUCAAAAAUCAGCAACGACAAAUCUGCAUCCGAGAUUUGUCAUUGCUGAUUCCGUUGCUAAAUUGUGUUAGCAACGGAUUUUAGUAUUAUUUGCAACGGAUUAUCCGUUGCUAAUUGUAAGCAAUGGAAUUUUCGUUGCUCAAAAAUCAGCAACGACAAAUCUGCAUCCGAGAUUUGCCAUUGCUGAUUCCGUUGCUAAAUUGUGUUAGCAACGGAUUUUAGUAUUAUUUGCAACGGAGUAGUCCGUUGCAAAUUACUAUAUUUUUUAGUAGUGGCAGCUGCAAUAUUGCAAAAGAACCACUUCGGUAAUAAAAUUAUAGAACAUCAACUUGCAGAAGCAAAACACGGGGCUUGUAGCUCAGUGGCCUUGGCAGGCUUUGCACUGCCUGAGUGCCCUGGUUCGAGCCCUCAUGUGUACCCAGCACUUGAGGGUUUAACUGCUGUGGUCCAUCGUGGACUUGUUCCGCCCCCCCUCCCGGGUUCGACCCUCUAUGUGCACGCCUGUCACCCCCGCGGUGCCUUACCUGCUCCUGGGCUUGCAGGAUGUCCAGUGGGCCGUGGGGAAUAGUCGUGGUGCGCGUAAGCUGGCCCGGACAACAUCAACUUGCAGAAGCAAAAAUGGUAGAUUAUUGCCAACAAAAUUAAACCCGAAAUAAAACAUUGCAAAGCAGAAAGAGAAAGUACUUAGCUUAUAACAAUGGAAUUUAGCUUCUCUUUCGGACCACUAGUGCAUAGUUCUACAAGAUCAUAACAAGAUCCAGUAAGGGGCUAGAAGAUUCAAAGACAAAAAAAAAAAAACAGAGAAAUCCAGCAGAGCUACCAAUAGAAGAUACCAGCAAAAGAAGAUAACUUGAUUGUUCGAACUGCAAAGAAAGAAAUUAGGGCAAAAACUUUAGCUUUCCUUUUGCUUUCCCAAAUUCCUCGAGACAGGUGAGUUAAUAUAUAUAUUCCGGGUCUCACUCGGGUUAGGCCGGCUCAGACCGGGUCAGGCUGGGUUUUUUCUUGUACCAGUCUUUUAUGUUGCCCGGACCGGUCUAGGUACUGGGUCGACCCGCCGGGCCGGUCCGGGUUAUUAAAUCCUCGCAUAUUCUCUUUACUUUCUUUUCUUCCUUUCGGCAGUCAUUGUUAAUCCUUUCUUUUCUAUAAAAUAUAAAGUUAUUAAAUCAUUAUGAAAAAUUCAAUUGCUCCGUAUAAAAAAUUUUGCUUAGGCUAUCUUGGCGCUCCUAUGUUUACCAUGUUUCCACUGGAAGAAAAUGUUUUCAAAAAUUAUUUAUUUUUUAAAAAUCAUGAAAUAGCAUGGUUUAAAAAUUAUUUAUUUUUAUAUUUCAAAAAUUUUUUUAAAAAAUUUAAUUUUUUUAUUUUUUUAAAUUAUUUUUUUAUGAUUUCAAAUUGACAAGCAAAAUUAAUUUUUUGAAAAAAUAAAAAAAUAUUACUUUAAAAUAUUUUUAAAUAAAAAAUAUUUUAAAAAUAAAUUAUAUCCACAAACUCAAAUAUAUAUUUUUAAAUAAAAAAUAUUCUAAAAAUAAACUAUUACUAGUGACGCGCCUUUCUCAUUUCUCUUUUAAGAUUUUCAAAGAAAAUCACUUCAUUUUCGGAAACCAAGAUUAAAAAUAUCGGGGCUCAGGCGAUGCUUGGGUUCCUCCUUAUAGAUCGGGCCGGAUUUUGGGCUGACCUGGGCUGAUUGAUGUCUGUUCUCUUAUUAUGCGAAAGUCCAGCUUAGAUCCAACCGAGGCUGAACAGCAUUAUCCCUUUCAAAAUUGUUGAUUAUUUAUGCGGUAGCUUUUAUGGUUACAGUUUUUAAAAAAUAAAUUUUAAAAAAUAUUUUUAAUUAAAAUAUAUGUAUAAUUAAAAUUAUAGUUUAAAAAUAUAUGAUUAAAUUUGUUGUUGAAAAUGUUGUUGAUAAUAAAAUAAUUAUAAAAUAAUUAAAAAAAAACAUUUGUUUUAUAAUGUUAAAUUACAUAAGUAUAUGAUUAUUAAUACAUAAAAAAAAUAUAGCAAAAAAAUAUCAAGAUCCUUGUGUACCAUGGACUAAUUUUUUAUAGUAAUCUAAAAACACAAAUAAAUACACAGUAAGAAUAAAAAAAAUAUGUAUAUGUAUAUAUAAAAAAACUAAUACUGGGAUUUGACAUGAAAUUAUCCCGGAUCAUACCGGGUCAGCAAAUAGGUAUUUUGGUUCAGUAUUACAAGGAGCUUGAGGAGGGGAGACAAAAUUGGUAAUGAUCCUAAGACACAUCAAUUUUCAUGACAAAAGCAAUACUACAAUUUUUAAGAAUGUAUUUGUUUUUAUAUUUAAUAAAAAUGAAAUUUUUUAAAUUUUUUUAUUGCUUCAAAUUAAUUUUUUUUUAUAAUUAUGGAUUGUUUUGAUGUGUUGAUAAUAAAAAUAAAUUUUAAAAAAUAAAAAUAUAUUAUUUUAAUAUAUUUUUAAAUAAAAAUAUUUUAAAAUAAUCACUAGUAUAAUCUCACGUACUAAAUUGAAGCUUUGAAGUUGAGGUAUGCAACAUGAAUAAAAUAGAUUUAGAAUUUCCUUCUGGUAACUUUCUUGGAAAAAAAUAAAAUUACGACAAGCUAAAAAAUAAUAAUGGGAGUCAAGGCCUUAAAGUUGAGAUUCCGCAAUCACGUGAUUUUCAAGCUCUCACAAUCCCUCGUAGAAUUCAACAUGCGGCGAGACAAAUUCAAUCAACCAUUCAUCCUCUUUUUUUUUUUUUUUAGAGAGAGAGAGAGAGAGAGAGAGAGAACUUUUUCCAGAAUUAAAUCUCUUGAAAACCCCCCAAAUUAAAUGUUUAAAGUAAAGUUAUUAAAUCUAAGUAUAGUGCAAUACUUAGAAAACAAAUUAUUCAUGUUAACAUAAAUUGAUGACUCGAUUCAAAAAACUAUUAUUUUAAGAAGAAUUUUUAAUUAAAAAAUAAUAAAGCAUACUCACUUAAAAAAAAAAACAAAUUAAGUUUUAAUUAGAUCGCAGAUUAACUCAUUAAGUUAACUGAGUUAUACUUAUCAACUCCUACCAGUUUAAUUUGAAAAUCAAUGUGAUUUAAGGGUUAGAUCAACGAGUUACCAAAUUGACGUAUCAAAUCAUGCUGAAUUUAGUGCCCAUCCAAUAUUGAUGACCUUGUCCAUGUGUUAAAAAAAUAAAAAUUAGAUUAGAAAUGUUUAAGAUUAUGCUAGUUGUUGUUUUUUAAUGUAGUUUUUGUUCUGAAAUAUAUUAAAAUAAUAUUUAUUAUUUAUUUUAAAAAAAUUAUUUAUGAAAUUAGCAUCUCAAAAUGAUUUAUAAGUAAUAAAAUAAAUAAAUAAAUAAUUUAAUUUUUUUUAAAAUACUUUUAAAAUAAAAAAAACAAAAGUGUUGUUUCAUACGCGGUGUAUCAUUCUCUGCGCCUGUGCUAUCAUUUUUUCAGUGCAUGAAGAACGGAUAGCCACACAUUCAGGCUACCAUCUUGUGGUUCUAACUGGCUUCACUUUACCUCUUUUCUAGGAAAGCCCGGGAGCCGUCCAUUUCUUCUGAACCACGAACUCUAAACGCAAACCAAUAACCUUGGCUUUUCGAAAAGAUUGAAGAGGGAAUAAACCUUGCGUUUGCUUACACUUCUACACUCAACAAGGCUGCUAGCCACAAGACCCUUGCUUGCGUUCAUUUCCUCAGCAUCAAUGCCUGUCAUCCUUCAAAGGUUGCCAGAGAAACAAGGAAUAUUAAUUAGAAGUGUCUUGCUUUGUUUCUUUUCCCCUCCUUGAGAGAGGGAUGGUGGAUUAGCAGAGCUUCUUCUUUUUGUUUUUUUUCAUUGAUGUGUCUGUUGUGUUAGGCAUUAAUCGUGGAUGGACUAUGAUGCGAAUUCCAGGUUUGACGGAUUAACCUGGUUUGAAGGGUUAACAUAGUUAAUUCAGAUUUUUUUCCUUUUUCUUCAUUGGUUUUUUUCUUCUUGUUGGUUUUUUUCUUUUUUUUUUUUAAUUAAUCUAUUUAAUUAUCAUACUUUUAUUACACGACCUUGCAGUUAGACCCACAUUCAAGGCUGUUGGGUCUAGUGUUGCAGCCAGACUCACUUAAACUUGAGUAAUGUAAGUUUAAUAUUAUUAUUAAUAUUAUAAAUAUUACUCUUGGGUCAAUCGUUACAACUAGAUCUAAGGGUGAUCAUUUUCGGUUCGGUUCGGUUUUCACUUGAAAAAAUUAACCAAAUCAAAAUUAUUAUUUUUUUAAAUUUAAAACCGAACUGAAACCGGUUCAAACCUACUGGUUUUGGUUUGGUUUUUGUUGUUCAAAAACCGGUGAAACCAAGAAUCAAAUCUUGUUUUUGUUCUUCAAAGAACUUGUUCCAGUUUACAACCAAAGUUGCAAAUUACAACAUAAUAAAAAAAGCUAAAACCCACAAAAUAUCAAGGAAAAUAGAAACUAGAGAUUAAUCAAGAUGGCAAGGAAAACAGAUUUGUCCAUAGUGAGCGAGUUGGAUCCAAAUGAGGGCUUAAAUUAGUGUUUUAGAAAAAUAGAUCUGCUAGGGAGAGAAGAGAAUUUGAUGGAGAAAUAAUUAAGAUGCAGGGAGGUAAAGAGAAAAAAUGAGGGUCGAGGGGCUGCUGAAUAUGCGAUGGAGAAAUAAUUAAGAUGCAGGAAGGCAAAGAGAGGGGGGGCUGCGAGUGUGUGUUGCUUUAGGGUUUAGUUAGUGACUAUUUAUAUUAUUUUUUUUAGUCAGUUAUGUGGUUGAACCGGUUCGAUUUAUUCCGGUUCAAUCGGUUUUAGGCAUUUAAAACCAAACCGAAUCGAAAAUUCUUUUGGGUUUUCUAAUCGGUUAAGUUUUUUUUUCUCGGUUCUAUUUUUUCGGUUUUCUCGGUUUAAUCGGUUUUUCGGGUUUUUUGCUCACCCCUAGCUAGACCCAAGGUUUUUGGGUAUAUUUUUGCAGAAAGACCUAAUACUCUUAGAUCUUAGUUUUUUUAUAUUUUUUAUGCAAGAAAAAAAAUUAACCCGUGGCGUAUGCCUUUAGUUUUUUUUUUUUGCUUUUUUCUUUCUUUUUUUCUUUUUUAAUUUUUUUUUAUAUUUACGUUCUUAAUAUUAAAUUUUUUCUAUUUAAUUAUCAUACUUUUAUGACACGGAUCCCAGAUUUGACGGGUCAAUCCAGUUGAUUCAUAUUUUUUUUUCCUUUUCUUCAUUAGUUUUUUUAUUCCUGUAGGUUUUUUUCUCUUUGUUUUUGCCUUUUUAAUUAAUCUUUUUUUUUUUAAUUUAGUUCAUUAAUAUUAAAUCUUUUUUCUAUUUAGUUAUCACACUUUCAUGACAUGAAUCCCAGGUUUGACGAGUUAAUCUAGUUGAUUCAGAUUUUUUUUUCUUUUUUUUCAUUAGUUUUUUUCUUCCAAUUCCAUAUUUUAAUAUUGUAUGCAGUCCACAGUGAAAAAGAUGAUGCCUUAGUGUUUAUUUUUGCUUUUUUUCUUUUCUUUUUAUGCCUUUCAUUGUGGACUGCACAAUGUAGUCCACAGUGAAAAGGCCGAUGCCUUCUUUUUUUUUAAUUAUUUUUUAUUUAGUUUGUUGGUAUUAAUUUUUUUUUCUAUUUAGUUAUCAGACUUUCAUGACACGGAUCUCAGGUUUGAAGGGUUAACCCAGUUAAUUUAGAUUUUUUUUUCUUCACUAGUUUUUUUCUUCUUAUAGGUUUUUUUUUCUUUUUAAUUAAUAUUUUAUUUAUUUAAAUUAGUUCAUUAAUAUUAAUUUUUUUUCUAUUUAGUUAUUGGCUGAUGUCUUUAGUUUUUUUUUCUUUUUGCUUUUUUUGCCAUUUUUGUGCCUUUGACCAUGGACUGCACAAUGCAGUCCACGGUGAAAAGGCUGAUGUCUUUUAUUUGUUUUUGUUUUUUAAUUAAAUUUUUUCAUUUAAUUUAAUUUGUUAAUGUUCAAUUUUUUUCUAUUUAGUUAUCAAACUUUCAUGACAUGGAUCCCGGGUUUGACAGGUUAGCCUAGUUAAUUCCGGAUUAACUCGCCAAUUUUGUUUUUCUAUUUAGUUAUCAAACUUUAACGAUACAAAUCCAAGAUUUGGCGGGUUAACCUGGUUUGAAGGGUUAACCCAGUUAAUUCAUAUUUUUUUCUUUUUCUUUAUUAAUUUUUUUCUUCAUGUUGGUUUUUUUUUUGUUUUUUUAACUAAUCUAUUUAAUUAUCACAUUUUUAUGACACGACUUUGCAGCCAGACCCACAUCCAAGGCUAUUGGGUCUGGUAUUGCAGCCAUACCCACUUAAACUUAGGUCAUGGAAGUUUAAUGUUAUUAUUAAUAUUAUAAAUAUUACUCUUGGGUCAGGCAUUGUAGCCAAACCCAAAACUUUUGGGUAUAACUUUGUAAAAAGACCUAACAUUUUUAAAUUUUAAUUUUUUUUAAUAUUUUUUAUAAAAAAAAUUAACCAAUAGCAUAGCGUCAUAAUGGAACUAGUCAUAAUUAAAAAGCAUGACAUAAAAAAAAUAGUUUUAUCUAAAUUUUUUAAAUUCUAUAACAUAUACUGCAAGUCAUGCCUUUCCAAAAGAUAAAUAAAGAAAGAUUUUGUCGUUUAAGACGACAAAUCUCUCCUCUUUUGGUCAUGAAUAUAAUUUAUUUAGUGUUAUGAAAAGAAAGCCGAUUGGAAGCUGAUGUCAUGGCGGCAGGUUUGAGAAUUGAGCACCGAAGUAGGAGGCAAACGCGUGUUCUUUGGGAUUGCACGUGACAAAAAGGCCCUCUUCGUGGUCACCCAAGAAAACGACAAAAUUACCUUUUUCAGAAAUUGUUUUUCCAAUAAUUUACGCGUGUUAUUGUUUAAGUGGUCUGUGAUAAUGUUCGUUGGACAGCGCCGCCCCCACCGACUCCAAGCCGUGCUUCAUUUCCUGCUAUGAACAGUCGUUUUGUAGCUACUUCUACUGUUAUUAUAAACGAUAAAGGAUAGGUUCGUUAGUUCUUCAUUGUCUACUGUUCUUCACUCUCUAGGGCUUCAAAUCUAUUACAGUAUGACAUUACGGUAGGUCCCCGUUUUGCAAUGCCAUAAAUCCUAAAAAAAUAUUAGAUUUGUAUUUUUUUACGUAUUUGAUAUGUUCUGAUAUUAAAAUUUAAAAAAUAUUAUCAUAUUGUAUUUUUAAUUAAGAAACAUUUUAAAAAAUUAAAUGCAAAAACUAGACAUAAACCAAUCACUUCUUAGAAUUUUGUGUUUCGAUAUUUUUUACUAUUAGAUUUCAAAAAUUUAAUUAAAAAUUUAAGAGUUAAAAAAUAAAAUAUUUAAUGCUUUGGAUCGGUCACGAGCAAAUCAAAAGUUUUAUAUUUAAUUAAAGCUAAUUUUAUUCCAAACAAUUGCAUAUUUGCGAUAAUAUUUAGCACUUUUAAAAAUAAUUAGUGUAAAAUAUAUUUCCAUGUGAAUUUUAUAAGAAAUUCUACAGGGUAAGAGGGGCCUACCCUUGAUCAUUUGUUUUCGAGAUUGACAUCGAUAAUUUUUGAGGCGUCAGCUCACGGGAAAUAAUAUCUCGAUCCGUCACGAGGCAAUGCUUUCAUUCUCGAUCAGUCACGAGGCAAUGCUUUCAUGCAUAGCUGUUAUGUCCGGAGUGUCUUGUAAGUUUAAUAAUGUUUUUUUUUAAAAAAAUUAUUUUUUAUAUUAAUAUAUUAAAAUGAUAUGAAUUUAAAAAAAAAUUGAAAUAAAAAUUCUCUUGGAGGACUAGUGAUAUGAAGACAUUUUUGUUUUUACAUUUUAAAAAUAUUUGAAAUUUUUUUAUUUGUUUUAAAUUAAAAAUAUUUGAAAUUUUUUUAUUUUUUUAUUUGUUUUAAAUUAAUAUUUUUUUGAUAUUUUCAGAUCAUUUUAAUAUGCCGUCAAAAUAUUUUUUAAUAAAUAAAAAAAAUAUUAUUUUAAUAUAUUUUUAAGUGAAAAAUACUUUGAACCACCACAUCCCUACACAUUCUAAAAAUCGUUCAAGUAACUGGAACUGGAAAAUAGAAACAUCACUUGCCAUCACAGCCUGUCAAUUAGAGGUUGAUUUAUAUCGAAGGUCAUUUAUUUAUUUAUAGUGUUAUGAUUUUUUAAGUUAUAUUUAAAUUAGUUUAAUUUGGUUUGAUUUUUUAGUUUCAACUUUACAAAACUAAAAUUAAACCAAUGUUUUUUUUUAAUUUUUUAAUCAGUUUAAUUAAAUUUUUUUAUAAUUUAAUUUUCUCAGUUAUUUGUUUUAGUUAUUUUUAAUAAAUUAUAAACAUAAAUUGUAAUUUUUAAGAGAAUAAAAGUGAAGUGAGGAAAUAAUUAAUAUGUAAAAGAAUUAGGGUAAUCUUUUUUUAAUAUUAAUAAUAUUUAAAGAACAAUUUGAUCUGAUUUAGUUAUAUUAAUAUAGUUUUUGUGAUGGAAUUUUGCUCUCAUGGAAUAAGAAUUCUUGUGGAGAUGAAAUCUACGAUCCGAUUGAUUCAAGAGGGGUACGUGUGGCAAUGGAACUUGAUCAGUAUUAGAAAAAAAAAUCUUUCGAUCUUGACAAGUGAGGUAACGGAGAGCUUUCAUUGUGACCUAUCAAUAAGAACUAUUCAAGACAUUUUAAAUGUUAGCAAUGGAUAAUUACCCUUUAGUUAUGAAUUUUUUAAAAUAAAAUAUAGUCAAAUUAACAAAUAGUAUUUGUUUAUUAAUUAUCUUUUCAUUAUAGAUUUGAUAGAUAUUGAUGACUUUGAAGAUGACGUUGAUGAGCAUGAUUUGAUAGAUUUUGAAAUGUUUUAAUUCAUUGACAUUUCAUCCAGGAUUUGCUUAUUUAAAUAUCUAAAAAUUUAAUAUGUUUAUUCCAUCAAAUUCUUUUAAUCUUUUAAUUAUAAAUUAUGGUUAUUAUCAUUUACAUAUUUAAUAAUUUAAAUCUGGUUUUAAAUAUGAAUAUUUAAAUUAUGUCUAUGAUUUUUCUUAUUUGAGUAUUUAAAAUAUCAAGUUUAGUUUAUAUUUUGUUGAUUUUUUUGGUUUCAAUAUUGUUGAAAACCCUAUGGCUAGCAAAUUUAUAAACGUUUGUUUGGGAGUGUGGUUGCAGUUACUUUUUAGAGUGCUUUUCAUUCCGAAAUGCAUCAAAAUAAUAUUUUUUUAUUUUUUAAAAAAUUAUUUUUGAGAUCAGCGCAUCAAAACGAUUCAAAACAUAAAAAAAUAAUUUUUAACAAAAAUAUUUUUUUUUGAAUUUUUUGAAAAAUCCGCAUUUCCAAACGCUCUCUUAGAACUUGUUUGAUAUUGUACUAAUGAUUCAUUUUUAAAGUGUUUUUUUUUAGAAAUGAAUUAAAAUAAUAUAUAUUUUUUAUUUUUUAAAAUUUAUUUUUAAUUACAUGAUAUGAAAAUAUUUAAAAAAUAUUAAUUUGAAAUAAAAAAUUUUUAAAAUAAAAAACAAAAAAUAUGGUUGGAAAGAACUCUGUUCCCAAACGGUCCUUAACCUCUUGACCUCCAAACUUUUCUAGAUACGUCCUCAAGUAGGGAAGGAAGAAGGGAUUUUGAGAGACAUUAGAGAAUCUAACUAACAUUGAAAAAGUCUAUAUUUCUCUACAGCCACACAGUAGUUUACCGUGUUCCUUUUUAUUGCUAAAGUCCAACUAAAGCCCAUGUGGUCUCCCCAUCGGCUUGCAUUGAAUGGCUGCCGAUACCUUUCUUGGUGGAUGGUGUGACCGCCGUACCCCCCUCCCUCCCUCCCUCCCUCCCGCGCUUGCAUGCCAGCCCAUCUACUACAUUUUCAAUUCCUCCCUGCAUUUGCGUUCUAUUUUAAGCAGCGCUGACGAGCUUUUGGGCUUAUCUCCGUCAACCUACUUUUAAUAAUGUUUUUUUUUUGGAAUAAAAUUCUGAGUAUUUUUAUUUUAAAAUAUAUUAAAAUAAUAUUUUUUAUUUUUUUAAAAUUAUUUUUAAUAUCAAUACAUCAAAAUAAUUUAAAAAUAUAAAAAAUAUAUUAUUUUUUUAAAAUAAAAUAUUUUUAAAUAAUUUUUGAAAGAUUUUCAAAACACAAUACAACCAUUAUCUUUUCUUCACAUGAAAGUAAAGUCAAAAAGAUAAAAUUUCUAAAAACUAAAAAAAACCCUAAAAACUAAAAAAACACCCAAUAUUAAAGCUCUUCCUACAGCACAAUUCUUUCCCUUCCAUUCCAAUCCAUGGCCAAUUCCAUCCAAACUUCCACCACUGACACUGCCACCAAACACCCCUCGGCCAAACGUAGAAAGCUAACCACAGACCAACACCAGAACCACCAAGAACAGCCUCUCAUACCAGGUCUUACUGACCACGUAGCCCAACUUUCCCUCUCCCUUGUCCACCCUUCUACACUUUACCCUGUUUGCCACUCAUGGCGUCGCCUAAUCUACUCCCUUUCUUUCCCUCCUUUUCUAUCUCUCUACGCGGUUUUAUCAUCAACAAAUAUAAAUCACCGCCUUUCCAAUAACAAUCCAAUCCAAUCCUUCAACUUUGACCCCAUUUCUUCUAAAUGGGAUUCUCUCCCUCCUCCACCACCAGACCCACCACUCCAUCUCCUUCUCCGCCACCCUUGCUUCAUCUCCCGUGACCUUCCUAUCCAAUCCAUCUCUGCUUGUGGUCGCUUGAUACUUAUUGCUGCUACUUCUCACAAUUUUUCCCCAGCUCUCUCUCGCCCUCUUGUUUUUAAUCCACUCUCAGGCGUAUGGGGCUUUGGCCCCCCACUCACCACACCUCGCCGCUGGUGUGCUGCAGGCUCAGCAAAGGACACGGUCUAUGUGGCGAGUGGGAUCGGAUCCCAGUUCAACACGGACGUGUCCAAGUCAGUAGAGAAGUGGGAUUUGCAAAGCAAGAACGUCGGGAUCUCCACCAUCGCCAAUAAAACAAUUACAUGGAAAUGGGAAAAGGUUAAAGGACUAAAAGAUGGGAGAUUUUGUAGGGAUGCUAUCGAUGCAGUGGGGUGGAGAGGGAAACUUUGUAUGGUGAACAUGAAAGGAGAUGCACCUAAAGAAGGGCUUGUUUAUGACACUGAGAAAGACGCAUGGGAGAACAUGCCAGAGGGUAUGCUUGCAGGGUGGAGAGGACCCGUGGCAUCCAUGGAUGAAGAGACUAUGUUUGUGGUGGAUGAAGCCAGGGGUGUGCUUAGAAAGUAUGAUCCAGAAAAGGAUUAUUGGGAGCAUAUGAUGGAGUCAGAAAGGCUUGUUGGAGCACAGAAGAUUGCUGCUGGUGGCGGUAGAGUUUGUGUUAUUCGCGGCUGUAGUACUGAGAUUGUGGUGCUAGAUGUGGCGGCGCUUCCGGUGAAACUAUGGGUGGUGAAAACGCCACCGGGAUUUGAAGCCUUGGCAAUUCAUAUUUUGCCAAGGAUGAGCCGGCCAGAUUUUUGAUUUCCUGGUAUUGCCAUGGUUUUUAUUUUUAUUUUUUAAAAAUCUUAUAUGAUCUGUGAUCUUAUGUUGCGUCUUGGCCUAAUUUUCUGCUCAUUGUUGUACUGCAAUUUUUUUUUUAUCAUUCUUUUAAUCUCAGUUUAUUCUGAUUGAAAGUGCAAAUUUGUCGUUUCUAGGAUCAAUACAGCACUGAUGCUGAUCCCAGCAAGAUUUCGUUUGCCCAGAGUAUAGUUUGCUUGCCCACUUCAACCACCGCUGUUAAAAAUAUAUUUAGAAAAACAUUUUUAAAAUUUUUUUUAUUGCAAAAGAAAUGCUAAAAACUAAGUUAACAAAAGAAUGUUUUUGUACCCUUUAACUUCACGAAGAGAAAAAUAUUUUCCAUUGAUUUACAAUAUAUUAUUAUGUAAUUACUUCAAUUCAUUAUAAUCAUAUUAUCUUAAUCACUAUUAACCAAUUUUAUUAUUAUUUUACUAUAAUUCUCCAACGGCAUUUAAGUUUUAAAAUUUUCUUUGAAAAAAUUUAAUUUUUUUAUUUUAAAUUAAUAUUUUUUGAUGUUUUUAGAUUAUUUUAAUGCGUUGAUAUCAAAAAUAAUUUUUAAAAAAUAAAAAAAUAUUAUUUUAUAAAAAAAACAUUUUUAUUGGUAUAUUAAUCAUACAACGGAUAUAACUUAUUUUUUUUUUAAUUUUUUUUUUGCAAAACAAAUGUAUCCUUAAAGGAUAAACAUAGCAAGAAUAUGCUUAGCAAAGAUAUUAACGAUGGCCUCAUAAUAAAAACAACGUCAAAUAAUAAUUGUUUGUAAAUAUAUUCGAAGCCUGUAAUCUCAUGAAUUGUGUUAAAAGUUGUUUCAAUAAUAUAUAGUUCUGUAGGUUAUAGUUUUGGUGCGUUUAUAAACUUGUUUUCUUGAUCAGGGUUUAAUUUCUAAUUAAUUUCAAUUCAUUUAUACUGUUGGAUCGCAUACAUACAUACAAGUGAUUUCAAACCAUGCUCGUCGAAGACCGACCUGUUCAUAUAUAAAUGUUAACGGAGACAUUUUCCCCAUAUAUAAUUAAUGCAUGUGAAGCUGGGAAAAUGGAGAUUAAUGAAAAAGUUGUGACAUGCACCGUGUUAAGGCUGAACUAGCAGCCUUAAUAUAGCAAGUUCUAGGCUAUUGAAAGAGUCUUUAAUCAAACGGUACUCUUGUUGUUUUUGUAGUAAAUGGAUGUAUGCAUGUACAGCGAUCAUGCUCCCUUAAGAUUUGAUAAUAAUAUUAGUCAAAUUACGAACGAAAGCGAAGAAUCUUCGGUUCAUCUGAGUUUUAGAAUAAGAACAGAGCAAACAGGUAAACUACUUUUAAAGCUUUUGGGAUGGGACAGAGGGACCGGCAGUAGCAGUCGACGGUGGGAGAAUGCAACAGUAGAAUAUUGCAUGCUUAAGAAGGAGAAAAGGCAAUUUUUCAUAACCACUCAACAACAUUUCUGUCCACCGCGCGCCCCCACACCAGCAACUAAAACUUUUCGUAUUCAUUUCUACUUUGUAAUUUCUCUCGUUUUGAUUGCUAAAGUCAAGCCAUGCCUUUAUGCCGGGUCCCCAGUUGGCUUUGAAUAUUAAUCGCUGCAGCCCCGGUUGUCCAGGUCAUCCUCAUGAAUGUCAGCUGCACCUUUCCACAAAAAACAAGACACGUACUACCUCAGCUUUACAGAUUCUGGAUAGCCUGUGGCGUCAGUCCUUGUCUUCCAGGGUUUUAUGCAGUCCAGUGAACAGCUUCCUGCUAUCCGUUGACCGUCAAAGCACAAGCCUUUUAUACAUUUAUUCCUUAAUGGCAAGUUACUACUUUUAUGGUCAUUUUUACAGUGUGGUCGUUCAUAAAUACAAUCCAUAAAAACAUAUAAUAAAUUGAUAUCACAGUACUUUCGAUAGAUUUUUAAAACCUGCUCAAUCCAUAUAAAUAGUGUUUUUUUAUUUUCUUCUCAUGUUUUUUUUUGUUUCUCACUUGCAUAGUUUCCUCUCAUUCUAUUUCUCUUAAUCUCUUUCUUUUCAAUUCUCUCCUUCAAACCUAAGAUACUUAUAAUUUUUUCUCUCUCUCUCUGUCAUCAAUGCUAUAUAUUGGCUUUCAUGUGUCACUGAUUUAGCUUUCGACUAGUUUAGCGUGAAACAUUGGGUUUUUACCUUAAGCUCGCCUGUGACUGCCCUGCUCUCCUAAGUCAGUUUGGCAAGCGGUUGAACUUGAAGCUUCUUUCCAAUCAUCUACCAAGGUGAGAUCCCAAGGUUUGACACGCUUUUAGAAGGAAGAAGUUUAUUCUUGACGAUGUGUGCAAAAGGGAACCUAAUGCUACUUUUUUUUUUUGUUUUGUUUUAGGGUUCACUAGUUACAUACCCGCGUAAUGCCGCGGGGGUUAAUUUUUUUUAUAUAAAAUAUAUAAAAAAAACUAAGAUUUAAAAGUGUUAGGUCUUUCUGCAAAACUAUACCCAAGAGUCUUGGGUUUGGCUGCAACACCUGACCCAAGAGUAAUAUUUAUAAUAUUAAUAAUAACAUUAAACUUGCAUGACUCAAGUUUAAAAGGAUCUGGCUGCAAUACCAGACCCAAUAGCCAUGGAUGCGGAUCUAGCUGCAAAGUCGUGUCAUAAAAGUGUGAUAAUUAAAUAGAUUAAUUAAAAAGAAAAAAAAGAAAAAAAACCAACAAAAAGAAAAAAACUAAUGAAAAAAAAGAAAAAUAUCUGAAUUAAUUGAGUUAACCCUUUAAAGCAGGUUAACCCGUUAAACUUUGGAUUCGUGUCGUGAAAGUUUGAUAAAUAAAUAGAAAAAAAAAUUGUCGGGUUACCCCAUAAUUAAUUGGGCUACCCCGUCAAACCAGGGUAACCCGUCAAACCCGGGAUCCGUGUCAUGAAAGUUUGAUAACUAAAUAUAAAAAAAUUAAACAUUAACAAACUAAAUUAAAUGAAAAAAAUUAAUUAAAAAGGAAAAAAACAAAAACAAACAAAAGGCAUUAGCCUUUUCACUAUGCAGUCCACAGUCAAAGGUAUAAAAACGACAAAAAAGCAAAAAGAAAAAAAAAAGAAAAACUAAAGGCAUCAGCCGAUAACUAAAUAGAAAAAAAUUUAAUAUUAAUGAACUAAAUUAAAUAAAAAAUAUUAAUUAAAAAGAAAAUAUAUAUAAAAAAAAACUUAUAAGAGGAAAAAAACUAAUGAAGAAAAAGAAAAAAAAAUCUAAAUUAACUAGGUUAACUCGUCAAACCUGAGAUCCGUGUCAUGAAAUUCUGAUAACUAAAUAGAAAAAAAUUUAAUAUCAAUAAACUAAAUAAAAAAAAUUAAUUAAAAAAAAGCAUCAACCUUUUCACCGUGUACUGCAUUGUGCAGUCCACCGUGAAAGGCAUAAAAAGAAUAAAAAAGCAAAAAAAAAAAAAACUAAAUGCAUCAGCCUUUUCAUCAUGGACUGCAUACAAUAUUAAAAGAUGAAAUCGGAAGAAAAAAACAAAUAAGAAAAAAGAAAAAAAUCUGAAUCAACUAGGUUAACCCGUCAAACCUGAGAUUCGUGUCAUGAAAGUGUGAUAACUAAAUAGAAAAAAGAUUUAAUAUUAAUGAACUAAAUUAAAAAAAAAGAUUAAUUAAAAAGGAAAAAGCAAAGAGAAAAAAACUAAUGAAGAAAAAGAAAAAAAAUCUGAAUCAACUGGGUUAACCCGUUAAACCUGGGAUCCGUGUCAAAAGUUUGAUAAUUAAAUAGAAAAAAUUUAAUAUUAAGAAGCUAUAGAAAAAAAAAACUAAAGACAUAAACUUUUUCAUUGUGGACUGCACGGUGCAGUCCACGGUAAAAGGCUUAAAAAGAAAGAAAAAAAAACAAAGGCAUACGCCACGGGUUAAUUUUUUUCUUGCAUAAAAAAAUUCAAAAAGGUUAAGAUCUAAGAGUGUUAGAUAUUUCUGCAAAGAUAUAUCCAAGAGCCUUAGAUCUAGCUGUAACGCUUGACCCAAAAGUAAUAUUUAUAAUAUUAAUAAUAAUAUUAAACUUAGAUAUUUUAAAUUUAAGUGAGUUUGGCUGCAACAUCGAACUCAAGAACCUUGGAUAGUUCGGCCAUGUUAAAUUAUUAUAUUAAUAAUAAUAACAUUAAAAUUAUUUAAUUUUUUUUUAACGUUUUAAUCCUUUAACAACCUAUUAUUUCACAUUUAAACUAAGGUUAGCUAGAUCUUAAAACUAUGACAACGUGGAAUUUGUUUGAAUUAGAACACCAUUGAAAUGGUGGUAACGAGCUUAAUCUCGACUUGCUAGAUUGAACAAAUCACAAUAAAUUACUCGUACGUUGAAUAAUUAGAACACACACACGAACAUAAAUCUUUAAAGCCCUCAGUGCUGUUGAGUGACGAACUGGCUAAACUACUCAGAUCAAAAGCAUUCAUUGAGCUUGGAUCCGUUGCCUUUUCUUUCUUUGGACAAGUACAAGAGUCAUGGCCGUCAUUUUUUACACUUGGCACACCUUCUUUUCUAACCUUUUCAAAUGGCGAAAGAUCACCUCUCGUAAAAGCAAUUGAAGUGUCUAGCGUGGAUAUAAAGCUAGGAUUCUCGAACCUCUGAGUUAAAGAUUUAAGCUGCAAGGAAAUUUUUUUUUGGUGUGUUUAGCAGUUACUAAGCUAUGAUGAGGCCGUCUGCUUCAAAAUUUAUUAAUUGGCUCUUGGGUUUGAAGAAUUCCAGUCCCUCCAUGGUAUGUAGCCAUUUUCUAUUCCUUUUCUUUUCUUUGCACUCUUAGUUUUUCAUUAAGAUUCUGCAUGACUGGACAUACUUGUAGCAUCCUAUUUAUGUUUAAUUUUCAUUUGAUCACAAUGCUACUUAGUGAAGCCCGUGAAUUUUUUUUUUCAAAUUUUUAAUCUUUCAUUUUGUUUGUUCUAGCAGAACAUCUUCAAUUUUCCUCUCAUCAUGUUUUAGACAUGCUACGCCAUUAAUGCCAAUCUCCUUUUUUUUUCGUUCAUAAUACACGAGGAAAAUUCAUUGCUCUGUAACUACUAAGGGGAAUUAUAGUAAAAAAACUGUUCUUUCUCAACAAACUUCCAUCUUAGUGUCUUUUUUAUGAUUGUUAACCUUGGGAGAUUUGGCUUUAGGAUGGUCUUUCUUCACGUCAAGGUUGAUGACAGUAUACGACUACUGUUAUCUGAUCACUUUUCAUAGUCAUUAGGUUAUUCCUUUUGAUGUUCAAUUAUUUGAUGUAUACCCAAAUACAAUUCUGAAAGUGUUUUCACUAAUCUCUAUCAUCUCAAGAAAUUAUGUUAAUCAAUUAUGUGCUUGUUGCACGUGCUUGUGUUUACACCUUGAGCAUGCUUGAUGAUUUUCAGUAUUUUGAUUGCUACUCUAGUUAACAUGCAAGUUUAAAAUGGUAACGAUGUUUAGAAUUCACUUGUAGGUUGAUUGUGAGGUUGGAUCUUAUUCUGCAUCCAGAAAGAGCAAAUGUCAAGGUUCUUUUAGCGGCCAUCUUAAUGGUUCCUUGACAAAGGCGUAUACAACUUCAUGUGCUAAGUUGUCAGAAGAUCCACAGAGCACUAAUCUCACUUCUGAAAUGUUAAUUGAUUCAUUUGGGAGGAUGCACACUUACUUGAGGAUCUCCUCGACAGAUCGUCGCAAUCCACAUUGUCAAUACUGUAUGCCAACUGAGGGUGUGGAGCUCACUCCUAGCCCUCAAUUACUCUCGCAGAAUGAGAUUGUUCAUUUGGCAAAUCUCUUUGUAAGCUCUGGAGUAGAUAAAAUUCGUUUGACUGGUGGUGAGCCAACCAUUAGAAAAGGUAUUGAAGACAUGCUUACAGCUGUCUAACUUGAAAGGACUAAAGCCAUUGGCCAUGGCAGCCAAUGGAAUCACUCUUCCGAGAAAACUUCCAGAGCUGAAAGAAUGCGGGCUUACUUCUGUAAAUAUCAGCUUAGACACAUUGGUCCCGGCAAAAUUUGAAUUUUUGACCAGGCGGAAAGGGCAUGAAAGAGUUGUGGAUUCAAUUAAUACUGCUGUGGACUGUGGGUACAAUCCAGCAAAAGUAUAUAUCAUCUUUGCAAUUCUGUUGGUCUUUGCUUUCUCCUAAUUAUGCUCUCUUCAUAUUCAAUAUCUUAACACGUACAAUUCUUUUAUUGACUGCUGCAACGAUAAGUUCACUAUUAGUCACAUAUUUAUUUAUUUACUAUUUUCAGGGCUUCCACUGACUCUAAACUAAACUAGUUUUUUUUUUCCUGUCUUUGUUGGUUGCAAUUAGGUGAAUUGUGUGGUGAUGCGUGGGUUUAACGAUGAUUAUAUUUGUGAUUUUGUGGAGUUGACACGUGACAAACCAAUUAAUGUUCGGUUUAUUGAGUUCAUGCCUUUUGAUGGAAAUGUGGAAUGUCAAGAAACUCGUUCCUUACUCACAAAUGCUGGACAGAGUGGUAAGGUAGAACUCUGACAGGUCUGUGAGGAAAUUUUAUAGUUUCCCCUUAUCAAUUCUUUUGGUAACUUCUGUUAACUGAACAGGGGAAGCUGUUUCCUGGCCUAAAGAGACUGCAGGAUCACCCUGCUGAUACAGCCAAGAACUUCAGGAUGGCUGGGCAUAUUGGAACGGUUUCUUUUAUCACCUCAAUGACUGAGCAUUUCUGUGCUGGUUGCAAUAGAUUGCGACUUUUAGCUGAUGGAAACUUUAAAGUAUGCCUCUUUGAUCCUUCAGAGGUGAACCACAUUCUUCCAUGCCAUAGCGAUUUAUUGCUCAACUUCUCUUUUCUUCAAGUUAUAGAACCAGAUCAUAUAAUUGCUAUUGCUUCAUCUUCAGCUGUGUGUGUUUAUUACGUCUGCCUAACCUGAUUAACUUUUCAAUAUGGUCAUGCUUGUCUUUUUUUAUUUUUCUCAUGUAUUCCUGGGCAUAAGAACCAAUUCGCACGCGUACUGAAUUUGGAAUACAUAACACAAAUUUAUUAUCAGACUGUCUAUUGGUUUGACUUGCCAGUGUCAGAUAGAAAGACUAUAAGCUUCAUUUUCUUGCAGUUUCCUUAUUUAGCUGAGCAUGUGGGAUUUUCAGGUACAAGUUUAGUCAAUUAGGUAGAGUACAAUUCAGCUUUUGGGGUUUGCUACAGAUAUCAUCUUUUGUUUCUGCUAAAAUUCUGGAUGCCAUGUUUCUUCAGAACCUAUUUCACAGUUCUUACAUCCUUAAUCUUGUCCUGUCUUAAUUUGAAUCUUCCAAGUUCAUUUUUAUUCCAAAUGACUUAACUAUUGUCAUCUAAUGUAGAAAUAUUUAUAUUUAUUUUUCUUCCUUUCAGGUGCCACAGAUCCAUCACAGCAUUCUCUUUUAGAUGACUGUCAUACCACGGCACAUAGUGCUACUCUACUCUAGUGUGCACAAUAUUAUCUGCAAUUUGACUAACAGGUUGCCAAUUGAGUAGGAGUGCUCGUAACAUUCUUAGUAUUAAGGAUCUUCUCCUUUUCUUUCUGGUACCCAUCGAAGAGAAAACUUUAGUUCUUCUAUCCCACUUGCUCGGGCAGCGUCCUCUUUCUUUUCUUCUUGUGGUUGUUGCAACUAUUACAUUGAAUUUGGUUGAAUUGAGUUAUCUCAUUGCAGACUUUUUCCUUGCGUGUUUCAUAUUUAUUGGCUCAACCUAAAAUUGUCUCCGUCCAUCUUGCCUCCCAUUGACUGACAUAAAAGCAGCCAAAACCAUUUAACAAGAGAACAUUUUGUAUGAGAUCAGAGUUGUGCUAUCAUACUAAAUGGUAAAAAAAAAAAAAAAAAAAAAAAGAGAAAGAAAGAAAGAAAAACCUGUAAGAUUUAAACUCCAUGCAUCCUUGGGAUUCAUACAAACUCAGAAAUUACAAUAUUUUGUUUUGAUUUCUAAAGGUUAUUUGUCCUUUCCAGGUUAGCUUGGGAGAUCCCCUUCGGUCGAGGUGCUGAAGAACGUGAGCUUAAGGAAAUAAUUGGGGCAGCGGUAUGCAAUUUGUAGUCUUGUCAGGUCAGCGUUUUCUAAAAUAGAUAGAUGUUGCAGAUCAUCAUUAGGAUUAACAUUCCUUGCACUGUCCUAAGUUGCGAUUGCAGUUACUUCCCUGGUCCAGUGUUACUCCAUUCCGGGCUAUAGUUUUGGGACUAAUGCACAUGAAUUUUUAUUAAUGUUUAGCAACAAAUUACUAAUAAAUAUUUAAUAUAUAUAUAUAUAUAUAUAUAUAUAUAUAUAUAUUGAUUUGAAAUACAUGUACCAACUCAAGUCAAGCAAAAUUAAUUUAAGAAUAUUUUUAAAAUAAAAAAAACUUAUAUUAUAAUUGUUUUCUUCGAGAUUUUAUAUUUUAAAACUGCUUCAUAAUAAUUUUAUUUUUAAUUUCAUUAAAAAUAUAUUUCUCAAUAUAUACUACAAACUUUCAUUUAUCUAUUUCUAAAUCUUCCAAAGACUAGGAAAGUUGUUGACAACAAUUAUAUGCUGACAUAUGGUACAUAACAUCUAAAAUCAUAGCUUAAAAGAAUUGUUACAAAUUGAUGUUGUUCUUACUGACUUGUUGUUUUGUACAAGUAGAUUAAAUAUAAUUAUUAAAUAUUUUUUUUUAAUUUAUCUAUUAUAUCCCUAAUUUUUUUAGUUGUCUUGUACUUCAUUUUUAAUCAUUAGUAAAUUCAUUAUCAUCAUUUUUCAUAUGAAAUUCAUAACAAAACUUAUCAAUUCAUCAAAACUCAUUUCAAUUCAUAUCUAUUAGCAUAUAAUAUUACCCAUACACAUAUUAAUUCAACAAACCCAUAAAUUAUUAUAAACCCUAACAUUUUUAAUAACUAAUUUUUGGAGAUGUAGACCCAGUAUUUUUGGAGCUUCCAUAUCUGGUUGACCUAUUAGGAAGAGAUGAAGUGAAAUUCAAUUUUUUUUUUUGUUAAAAAUUAAUUUUUUUUAGUAUGUUUUAGAUUGUUUUGAUGCGCUGAUCUUAAAAAUAAUUUUUUUAAAAUAAAAAAAAUUAUUUUGAUGUAUUUCGACAUAAAAAACACUUUGAAAAGCAGUCGCAAUCACACUUCUAUACAAGUAAAGUCUCUAACAGCACAAGUAUAAAAAAUAUAACUGCUGGGCAAGCCAACUCUUUUCUCAAACCCAUCAGCUGGCUCAUUAUAAUUAUAUAUAUAUAUAUAUAUAUAUAUAUAUAUAUAUAUAUAUUAGACCAUGCAUAGAAUUCUCUUUAUUAAAAACAGAUAAGAGAAAGGAAUCGGGGGAAGGGGGGGCAAUUGCCCCCUCUUGCCCCUACGUGGCUCCGCCACUGCCUAUCUUUUAUGAAUGAAUUUAAAAAGAAUUUCACUGGAAAUAAAAAUACUAGUACUUAAAUCAAUGCAUGCCUUAAUUCUAGUGAAAAAUAUGCAUCCUUUUUCAUUAAAUGAUUAAAAGUUUACCAAUCUAGCUUGACUCAUGUAGAAACCAAGAGAUUCUAGCAGUAUUGUGUUUAAAAAUAAAUAUACUUUGUUAUUAAGCUUUUAUUGCUUGUCUCAUUGAAUUUAUCUUGUUUGCUUCAGAUCAAGAAGAAAAAAAGCUUCACAUGCCGGGAUGUUUGACAUUGCAAAAACGGUGAAUAGGCCAAUGAUACAUAUAAGUGGCCAAGGCCUGGCGUGUCCGCGGACCCCUUUUCUGUUUAGUGUUCAUCCAGAUGGAAAUGUUUACUGCAUUAUUUAUUCAGAUCGGUCCAACUCCAUUGUCGGUGAAUUUUUUUUUCUCUUAAAGUUGCUUUCAACCUCAAAAAACUAGCAUAUCUUAUGGUGUUUAUUUAAUUAGAAGAAUAUUAGGCUUGGUCACACCUUUCGUGGGAGGUGAAUUGGUGCUCUCACAGACAAAAUACUUCCAACUAAAAAGCUACUUACAGGUAAGAUCCUAAGCAUGAGAGUGCGGUACUGCAGUGCACUCUUAAUAUAGUACAGAGAUUUGGUGGUUUUGGAAAAAAACCAAGUACCUAGUCUGCUCUUCAAGCUUCCCUCGGGAUUUCACCAUGACAGUGUCCACUCAACGAGUUGGAGAAAUUUUACAAAAAUCUUAGCCAGCUCACUUGAGUUGUUACAAAUCUGAAACUUCCCUCGAGCUUUUCCACCUACUCUUAUACAGCAUGUGAAUCCUGCAAGCCCAAAUUUAUCUGCACUCAACCCAUCAAGAUAUCACCUGUUACCCCUGUUUUCUCUCUGGACAAACCCAUAGUUGAAGCAUUUUCUCUGGUUAGUUUAGUUACUCAAGGCAGUGAAGCAUAGGUGCAUAAAUGAGAGCGAAACUUUAUAAAUUAUGUUUCCAUUUACCCUGUCUUUAUGGUUAGGACCACUUUAUCUUACGAAGAUGCUGCGAAAAGCAUAGCAACUGAUUGCCCUUCUAAAAGUCCGCUAUGAACACUAAAUCUAAAGCUAAAAUAGAGUCACUUUUAAAACACAAUUGCAAUUCCUUUCAGGUUUGGUGAGGCGAUGCAGAGCAGAAACGACUCUUUUCAUCCCCUCAUUUAGUUGAUGUCAUUGCAUUGAGAUGAAAAACACAUUGGUGGCUAACCAUGAGCCAUCACCACCCCCAAAAAUUCGAAAUCAAUGGGCAAGACGUGAUCAAAAUUCAUCCAAGACCUUAGAAGAACUUUCUGACAUUGUAGCUGAAUGUUGUGAUGAUUACCUUUACAAUCAUUUGUCAUUUUGCGUUCUGUUUUUGUAUUUUUAUUUUGUUUUGGAGUAAUUGUAUAACUUUGAGAAAAUAUUUGCCUAGUUUUUGUUAAGAUUGUCAAAAAUGCUUUUUUGACAUGGCACAAAAAAUACAAUAUAAACUCGGAUAGUAAACCCGAAUUGUAAAAUCAUAAAAUCAGAAGUUUUUUUUUAACUAAUUAUAUAUUGAUAAUUCUAGUCAAGAAAUUAAAUUACAUUAAAAUCUGAUAAAAUAAGUCAACAAUAUUAUAAUCAAUGAGUGAUCUAAAUAAAAUGAGAGAGAUAGAUAGUAUGAAUUAAUAAAUUAAUGACAUGGAGAAAUAAAAAGUCUCAGAACAAAAUUUCUCAAUACAAGGGAAUCACUAAAAGGUAGGAAGCACAUAUAAACUCAGUGACAACCUGGUUGUUCCCAUCCUGGUUGUUCCCAUCACAAUAAGUCUUGAUAGACCUCUUUUGGGUUGCAAACUAAUGAGUUUAAAUUACUAAUCAACUAAAAUAAACUCAUAAACAAUGUCUAAUGCGCUAGAAAAAAUUCAAAUUAAAAAUAAUUAUUUAAAAAUAAAUAAAUAAAUAAAUAAAUAAAUAAAUAAAUAAAAUAGAAUAAUAAAAAAAGUCUUCAUGUUAAAAUUCAUCUAUAUAGCCUGAAUCUCUAAUUUUUGUAUAUUCUUGACAGAUUUGAGUCCUGAUUUCAAACAUGUCGUUCUCUCUCGUUUAGAUGAAUUAUUGGACCUACAAUAUAUAGUUGGAAAGUUUCAGAUGUCUAGUUUCUAUCCUAACUUUAAUCGAAGCAAAAUUCCACUGGUAGCUCUAGAUAUGUCUCAAACAGUACACAAAGAUAUUGUUUGACAUAUUUGAUAAUAUUAGUUUACUAAAUUUGACCCUCUGAAAUAUUAUGUUCCCUAACUCCAUUUGACUUGAAAAUAUACCACAAUAUAUUUUCAUAUAUUUAAUAUUUCCCUGUAAAAUUUCAGCUUUAUCCAAUAUACGGUUUGAAAGAUAUGCUCAAUCUCGCAAAACUAGUCAGCAGACAUUUUAAGGUCAAAUUUGGACAUGACUUGGUUCAUAUCACAAAUUUAGUAAACUCGUGAAAUCAAACCGAGUUUAUCGAUUUUACUGAUUUUGCACGACUUAAGUUCGAUUUUACUGGUUUCGAGUUUUUAGUCCGAUUUAGCACGUUAGAUACAUGUUGACUCGUAAAAUCCUACAAUUUUACGAGUUAACUUAUGAUUUUAACAACCUUGGUUUAUAUGAUAUCUAUUCAGUUUCUGCAAUCUGGUAUUUUGUUUUUCGCUGCUUUUGUGUUCUGGUUUUAUUUGUUUGUUGAUUAUGGCUAUUGAAAGAGAUGAUUCGCUUAGUCUAUAAGUGUGAGGUUGGAUGGAAAGAACUAUUUGUAUUGAAGUUAUGUAAUGAGAAAUUUCCUUGAGGGUAAAAAGAUGUGGAGAUAUGUUAGUGGAACUUAUGUGAUACCUAAGAAUACUGAGGAGAAUGAUGUACUUUGAUAGAUGCAUGAGAAGCAAACAAUGCAAAGAUUAUUACUUGAAUUAGCAAUUCUGUUGAGAAUUCCAUAGGUAUGUAGUUGGUAAAGUAUGAGACAACAAAAGAGGUUUGAGAUCAUCUGCAAAAGUUAUUUAUGCAAUCAAAUUUUGCAUAACAGUAUCAAUUAGAGAAUGAUAUACGAGCUCUUCACUAGAAGAAUAUGAGUAUUCAGGAGUUUUAUUUUGCUAUGAUAGAUUUUUAGGAUUACUUGGCUCUUACAGAAUCGGCAGAAUUAAAGGUAUGUGGUGCCUAUAUUGAUCGUAAAGAGGAGCAACAAUUGAUAUAGUUUUUUACAGCACUUCACAGUGAUUUUGAAGGACUUAGAGGUUAAAUUCUGCGUCGUUCUCCAAUAUCUUCUGUUGACUCUGUUAUCAGUACUAUUGACUGAAGAAAUACAUCUUCAAUCUUAUUCUAAAAAGAGAAUUCUUUAUGUUUCAAAUCCUUCUAUACUAGCAGUAUUCUCUAAGCCAUUCUCUAAUCAUCAGAAUAAGCAUUACACAAGGGUUGCCUUCGACGAGUACAAUUUCUGUAAGCAGAGAGGUCAUUGGAAGGCUUAGUGUCCCAAGUUGAGACAACAAAAACAAGUUUGGAAGCCUGAUAACCAGUCACAAUCCAAUGCCCAUACACCACCUGAGGGUUAUAAAUCGCCACACCACAACACUGCAACAAUAGUUUCAUCAGGCUUUGUCACCAAUCCUACUACUCUAGCUGAGUAAUUUCAGAAGUUUCUCUCUUUACAGCCACAUGCAAUUUACACAUUUUCUUUUGCAAGUCGGUUACCUCAUAGUUCGACAGGUAUGUUACAUUCUGAAUGGGUUUUGGAUUCUGGUGCUUCAUAUCAUAUGUCUUUAGAUUCUUCAUUUUUUACUUUUGUGUCCCCUUCGCUCUCUAUUCUUGUUAUGACUGCUGAUGACACUCUCAUGCCCUUAGCAGGUGUUGGUUUUGUUGUCACACCUCCCUUGUCUCUCUUUAAUGUUUAUCUUAUUCUGAAACUCAGAUUGAAUCUUGCCUCUGUUGGUUAGUUAUGUGAUUCUAGUGCUUAUUUAGUCAUUUUUUCCUUUUUUUUUAUUGUGUGCAGGAUCUUAAUUUCAGAAGUUGAUUGGAACAGGUCAUAAGGAGAAUGAACUAUAUAUUUUGGAUGAGUUAAAAGUGUUAGUUGCUGCUGCUGCUACUACUACUACUAUUGAUUUAUCUUCUUUUCAUUUGAGUCCUUCAUCUUUUAGUUUUUAUUUAUGACAUUCUCAUUUAAGUCAUAUUUUGUCUUCUUGUUUGAGAUUUUUGGCAUCCACAAGAGCUUUAGAAAAUUUGCAAACUUGUGAUAUUUCUAAUUGUAGUGGAUAUAAACUGAUAAAAUUUUUUGCUUUACCUUUUAAUCGAAGUAUUUCUGUUUCUUCUUUCCAAUUUGACUUGAUUUAUUCUGAUGUAUGGGAACCUUCUCUUGUUGCUUCAAAAAGAGGGUCUCGAUAUCAUGUUUUUAUUUAUUGAUAAUAAUACUCGUUAUUGUUUGGUUUAUUUAUGAAAUAUUGUUUUGAAUUCUUUAAGAUAUAUACAACAUUUCAAGCUCUUGUCAAAACUCAAUGUUUUGUUGUUAUCAAAUGCUUUAGGUGUGAUUUGGGUGAUGAAUACACCUCUAAUAAAUUUUAUGAGUUGCUUACCUUAGAUGGAAUCAUUCACCAAACUUCAUAUACAGAUACUCCUGAGCAAAAUGGAGUUGUUGAAAAAAAUAUAGGCACAUUGUCAAAACUGAUUGUUCUCUCUUGUUAUCUGCUUCUAUUCCUAGUGAGUUUUGGGGAGAAGCUGUCCUUACUACUGCAAGUUUGAUUAAUACAAUUCCAUCUUCUCAUAUUUUAGAGUUUUCUCAUUUAAAAAAGUUAUAUUAGUAAACCCCUGAUUAUUCCUCAUUUAGAGUUUUUGGUUGUACUUGUUUCGUUCUUUAUCCUCAUGUAGAACGUAGUAAGUUGUUCGCUUGAUCUGUUAUAUGUGUUUUUCUUGGUUAUGAUAAAGGUAAAAACGAGUAUCGUUGUUUUGAUCCAAUAACUCAGAAACUUUAUGUGUUUUGUCAUGUUGUCUUUCUCGAGCAUAUGCCUUUCUUUUCUAUUCUAUCAACUACUUAUAACUUGUCUAGAUCUGAUAAAUCGUUCUCCACUGCCUUCUGUUGACUCUGUUGUCAGUGAGUUAUUGGCUGAAGAAAUACGUCUUCAGUCUUAUUCUGAAAAGGGAAUCCUUUCUGCUUCAAAUUCUUCGGUACUAGCAGUACCUUCUAAGCCAUUUUCUAAUCAUCAGAACAAGUCUUACACAAGGGUUAGCUUCGAUAAGUGCAAUUUCUAUAAGUAGAAAAGUCAUUAGAAGGCUUAAUGUCCUAAGUUGAGACAUCGGAAUCAAGCUUGGAAGUCUGACAGCCAGUCACAAUCUAAUGCUCAUAGACCACCUCAGGGUUAUAAACCACCACACCACAAUACCGCAGCAGUAGCUUCCCUAGGCUCUAUUACCGAUCACAAUACUUUGGUUGAGCAAUUUCAAAAGUUUCUCUCCUUGCAGCCACAAGCAAUGUCCACUUCUUCUUUCAUAGGUCAGUUGCCUUAUCGUUGCUCAGGUAUGUCACACUCUGAAUGAGUCUUGGAUUCUGGUACUUCCCAUCAUGUCUCCAGAUUCUUCAUCUUUUACCUCUUUGUCCCCUUUUUCCUCCAUUCCUGUUAUGACUGCUGAUGGCACUCCUAUGCCCUUAGCAGGUGUUGGUUCUGUUAUCACACCUCAUUUGUCUCUCCCUAAUGUUUAUCUUAUUCCAAAACUCAAAUUGAAUCUUGCGUCUGUUGGUCAAAUAUGUGAUUCUGGUGAUUAUUUAGUCAUGUUUUCUGGUUCUUUUUGUUGUGUAUAGGAUCUGCAGUCUCAGAAGCUGAUUGGGACAAGCCUUAGGGAGAAUAGACUAUAUAUUUUGGAUGAGUUAAAAGUGCUGCUGCUGCUGCUGUCGCUGCUACUACUACUGUUGAUUUAUCUUCCUUUCGUUUGAGUCUUUCAUCUUCUAGUUUUUAUUUAUGGCAUUCCCGUCUAGGUCAUGUUUCGUCCUCUCGUUUGAGAUUUUUGGCAUCCACAUGAGCUUUAGAAAAUUUGAAAACUUAUGACAUUUCUGAUUGUAGUGGAUGUAAACUAGCAAAAUUUUUCGCUUUACCUUUUAAUCAAAGUAUUUCUGUUUCUUCUUCACCAUUUGAUUUAAUUCAUUCUGAUGUAUGGGGACCUUCUCCUGUUGCCACAAAAGGAGGGUCUCGAUAAUAUGUCUCUUUUAUUGAUGAUCAUACUCGUUAUUGUUGGGUUUAUUUAAUGAAACAUCAUUCUGAAUUCUUUGAGAUAUAUGCAGCUUUUCGAGCUCUUAUCAAAACUCAACAUUCUGUUGUGAUCAAAUGCUUUAGGUGUGAUUUGGGUGGGGAAUACACUUCUAAUAAAUUUUGCCAAUUGUUUGCCUUAGAUGAAACCAUCCACCAAACUUCAUGUACAGAUACUCCUGAGCAAAAUGGUGUUGCUGAAAGAAAACAUAGGCAUAUUGUCAAAACUGCUCGUUCUCUCUUGUUGUCUGCUUUUGUUCCUAGUGAGUUUUGGGGAGAAGCUGUUCUUACUGCUGUAAGUUUGAUUAAUACGAUUCCAUCUUCUCAUAGUUCGGGUCUAUCUCCUUUUGAAAAGUUAUAUGGGUAUGUCCCUGAUUAUUCAUCAUUUAGAGUCUUUGGUUGUACUUGUUUCAUUCUUCGUCCUCAUGUAGAACGCAGUAAGUUAUCCUCUCGAUCCGCUAUUUGUGUCUUUCUGGGUUAUGAUGAAGGUAAAAAGGGGUAUCGUUGUUUUGAUCCAAUAACUCAGAAACUUUAUGUGUCUCGUCAUGUUGUCUUCCUUAAGCAUAUACCUUUCUUUUCUAUUCCAUCCAUACUCAUAGCCUGACUAAAACUGAUCUUAUUCAUAUAGAUCCCUUUUCUGAGGAUUCUGGUAAUGAUACCUCCCCUCAUGUUCGAUCAAUUUGUACUCAUAACUUUGCAAGUACUGGUACUUUACUCUCUGGCACACUUGAAGCUCCAUUCUCAUCUACAGCCCCUCAAGCUUCAUCUGAGAUUAUGGAUCCACCUCCACGUCAGUCCAUCCGUAUUCGCAAGUCCACAAAACUGCCAGAUUUUGCUUAUUUGUGUUAUUCUUCAUCAUUUACUUCCUUUUUAGCUUCUAUUCAUUGUCUCUUUGAGCCCUCUUCCAAUAAAGAGGCAAUUCUUGAUCCGCUUUGGCAGCAAGCUAUGGAUGAGGAACUUUCUAUUUUGCAUAAGACAGAUACUUGAGAUCUGGUUCCUCUACCUCCUGGUAAGAGUGUUGUUGGUUGUCGUUGAGUGUAUAAGAUCAAGACUAAUUCUGAUGGGUUUAUUGAGCGAUACAAAGCUAGGCUGGUUGCAAAAGGAUACUCUCAAUAGUAUGGUAUGGACUAUGAGGAGACAUUUUCCCCGGUUGCAAAAAUGACUACUAUUCGUACUCUUAUUGCCGUAGCUUCGAUUCGUCAGUAGCAUAUUUCUCAGCUUGAUGUUAAAAAUGCCUUCUUGAAUGGAGAUCUUCAAGAAAAAGUUUAUAUGGCACUCCUUCCUGGUAUUUCACAUGACUCUGGAUAUGUUUGUAAGCUUAAGAAAACAUUAUAUGGUCUCAAACAAGCACCCCGUGCUUGGUUUGAGAAAUUCUUUAUUGUGAUCUCGUCUCUUGGCUUUGUUUCUAGCAGUCAUGAUUCUGCUCUUUUUAUUAAGUGCACUGAUGCAGGUCGUAUCAUUCUGUCUUUAUAUGUUGAUGACAUGAUUAUUACUGGUGAUGACAUUGAUGGUAUUUCAGUCUUGAAGACAGAGUUGGCUAGACGAUUUGAAAUGAAAGAUCUGAGUUAUCUUUGAUAUUUCCUGGGUAUUGAGGUAGCAUACUCACCUAGAGGUUACCUUUUUUCUCAGUCGAAAUAUGUUGCAGAUAUUCUUGAGCGGGCUAGACUUACUGAUAACAAGACUGUAGAUACUCCUAUUGAGGUCAACGCGAGAUAUUCUUCUUCUGAUGGUUUUGAUAGAUCCUACUUUAUACCGCACUAUUGUUGGGAGUUUGGUAUAUCUCACCAUUACUCGUCCAGAUAUUGCAUAUGUUGUUCAUGUUGUUAGUCAGUUUGUUGCUUUUCCUACUACUGUUUAUUGGAUAGCUGUUCUUCGUAUUUUGAGAUAUCUUCGGGGUACAGUUUUUCAGAGUCUUUUACUUUCAUCCACCUCUUCCUUGGAGUUGCGUGCAUACUCUGAUGCUGAUCAUGGUAGUGAUCCCACAGAUCGCAAGUCUGUUGCCGGGUUCUGUAUCUUUUUAGGUGAUUCUCUUAUUUUUUGGAAGAGCAAGAAAUAAUCUAUUGUUUCUCAAUCAUCGACCAAAGCAGAAUAUCAUACCAUGACAUCUACUACCAAAGAGAUUGUUUGGUUACGUUAGUUACUUGCUGAUAUGAGAGUUUCCUUUUCUCAUCCUACUCCUAUGUAUUGUGACAACCAGAGUUCUAUUCAGAUUGCUCACAACUCGGUUUUUCAUGAGCGAACUAAGCACAUUAAGAUCGAUUGUCAUCUUACUCGUCAUCAUCUCAAGCAUGACACCAUUGCUUUACCUUUUGUUCCUUCUUCCUUUCAGAUUGCAGAUUUCUUUACCAAGACGCAUUCCAUCUCUCGUUUUUGUUUUCUGGUUGGCAAACUCUCGAUGCUUGUAGCUGCCGCAUUGUGAGUUUAAGGGGAGAUGUUAAAUAAUAUUUAUGUAGUCUUAUUUAUUAAGGCUUUCAGUUUAACCUAUAUAUACUUUAUUUGUAUUUAGGUUAAGACUAAGCACUCAUAAUAAACAGACCAUUCAGAAUUCUAGCCUUCUUUUUAUGUUUUAUCUUAAUUAUUUUAACAGUUUGUAAGCUCAAGAAAGCGUUAUGUGGUCUCAAAUAAGCACCUCGUGCUUGGGUUGAGAAAUUCUUUGCUGUGAUCUCGUCUCUUGGAUUUAUUUCGAGUAGUCAUGAUUCUGUUUUUUUUAUUAAAUGCACUGAUGCAGGUCUUAUCAUUCUAUCUUUAUAUGUUGAUGACAUGAUUAUUACUGGUGAUGAUAUUGAUGGUAUUUCAAUUUUGAAGACAGAGUUGGCUAGACAGUUUGAAAUGAAGGAUUUGAGUAAUCUUUGAUAUUUCCUGGGUAUUGAGGUAGCUUACUCACCCAUAGGUUACCUUCUUUCUAAGUCGAAAUAUGUUGCAGAUAUUUUUGAGCGGGCUAGACUUACUGAUAACAAGACUGUAGAUACUCCCAUUGAGGUUAAUGCAAAGUAUUUUUCUUAUGAUGGUUUACCUUUGACAAAUCCUACUUUAUACUGUACUAUUGUUGGGAGCUUAAUAUAUCUCAUUAUUACUUGUCUAGAUAUUGCAUAUGCUGUUCAUAUUGUUAGUUAGUUUGUUGCUUCUUCUAUUACCGUUCAUUAGGAAAUUGUUCUUUGUAUUUUACGAUAUCUUUAGGGUACUAAAAACGGGGUACAGUCUUUUAGAGUCUUUUACUUCUAUCCAUCUCUUUUUUGGAGCUGCGUGCAUACUCUGAUGCUGAUCAUGACCGUGAUCCCAUAGAUUGCAAGUCUCUUAUUGGCUUCUGUAUCUUGUUAGGUGAUUCUCUUAUUUUUUGGAAGAGCAAAAAACAAUAUAUUGUAUCUCAAUCUUCAACCGAAACAAAAUAUCAUGUUAUGACAUCUACUACCAAAUAAAUUGUUUGGUUACGUUGGUUAUUUGUGGAUAUGAGAGUUUGUCUUUCUCAUCCUACUUCUAUGUAUUAUAACAAUCAGAGUUCUAUUUAGAUUGCUCACAACUUGGUUUUUUCAUAAACGAACUAAACACAUUGAGAUCAAUUGUCAUCUUAUUCGUCAUCAUCUUAAGUAUGACACCAUUACUUUGCCUUUUGUUUCUUCUUCUUUGCAUAUUGCAGAUUUCUUUACCAAUUCACAUUUCAUUUCUCGUUGUCGUUUUCUAGUUGGCAAACUCUCAAUGCUUGUAGUUGCCGCAUCAUGAGUUUGAGGGGAGAUGUUAAGAAAUAUAUUUAUUUUGUUUUAUUUGUUAAUGGUAGAAUAAUACUUUUAGUUUAACCUAUAUAUAAUCUCUUUAUAUUUAGGUUAAAACAAUAACUUCAGAAUAAAAUGAUCAAUGAAAACCCUAGUCUCCUUCUCUCUUAUAUAUGUUUGUAUUUCUUUUAUGUUAAUUUGGAUUGCUUUAACAUUAUCAUCAUCAUCAAUUUUUUUCUCUUCUAAUUUACAUGCUUCUUUGCAUUUGUAUGAACAAACAACUGGUCCUCCGCAUAGUGUAAUGUGAAUUAUAUGUGUGUAAAGGAUGAUAAUCUAGCAUCCUGAAAGAUUUGACAUUAUUACUGGUCAAAUAUUGUAGGGAUCUCCAGUUUCCCCUCUUCUCAUCAAAAUCUCAAGUCAAUGGACGCUAUGAGAUCAUUGUUCUCAGCAUAGCUUGGGGCAGUUUCCUUCUAAUGUUCUUCUUUUCACAUUGUUUUCUCUGGUUAUUUUAAUACAUUUCGGAUUAAUGAAAGUCAGUUAAAAACAGCAUGAUGCCAUUUCUAAACAAACACGAAAGAGAAACAACAAAACGAGCUAAUUAGAUUAUGAGUUUAGAGAGGAGGUGGGCGUGAGCUUGUCAGACUAAAUAGACAUUUCUCCUGAAUUUUCUGGUCUAUGAUUGUCCAUGUAUGAUAAUACUAUAAGACAAACGGAAGUAAAUCAUAUUGAGUGUAGUAUAAGAUUUCACAAAGUAGCACACAUCACCGUAAUCUUGCAAUUUGGGGCGGCUAGAUAUUUUAUUGAAGAAACAUGGAAGGUGUUCAAUUAGCAGCUGCUUUCAAGAUUUAUUUGUUAAGGAAGUUGACAGAGGCAGGUGUUGACUUUGUGUCUUGUCUGAAACUUUGGAUUUUCUCCUCUCGAGUUUGUAAAACUCAAAAGGAUUACAAUUGAAAGUUAUUGGAUAUGCUCUUUCAACGGAAUUCUUGGUGCCUGCGUUUAUUUUUCACUGUAAAAUUGAUCGAAUGGUUCAAGAUUUACAUUUCGAGCAAGAAUGGAUAGAACUCUGUUGAUAAACAAGCUUAAGCAAUAAGCGAAAUGACACCAGAUGAAUCUUGAUUUCUAAUAUGAAUAUUGUUGUCUUAUCAGCAUGGCUAACCAUGAUUGGCCAACAUUAUAGAAUGAACUCUCGGUUAUCCAACAGUUAACAUUUUAAUUCAUAUGAUAAUACAGAAAAACUAGGAGGAGGAGGAGAGAGGAUAGGGUUUUAGGGAGCCUCCCUGAACGCCUCUCCACUUCACAUCAAACUGAGAGCAAAAUCUUAGGAAAAAUACCAAAGCAAGCAUGUGAUUCCAAGUCUAGGAAGAAACAAAUAAAAAACAGGGUUGUAGCUAUUGCCUCACAGCCUUCCCAGUUUUUCAAACUCAAGGAAAAAAUGAAAAAUUAAUGGAGAAUAGUCAUCAGCAAAAAUGACAAAGCAAGCAUGCAAUUCCAAUUAAUUAAGUCCAGUUGCUCAGUGCAAUGCAUGCAAUAUAAAAGAUCAGCAAAAUAUAUAUACGUUUCAAUGCGUACAUGGUCGAGAUCAGAUCAUAAAGUCAAUAAUGCAAAGGCAUAUAAGCCAAAAGAAGAAGAAGAAAAGAAACCCCCAAUGAACCCAGUUCUUGAAGUCAAUCCUCCAUAGUGCUGUUUCGCUAAGCAAACCCCAUGAAACAGAAACCUGGAGAAACCAUGUAAGAAGAUCGAGGAAGUCCAUGCAAGCCCCAUACUAUAUAUGACGAAAUCAAUCAGGCGCCAUCCAUACCUGCAAACCCAUCAAAGAAACAAUAUCUAAUUUCAUCUCAACUUUUCUGGCAAGAGAGAGUCAUUGACUGACAGAACAAAGAAACACAAAAUAAAACCGGCCAUGCCCUCUCAAACUAAACUUUUUUUUGGAUAAUUGCCCUCAAACUAAACUAAUCCACCUUUUGCCAAGAAAGGUGCGUGUCUUCAUAACCAUCCAUUUCAUGAGAAGAUUGUGAAUUAGGUGUUGUCAAAGAAAAGUUGUUACUCACAUCAGGUACAAAACCUUUCAAAUCUCCAUACCCAUCAAGGGAAUUAAAGUUACUCGAACAAUUCUGACCCCCCAACAUUUCAUUUGCUUCCACCUCCACCCUGAGUUUCUCUCCUCUCAUCAAACUAGGCAAUCCUAGCUCUGGCAGCUGCUGCAUCGCUUUCUUGCUUGACUCACAUAUUGAGGAACCGGUCUUCUUUCUCUUGCCUGGAGCACUGCUUCUUGCUUUCUUCUUGAUCAUGCCUUCACUUCCACAAGGUUGACCAGUGAGUCUUUGAACAAGCUCUCUAAAAUUUGCAACAUCAGUCUUUAUAACUUUUGGUGCAAAUACGUGAAUUAUGCGAACUUUGGGCUUGAUCAACUGUGAUAUUACAUGUGACUCUCUGUGCAUGCCUAGCUUGGAAGAAGCUGAUGAACUAGGGUUACAUGAGCGUGGCCUUACUAUGCCUUCCAUGGCUGCACACACACACACACAAUACGAAGUUACAAUUAAUAAAGCAAGAAAGAAGGCUAGGAGAAGAGAGAAGGGGGCUUGUAGCAUGCAGCUAGCCAGGUUCAGAUGAAAUUAACGUGUCCGUUGUUUUUUGCAGGGAAUAAACGGAGGCUUAAAUAGAAGAGAAGUCGGGCAAUUGACUUGAUUAAAAAAAAAAUAAGGAUUUUUGGUAAUUAAUUAAGGGUCGAUAAGGCUGUCUUUUGGAUAUUCAUAGAAUCACAAAUAUAGAAUUACAAGGGUCAAUGAAAUAAACCAUCCAGCAACUGACAUUGAUUUGCCUUUGCCUUCCUGCAGCUAGCCAAGUACAAAAUACGUAUAUAAUACGUACAUGUACUAUUUAACACAUUAAUUAUCUCAAUUCCCAUCUUAUUACAGCCCACAGAGUUUUUGGGGUUUUUAUAAUAUGCUAUUAAAAUAAAACAGAACCUUGUCAGAUCAAGUUCAUUAUGAUUAUUCAAUCUUUAGGAACUUUCUUGACUUUCGAACUUUUAGUGACAAGAGAAACACAGAAUGUCGAAGGAAGGAGUUCAAACAAAUUUAAUGAUUUAAUUUUCUAAUUUUUUGAUUAUCGAUCAAUUAAAAUUAACAACACUAUAGAAAAACCUUAAGAGACAGACAACUUUAUAGUUAAAGUUUAUUUUUUUUUCUGAUUUUUUAUUUUAAAUUUUAAAACCAGCUCCUUGAAUAUAUUAAAUCAAUGUGAGAAUUUAAUUGAGAAAAAAAUUGUUUUAAAUAUUGAUGCCACCAUUAUUAAACUCAAUUUGACUCGACAGAUUAACUUAAAACCCGAUUAUCUCAUUAUCUAACUCAUGCUAGUGUAAAAAAAAAUUAACUUGAAAUUAACUAGGUCGAUUCAACAGAUCAACUCGCAAACUAGACAAAACCCAGUAAAAAACCUAGUUAAAGCUGCGUUUAUUUCCUGGAAAGUGGUUUUUGGAAAACCACUUUCCAAACUUUCCUGUGUUUGUUUGCCAUUAGAAAAGUUGAUCAACGGAUAAUACUUUUCGGUCAACGGAAAACACUUUCCGGUCAAAUAAAAAUUUGGUUUGGUUUCCAGGAAAGUGUUUUUCUUUGAUUUUGAGCGGAAAAUACUUUUCGAAAGUUGUGAAAAAUUUAGAAAUGUCAUAUUAUUUGGUGAUUAAUCAAAUUUGGUCCUCAAACUUUUGAUUGCUACAUAUAUUUUGUUUUGAAUAUUUGUUUUUCAAUUUCAUCCCUUAGAAUUUAAUUUUUAUAUUAACUUUGGUCCUCAUUUUUAUAAUUGUUAUUUGCUUUUCCCUUAUUAUUUUUUAAUUAAAAUUUUUUAUCUAUUAAAUUUGGUCAUUAUUCUUUUGAUUGUUACUUAUUUUAUUUAAAAUAAUUUAUGAAAUGUUAAUUAUUAUUAUUUUAAUUUCUUCAUCUUUCAAUUUUUUUAUUUUUUAGAUUUGAUUUCUAUUAUUUUGAUUAUUAUUUAUUUUAUUUGAGAUAAUUUAUAAUUUUUUUUUUCAAUUUUAUUCUCAUUUAACUUUUAAAUUUAUAAGAUUUGUUCCUCAUUAUUUUUAUAAACUUCAAAAAAAAUAAAACAUUAAUAAGUUAUUUUCCAGCUCAUUUUCCAUGACAUAACCAAACACUGGAAAAUGUUUUCCAACUUAUUUUUCAUUACACUACCAAACAUCGAAAAAUAAUUCACUUUUCGGAAUUCACUUUUCAAAAGAAAACUAUUUUCCAGCAAACAAACGAAGCUAAAUAAUAUAGAUUUAUUUUAUUUUAUUUUUAAAAAUGAUCUACCUUGAUCAACACACUUAAUCCUUGACCAGGCCUUACAUCAGGUAGAACCCCGGAUCAAGUUCAGAAACCAUGGUUGAUACUACAAGAUGACUGGGAUAUCUAACAAGAACAAUAAGCGUGUAAGAAAAUUGUCAAAUUAGGGAAGGUGCUAGCAAGGCUGGUGAGGUGAGGUCUUGAGAGAGAGUAACCGCUUGAUGUGUGCUCGUGGAUGUGCACGUGAAGGUGGCAGUGCAGAGGCCUUACAAUUGCAAAAGUCUGUGCUGUGUACUGAGAAUCAAAUUGGAGACGACGACACACACAAGACUCGUGCAUGAGAAACCCACAUGCUCAUAGAGUCAUGAUCCUGCAGAGAUCAUACCAUGGCUGACACCAAGAUUUGUCACAGGAAAUUCAUGAUUCUUUCUACUUUUCCCCGUAAUUGUCUCUUCUAUCACCUCUAUGGAUCGGGCUUAGGAAUCCAUCCCCUUAGGAUUAUGUAGUUAUAUCUCCAUGGCAUCAUUUUAUAUAAUUCCUUUCGGGUCAAGAAACUGGGGUUUAUUCCGACAAAAACAUGCUCUGCAUGUACACCUCUCUAUGUUCUUACGCCUUCAUACGUGAAUUUAUCUCUCAUGUAUUAGAGGGAUUUCUCAAUUGAUACUUCAGUUAUAAAACUCGUUGCUACCCCGUUUUUGUUUUCUUUUUAAGAAAAAAAUUGACAGUUUUCAAGAAGAAAUAAGUGAUAAAAAAUGGCGUUGACACAUGAACAAAUACGAUUAAUUAAUUAAUUAAAUGUGUAUUAAUUUCAACAAGUUUAUUGCCAAGCUUGUGUAGUCAUGAUGAUGGGGAUGAGAGAGUUGCAAAAACGCUGCCAACACAUCAAUUUGACUUAGCAAUGAAUAGAAAGAGAAAUUAUGAAGCAGCCAAAUCGAUUUGCCGUCAUCCAAGCUGCUUGGUAAUAUUCAAAGAUUAGUUUAAGUGUUCUUUUCUAAUUUGGAAGGAUUAACUUCAACUAUAAUUAAGUAGAAAAUUAAAAUGUUAUUAAUUUCCACUACCAUGUCGAUUACCCAUUUACCAAUACUUUAGCAAGUUAUUCUUCUGAUAGAUUACCCUACUAUUAAGACAAAGAUCAACAAUUUAAAAUUAAGAUAUAGUUAUUUGAUAUGUUUUGAUGAUGAUAAAAUUAUAGAUACACCAUUUAUUUAUAAUAUUAAUCAAUUAAUUUUAUCUAAUUGUUAUUCAUGUACGUAUCAACCACAUUGCUUGUCGCAUGCAAUAAUCCUACUAGUAAAUCUAAAUAUUCUAGUAGUGGCAUGCAAUAAUCCUAACACAAUGUUCACAUAAUUUCAGCUUAAUUAAUUUUUUUCUGUUAUGAUGUUGUAAAAUUCAAAAUAUUAGGGAAGUUAUUUUUUUUUCACAUUUGAAUGAUGGAUAAUGACAUGUUCAUGUCCAUCUUCUAUUCUUCAUAACUGAAGAAUCUGGGGGGCUGUGAUGAGGACUGAAUUUCCUGCAAAACAAUCCUUUUUUGGGAAUCUUUGGGAUCCCCGAUGAUUAAAUCAGUAACUUUAUUAUAAGAAGUUGCAGUAAAUGAACAUUAAAUUUUAAGAACAAGAAAGUUUAUCCUCAGUUUAUGCACGAUAAAUGCUGAGAAUAAGUUGUAAGAGAGUGAAGAUGAUAAACCUCUUUCCUGAGUCAUUCAUAGAGUAUUUAUAACCUUGAAUUUUCUAUUUUCUUACAUGAGGGGUCGUAGGUCUUUUCAAUUUUCAUAUCAAAGUGGGAGGAAGACCCUUAUAAUCAACAUUAAUAUUGGUUGUAAGUGUCUCCUUACAUGACAUUAAUUGUUGAUGAAAGUAUCACGUGUCUAUAGAAAAUGACCCUGCAUCAAUCUACACAUGAUAUUAAUACUGAUGAAAUCAUCCAUUAUAAUCAACAUUAAUACUAAUUGAUGUAUGGAAGACUCUUAGAAGACUUUUUACACAGCUACGGUGUAGGAACAUGAUGAACCUAGAUUCUCACCUUUAAUGCUUGUAUCUAGAGAAAUCCUUUGCUCGAAAGGGCAUUGAUCUUGGCGUUUUAGGCUUGGCACGUAACCGAGCUCAAGGAGGCUGGGUUUGACAUUUCGCCAUAUCCAUAGGCACUUAGGUUUAGCACAUAGUCGAGUUCAAGGAGGUUGAAUCUGAUAUCUUUCCAAACCCACAGAUGUUUGGGCAUAGCACACAACCGAGCCCAAAGAAGUUAGGUAUAAUAUCUUGCUAGAUCCAUAAGCGCUUGAGCCUGAUAUAUAGCCAAAUCCAAGAGGGAUUGAGCUUGGCAUUUUGCUAGAUCCCAUGCUAUGGGUCUUGGCCUCUACUAAAUUUCUGUAAUGAAUCUUCUUUUUAUUUAUCCUUUUUAGUUAUGGACUUGAUGAGAAAAAAUUGUUUUUUGCAUGAAUUACGUCCAUCCACCAUUCUGAUUAUACAAAAAAUUUCGAUUGAUUAACUUUUUCUUGACGUCCCUCUUAUUUACAUGUUCCAGUCACAUAUGCCACAAUUGGAUAGAAAGAUUAUUUGAAUUAACUAAACCAGCAAUGGUUAACUCUCAAAGAUUAUAAAGGCCGUCAACUAGCUUUCGUUUUGUAUUUAAAUUGUUUAUAAAUUCAGUGAUUACAAUUCAUAUUUGAAGGCAUCAUGCAUGAUGAGAUUAAAUCCUUUAUGUGUGUAUAUAUUUGGUUGUUUAAUGAGGAGGAAAGAAAUACCAGCAGCUAGUUUUCUUCACCCAUUGUAUGUCGUGCCAGAGACUGAUUUGAUUUUUAAAAAAAAAAAUAUUGAAACAAAACUAUUUUAAAUUAAAUAGGUUAAUUAAGGUGAAUUUAGUAAACUGUGAUCUAAAUUUUAAGUUUAAUUAUAAGUCGAGUUUUUCGAUACGAUAAAAAAAGAACUAAGAUUUUCUUUUCGUUAAUAUUACUGAGAAAUUAAGCAAAGUUCAAAAUUAACUAGUUAGCUGCAUUGGCAAAAUUAAGACACAAGUUUGGAUUCAAGAACUAUUUGACAUUGAAACAAGGUGUGAGUACUUUUGACUGGUAAUGGAGAGAACCAGCAGGAGGUUGAUUUGUAUCAACAUGAAGCAUGCGUAAUUAGAAGGUGAUAUAUUAUUAAUAAGUUGGAUUAAAUUAUGCAAAAAACCCAAAAGGAAACAGGGCAUGCACGAUCAAGAUGAUUGUUAAGUUGUCUUUUUAGCCUAACAACCGAUUACAACUCGCGCAAUGUUUUGUCAUGGAUUCUCCUCUGCUAGCUACAAAAAGUUUCCAAAAUAUUUUAUCAUAACUCAUUGGAUCAUGACUAUUAAUUAAAAAUUGUAGUUACAACUUUUCUAAAAAGAGUUUGACUUUACAAGUUGGAGUUUUUAUAUAGCUAAAAAGUCUUGGAAAAUCAAGAUAAAUUGCAAGACUUUUUCUUGGUUUUUUUAUACAGAUUUCAUUUGAGGUACGUAAAAAAUAAUAAUAAUAAUCAAAUACUGGGAUUUUUGUGAAAUGACGUCUCCUCCUCCCCCUCCUCCCCCUCCUCCCCCUCCUUCUUCUGUUUAAUUGAUUAGCCACGCACCUUGUUUAUGAAAGUUUAGAAACAGAUUAAUGGACAUUAAAAAGAUAAUUUAGGCAAAGUUGGGAAACAGGUACGAACCCUACAAUGCCUCCAAUUCUCCUACGUUUCUCCUUUUCUUCUAAAAAUCUUGAUUUUAAAAACUAGCUAGCUUGAUUUGAAUUCUAUUUGACUUUGAGCAAGUAAUAUUACAAGCUGAUAAUACUAAAUUUAUACCAAAUUAAGGCUUAGAAAAGUAUUUUAGCCUUAGUAUAGGAGCGUGGCAACUAGCACAAGUAAUUGCAAAAUGCUUGUUUUCACACAUAUCCUUCCCCGGACGUAAACUUCACCAAAUAUUUGGAGGUCACUGUCUACAAUACGUGAUUAACAUUUGACAUAAUUGUUAAAUGGUUUGCAGCUUUCUUUGGCUUCUUUUGUUAUUUUCCUUUUCUUGUACAAGAAGUAUCUGCAGUUAUGAAUUGAUUGAAUGAACUAGAAUUUAUAAAAAUAAGCAUUUUAAAUUUUAAAAUUAAAAUAAUAUAAUUUUAAUAUUUUUACAAGUCAAAUCUAGUUUUGACUUAAUUAAUUUGGACAACUCUAAAUUAACUUUCUUUUAAUCCAUUUCAGAUCAAGAAAUGGAUCAAUCGAGUUCUAGAUUAACUUAUCUAGAUUGGUGUAAUAACUUCGGGCUUCUAUAUUGUUACCAUAUCACGUGUACAUGAUCUAUUAUUUAAAACAGAAAACCCUUCUAGAAAAGAAAAUAUAUUUUAAAAGAAAAAAACAUUAUACACGAUACCACAAACAAGGACAAUAAUAGGUACCAUUGGUCGAGUUUUUUUUAUUUUCAUAAGAACUCGUUACCUAUCGAAUAAUGAAUUUAGAUAUUCAUACUAUAUUUAUUGGGUUUUAGAUAUUCAUAUAAGUAUUUAUUAUUCUAUUAUUAUUUAAUAUUCAAUAAAAAACAAAAUAGUAAUAUAUAUUUGAAGUAUUUAUAUAUGUAUUAAAUGAUAUAAAUACUAUAGUGUAUCAUAUCAAUAUUAAGAUAUGUAAAUAUUACAUUGGAUUAAAAAAAAAUGUUCUAUAUAGAUUUAUAUUUAUAUAAUACAAAUAUAUAUAUAUAUAUAUAUCAAGUUAAGUGUGAGUAGAAUUUCAAGUUGAAUUUAACAAUAUUUAUACUAUAUUUAUUACUUAUUAAAUAAAAUAAUUAUCUAAAAAAAAUUCAUUCAAUCAAGUUGGUUCAGCAUGGAAAACAAGGAUGUGAGUUAUUACUAUCAACGAAUAAAUUUGAGGACACGGUCUUGAUAUAUAUAUUUUUUCAUUUUAAUUUAAAUGUCCAACCAACUUGAUUGAAGCUUUAUUAUUUCGAAAGACUUGGUGGUAAAAAUUAUGGAUGCUUAAAUGAUUUCUUUCGUAUUUAAAAUAAUUGGUUUAUUAUCGAGUGCUCCACACGCGAUAUAUUCAUGUUACUUUUUUUUUUAGUUUAAUGUGAGUGUCCGGGUCAGCUUGCGCGCACCUCAACUAAUCCCACGGGCCAUGAAGUUAACGACCAUGUAAGCUUCCAGUAGCCACCAUAUGAGCAACCACAUGACUUGAACCUGAGACCACAGAGAGAGCAAACCUCUUGGUUCUAAGUUCUUACCACUGGGCCACCAUCUAGAUAGUUUGUUACUUUUAAUUUAUAAAUAAUAUAAUAUAUUGCCUUAAAAUUGACAAUCAAAGAAAACCAAACUCCAUCUUUGAAAAAAAAUCUAUAUAAUAAUCUUGAAUAAUUCGUAUAAAAUAAAAAUCUUUAGAAUCUUCCAUCUCUAUGAAUAUUUAAAGUUAAGAAGCUAAGAUAAUUUGCCUUUUUUGUUGUUAAAUUGUAGCAGAAACAUUUUUUUCUUUCCAUCAUUAUUUUUUUUCAUCUUUCAAAUUCAAGAAUUAAAAUCUAAAUAAAAUAUAAUUUUUAAAACAUAGUAAAUAUAAAAUUAAAAAAAAAUUGAAUAAAAUAAAAAAUGCUUGAAGAAUAAAAAAAUAUUAUAUAUAUAUAUAUAUAUAUAUAUAUAUAUAUAUAUAUAAAAUUUUAAUUUCCAAGUUCCGAAAAGAAAAUUCUUAAAACCAUUAACUUGCUGGGAAACUUUUGGGUUGGGCUACGUAGACUGACCGAUGCAUCUUAACCUACUUCAUUUAAUAUUUUUUGUUUAAAGCAUGAGAUUAUAUAAUGCACGCUACUAUAUCAUUUUCUCGCAUUUGUCCCCCUUAAUUAAUUAUUUACCAAGGAAUCUGCAGCACGAUCAAAUUUAAUUUAAGACUAUUGAGAUUCUAAAUAAAUAAAUAAUACUUUUGAGAUCUGCACAUUUUCUUUCUUUUGUACCUAGGAGGAAAGUGAAAGGAAAUUAAAGGAGAGGAUAUACCCAAAAAAGAAAUAUUGUUAAUGAAUUAAUUAAUAAGGUGACACCUGGAAGAUGGAUAAAGAAAGAUUGUGAUAUUACAGUAAAAUGUUACAUUUUAAUAUAUGAUAGUUUUGGUGAAAUGUAAAUUGAUAUAUGGUAAAUAAUGCAAAGAAAUAUUGAAAGAAAUUAAUAGUAAUAUGGUUAAGUAUGUAACAUUUGAGAUUGAAAAGAUAUUGAUGUGUUGCCUCUCUUUUUGAAAACUACGAAAGGCACCAAGAGUUGGAGCGAUUGUAGUUGGAGGGGAUUGACUUGCUAGAGAUGUAUAUAGGUGUUCAUCACCUUAUUUAAAUUUAAAAGUUAUGAAGUGGUAUUAUUAUAAACAAGAUGUGAAGCGAUUGUUGGAAAUGUAAAGUAAAGAGAGGAAUAAUGUCGCGAAUGUAAUGAUUGAUUGAGAUCUACGAGGGGAUAGCUAAAUUAUUAACAACCAAAUAGGUUAGCCAGAUUAUUCGCAACCAUAAAAAAAUAACUGAAAUAUAGGCAACCAAAUAAGUUUGUUGAAAUUAUAGUGUUCGUGAGGGAAGCCAGAAAUUGCGGCAACAAUGUAGAAUAGUUGAAAAUAUUAAAUGUUAAUUUAAAAUAUAUGGGUUAAUGGUGUUGAUUUGAUCAAAAUAUUAGGAAAAUAAUUUAGAUAUAUAUAGUUGGCAAAAUGUAUUGUUUAUUAUUAUUAUUAUUAUUAUUAUUAUUAUUAUUAUUAUUAAAUCUUUAUGUUAUUAUUUGUGCACUUACAAGUUAUUCACAUUACAAGUUCUUCACAAGCCAAGCGGAGCUUUAUGUUCUAGUAUAAUAAAUUUUAUAGCUUGAUAAUAAAUUAAGAAAUGUAAUUAAUAAUAUACUUUAUAUCUUUUAGAGAUGUAUGGUAUUAAGUUUCAGGCUAGAUGUUUUAAGCUUUUGAAUAGGAUUAAUUACUUGUAAAUAAUAGUGUGUAUGGUAUGUUGAUUAUUAUAUAUUAAUGAAGUAAUUUAAGUAGAUGAAUUGUAUGUUUAAUUUUAAAUUUAAAAACAUGUUUAGUAAAAACUUAUGUUUUAAAUUCAUUCACUUGCUAUGUAACAUGAUUGUUUGAUACUAAGAAAGAAUAUAUGUAUGUUGUUGGAAUGUUAAAAAUGAAAUUGAGAUGAGAUGUGAUCCAUGAUGGUCGGGUCAAAUAUAAGAUUUGAAAUUAAAUGUGUGAUUAGAGUAAAUAUCAAUAAUUUAGUAUGCUUAAAAAUAGAAAAAACUAUAUUAAAUUUUCUGCAAGGACAUGUGAAAUAUAAAAAUAAAAUCUAAAAAAUAGAUUUUUUUUUUGUCAAAGAGUUGAGAAUAACCAUAAUAUAUAUAAUAUUUAAACAUGAGGAUGUUAAAUCCAUGAUUUUUACUAGAUUAGAUUAGGUCAGGUCAUUCUUUUUAUUACAUUAACUUGGAUUAGUCUAAAUUCUAAAUUGACUAAGUUUUGGAUUGACCUAUCAAGUCCAUCCAGUUUAAUGACUAAGUUAAACAAGACUUAAUGUUCAUCUCAAUGAGAACUAAUAAAAAUGAAUUUUAACUAGCUAGGAAUGAAUCAUAUCUAGCUAGGAAGACAUUGAAUCCUUUUCGCCUCAUCCCUCCCUUCUCCCUUUUACUUUGUUCCUAUAUUCAUCUUCUUCCUUUUACUCCACCACCUCCUCUUCAAUUAUAUAUAAUACUAAACAUAAUUUUAAAGCAUCAAAUAGCUUGAUCACAAAAAAACAUAACUUAAAGUACGCAUUCUAUAGAAAAUUAACUAAUUUCAAACUUCAAACUGUAUAUUCUUGAUAUGAACAUUGAUACAAUACUGAAAAAUGAACCAAUAAAUUAAAGAAUCACUCAAAUCCUCAUACAUGCAUGCAAUAUAUUAAACACAAUUUUGCACAAGUAAUAAAAUUAUAAUUCUAGCUAUAAUCACAACACGUAUAUUUUGAUCAAAACCCAGUAUAUAUAUGAAGCUAGCUAGCUAGCCUAAUCAAUUAAUUAAUCAGCAAAACAAGACCUUCGAUCUUUAGACCUCUCCACAGUAGGGGAUUGCAUUGGCGUGGUCUUUGAAGAAGCAGGAGACAACUCACCACCAGCAGGCAAGUCUUGUAGAGCAGCAAGAAUCCGUUGGAUGCUAACAGAGCGAGCUAUCUUGAAGCUAGAUGAUCUCCUCUCCCUAUGUGUCUUGGAGAAAAUAUUGGAUGAUUUUGAAAGGAUGACAUAAACCAAUGCUUGCACCGCAACAAACACCCCCACCUUCAAUAACAUGUCCCCUGUGCUGCUUUCCAUCAUCAUAAUAUUUCUUUCGUUUGGUCUCAGUGUACACACAAUUGAAUAGCUUGCCGAAUCCUUUGCUCCAAUUUCAUCUCAUAAAACCACGCAUAUAUAGUGAGAGGCAUCAGCCUUCAGCCUUGCUCGUUUGACUGGGAGGCUCACUUUUUUAAACUUUGAAUCAUUGGGCAAGUGGGCUUCUUGUUCAUGUAUAAAUAUAUAAUCUUUAAUCCUUUCCACGCAUAGAUACGUGUAGGAUGAUAACAACUUGAUGUUCACACAAUUGUAAGGACAGGGUCCUACCCUCUGUAUUCCGUGCCCAGACAGCAACUAAUUGGCCGAAACUUACCGCCCCAAAGGCAUCGCGUGGAAGUUUCCAGGUAGGGUUUACUACGGGACCUGGUCAAUCUUGAUUUCAUGGUCUACAAUUAAAGCCCUUAAACAUUCACCGGUCAACAUCACCAGCUACGCAAGAACAUUAGCGAUUACUAAUUCUUUGGUUUAUGGUAUGGUAGGGAUAUAAUUACUAUUGUUCAAUGGAAAAGUAAACAUGGAAUCCUGCUAACUAUUCAGAGUUCAGUGAACGUGAUUAGGCUUAGUUUCACGUGCAUUUAAUGGUUCAAAUUAAUGAAUGCUUGAUUUCAUUUCUUAAAGAACUGAUCAAACUUUCUAUUGAUGGGGUCAUGAAGAAUGAUGAUUAGAUUACUUAUACAACACGAGACUCGAGAGAGCUUUCUGCUGUUAUAUCAAAAUCUCUAGAAAGAAAGAAAGGACGAGUUCCAAGGCAGAAGGUGUUUGCUUCCAAGGCAUUAUGCGGCUCCACAACGCUCCGUGUUGUCCAUUUGCUGCACGUGACACAUUAUUUUCAAUCCUUAGCCAAAAGCUGGUGCCUAAACUACUGGAUUUGCCCCCACAAGCACCUUGAUGCUACGCAAAUACAAAUUAGAUUUGAUAGUAAUUGUAUAUAAAAGGUUACUUUUUUUCCAGAAUCUGAUGAUCACGAUCUUUUACUGAAAAGGGCUCAAAUGAUUAUUAGACCUUUUAACGGCCGAAACAAAUAUUAGGUAGACUUUCGAAGUUUGUAGUUACUGCCAACUUUUUUUUAUUGUUGUUUGUUCCUCAUUAAGAUAAAAUGAUGAAGAGCCAGCUAAGCUGCCUUUUGCAACGCUUUCGAAGGACUAAAGUUGGUAAAAUCAGGCAAUUGGAUAUUAUAUCUGAACUAUUUUUGAACUUGAAGCAUUCCCAAGAUGAAGAAAACAUGAUAGGACGAAGAAAAAUCAAUUCAACCACGCUGUAUUUCUGGCCAAAAUCCAAUCCCAAACAAGGUAUUACUUUACAAUAUCCAUAGUGAAAGUCUGAAGGGGAGAAGGAGAUGCACAACCAUCACAAGUUCUUUGUGUAACACAAUCGUUCACUGUUGAUUUACACUUCACUCGAUCAAUUCCAAACCAAAAACCCAAAAUCCCCAGAAGCGUUUAUUUACCUGCAUUCAAAUUCUGAAAUGGACAUGUAUUAGUUAGUUAAUGACCAAUACCAAGUCUCAGCCUGAUAUAAAGAAACAGUGUACCAUAUAUGCGUAAAUUAACUAACUAGCUUGCUAACAAGACCUGGUUAUCCCAAUUGUGCAGGGACACCAUGCCAGAGCUAGACAUGCUUGCAAAGAUCUCCUAAUCUAUAUUAUGCCCUGCCAAAAUGGUUUGUUCGUUGUUAGGAAUCAACAAAUAAUCAUAGCAGUCUCUGUAUCCAUUAACUCUUUUGCAGAUUAAUAGCACAAUUCUCUGAUUGCCAACUUUACGAGGCACAAUCCUAUGACAGGCUAAGCUGGAGCUUCAUAGAUGAUAAUUCGAAGGAAUUUACUGCACAUCAGGUAAAACCUACAAAGAGUAUUUGUCCUAAACAAAGACUACAUAUUAAUUAUGAGAAUUUCAAGCACCAUUAGAUUUACAGUAUAUGAAGAAUCUCGUCAUCCAUCCUCAUCCAAAACAUUACUUCUCAUGGUCUAGAUUUCAUUGGUACAAGUUCUGAAAAUUCUCUCUAUACAUUAAAAUUUGUUGCAAAUCUAUAUAUUUCAUCCGAGGAUACAACUGGAUGAAUUAGUUUUCUGGUCAUUCUUUUAUCUCACCCAACUAGAAUGUUAUGAUCUGGAAUCAAGUUAUAUCCAAGAAAAUGAUUUGUGAAAUCAAAUUCCAUACAUACAAAUCUAGCUUAAAACCAGUAGAUUAUCCCUAUCCCUCAGGGCUUAGCUUUCUAGUUUGGUAUGAUUUUAAUUGCGUUAUAGUCUAUCUUCCCAAAUUCCAUGAAUACCACCCUGUAUGUCAUCUAUGUUCAACGAGAAUGCAUUACAGGAAAUUGACCAGGCAGUAUGCUCAGUCAUAAUGGGAGAAGAAACUUUACUCUAUUCUCAUCCACAACACGGUUUUAUAGACUUUUGUACAGGACUAAGUUCAUUAGAACCGAGCAAGAACAUUAAUAUGAGGAAACAAAUUACUUUAACAUGGUUGAAAACAGACACAAAAUCUGUUCAACAUAUAUAUGCCAAGAACAAGAGCAAGGCAAAAUUUAGCGAGCUAUCAUUGCUGAAAUUUAGUAACUAGAAAGUAUUACCAUCGAUUUGAUAUAUGUAAAUUCAAUCAGAAGCAUUUAGAAGGACUUUGAAUUCAAAUGAAACAAUUUUUUGAUUGACCUAAAAUAGGGACAGCAAGUAAAAAGACAGCAGACAACAUACUCCUAUUGAAUUGUCAGAGAUAGCAGAAAUUGUGUGAGGUUAGCAGUUAGACACAGUCAAUCCAAGAUCAAUGCAACGUUGAAAUUAUGCUUCCAUACCCAUAACCUAAUAAAACAAGUUUAGACAAUCCUAAUUACUGCUACUCAAAUCAGCAAAUCAACAAAAUUCAGAAGCACAAAUUCAAUAUCAUAAAGAAACAAAACCAAUGUGAAGAAAAACAUGCAACAGUCAAUAAAAAUCCAAGCAUUCACCCCUAAAAUCUAAGCAACCCACAUAAUUCUGACAUGAAAAAAUAUAUCCCACCAGUAUUUUUUAUUAAAAAAAACUUUAAAAUUAAAGAAAUUGAAAGAUUACCAAAAGUGUGGAGGAAGAGAGGUGGACAAAACCCCGACAUGAGCAUGAUUAGCAUCAUGAUGAGGAUGAUCAGGAGACCAAGUUUCCAAAUUCUCCUCUCUGACUACUGGCGUUUGUAACUGGAAGCGACAGAGAGGACAAGAGUUGUGGUUAGAAAGCCAGGGGAGAAUGCAGCCUGGAUGGUACAAGUGACUGCAGGGCAGCUGCUUGGCCUCAACAUCAAUCAAGAACUGAUCUUUACACACUGCACACACAAGCAUUGGAUCCAUUUCUAGCAUGCAAGAAGUGAUUUUUAUGGUGGGGAUGAUAGAGUCAAUAGUGGCGUUUAUAUUAUCAUCUUCACAAUCGCAAUGGCUAUUGGUGUUGAGAUGUUGAAGGAAGUUGAGGAAGGAGGGGCUGUCAAGGAGGAAAGUGGUGGUGUCAGCGGCGGUGGAGGUGGGAAUGGGGUCCAUGAGUUCAAGAAAGUCAUGGUGGCAGUGAGGACAAAGAGGAGUGGUGGUGGUGAGAAGGUGGAUGCUGAGGUCACAUUCAUGACACCAGUAGGUUUGCCAUUCAUUUGUUGGGGUGGAAGACAUUGUUGGUGUACUUUUUUUGUUGCUCUGAUCAGUGUGACUUAGCUUCUGGCGUUGUAAUCUCUUCUUGGCUAGGCUGAUUCCCUGAACAAUAAUGGGGUAAUAAAAAAGAGGAAAGAAGGGAGUGGGGGGGGUGGGGGGGUUGUGAGAUGUGGAUGUGAAUCUGAAGGAUAACUUGUUAUUUGUUUGCUUCUAGUUUGGAGUUUGGAGGAUGGAAAGGAAACGAGGAGGUUAGGUGGGGUCUAUCUAUGUGAUAUUGUGAUGUGAUGUCCUCUUGUGGCCUUGGGUAGCUGCCCUUUCUUGUCAUCUUAGCUACGUUUCUCUCUUAUUCAUUACAUUGUAAUAUUUAAGACGGAUCACCAUCAUUGACGUCGCUUUGGCCGAGUGGUUAAGGCGUGUGCCUGCUAAGUACAUGGGGUUUCCCCGCGAGAGUUCGAAUCUCUCAGGCGACGUAUUUGUUUUUUUUCUUCCCCGUACUCUUUCCAACAUCAAUCAAAAUUGUCAGGAAAUCCACAACUAGUAUAAUCUAGUUAACAGGUGGAGAUUUCAGUAUAGUAAAACUGAAGACAAAUACAAGCCUGCAAUUAUGGCUGCUGGCACAAGAUGUUGGCUACAGACUACACCUCAGGUGAAGAUUGCGAGUCCUUAGGGUACUUUGAACUUCGUCGAUUCCAUUGAAUGGUGAUUUGCAGAAUCUGCUGUUUUUGAAACUGUUGGAUGAACCAUCUUUAUUUAUUUUUGCAAUGUCAUGUGGGUUACAUUUACAUAUUUGGAUUAUAUCUUAUUAGGUUUCGAAGCAAAUGCUACAAAAGAAUAAGAAUUUUCAUAUCUUUACCAAGAAUCUGAUUAUGUGGAAUGAGAGGUAGAAGGGUGUCUUGGUAGUCUUGAAAGGUGGAAUUGUAUGUGCUGGUACACACAGAUACAUAUGUUUUCCCAUAGCAACCCUAUAGCCCAGUGGACAGUAGUCUGAGAUUUAGCGCUGAGCGCCAGUGAUUAGUAAUUAUGAAGUCAGGGGACGUCCGAGAUUCUAUUUUGUGCAAAAUUUUGUAGGUUUUUUUUUUUUUUUUAUGGGAUUGAUUGCUUUUACAGAGAAAUGAUGAUCCGACUUCUAUUUUGUAUUUCAAUGCAGUGCUGCAGAUUUACAAUAGCUUGAGGAGUGGCUCAGAAAAUUGUCAUGGCUAGUAUGGUCAAGCAAAUGCAAUUGAAAUUCAACCAAUAUUGAUGUUGUUGUGUGCUGAAAUCUUGGAUCUGCAACGCAAGAUUAGGUUUUCCAGUAUUGCCAUACUAGCUGUAUGGUUGUGCUGUGCGGCAAGACAUUGUGAUGGUCAGGAAGACUGUUCCUCCUUUUCUGCCUCUGCUCUGGUACCUCCUACUCCUCCUGCUGCUGCUGCUAAUUUAGAUAGUCAUGGGUUUGAAGAUGAUAAAACAUCAACGGAGUCCUAGUUUUAAACACAAGUGGAGAAGGCAGAGGUAAAUCUUUACCUAGAAGAACCUAGCAAUUAUCUAAAUACUGAAAUUGAUGUCUCACAAUAUUGACUUUCAUCUUCAUUAGCAGAUUCAGGGCUACCAGGAAUUCUCACAAUUUCUUAGCCAGCUAAGUUUGCUUUCGUUAUUGUAAACUCUGUGUUCCGACUAUAUUUUAUGGACUAUACAUUCUGGUUGUCUAAAAUCUGGUCUAGGAAAGCAGGCAAUUUGGGGAAGUUAACUAUUAGUGUAAAGAUAGAUAUUUCUGUAUGAUAAUUGCUUGUGAGUGAGGUGAUUUGAACAGUGUCAUUUCACUAUUGAUACUGUUGAUGAGUCUUCUUUAGCACAUUACAGAAUGUGGUGGUUUCUUUUUUCAAAUGCCCUGUAAAGGUUAAAUAAGGAACACUUGAGAUUUUGAUGCAGUUGGCAUAUAUACUUAGUGGAGAAUAAGCAUAUCAAUGGAAUCAUGUUCUGUUCUCUCUAGUUACUUGGUAGGAAAGACCAUAUUCUUGAGGACUGAAGUGGAUGCCAUGAUGUGUAGAUGAGUAGAUGACAUUCAACAAAAUGAAAUGAUAUUGUUCUGUUCAGUGCAGGGGAUCCUUUCAAAGCUUCUAUCUGAACAAAUUGUAUGCAAAACCCUUGACAAAUGCCUUCAAACUGGCUUAAGUUGGCAAGUUAAGGUGCAAAAUCAAAGCAUAGAUUGCAGUCAUAAACUAAUUGAGGCCCUGGAAUUUUAUGCCUCAUCCCAGUUUCUGAAGCCUGGAUUACAUCUAAUCAGCCUGUAGAUCCCAUAUUGUAAUUGAAAAGUGAAACUCAGACAAGAUCGCCAUUUCUUAAAUAGGAACAAAAAUUUAUUGCAAAUCAAAGAGGCAGAGACAGUAACACACAUAUGACACAAAUUUUAUUGAAGGGGGCAUUGACAUUGGAUUCGAAAAUUAACACAACUAGAGCUCAGCAGAGAGAGAGAGAGAGAGAGAGAGAGAGAGAGUGCUCAAGCUGAAGAAGGCUAUUGAGGGAGAGCUUAGAGGCCUCAAGAUUGGCAUCUUUCUUGAUACAAACCCUGGUCGUCAUCUUCAAGAGGGCAGAGACAGUAACGCAUAUUACACACAUUUUAUUAAGGGUUUCAAAAUUAACACAACAAGAUCUCAGCAGAGAGAGAGUUUACGGUCCAGCCGAAGAAGACUGUUGAGGGAGCUUAGAGGCCUCAAGAUCAGCAGCUUGCUUGAUAAAACCCUGGUCAUCAUCUUCAAGAGCCAUCUGAAUAGGACUAGACCCCAACCCAUCAGCAAUAGCAAGCAUGAUCUUCUUCAACUCUGACCUGUACUCUUCAAGAUCAACACUUCCACUCUGAUCACAAUCAAACUUGUCAAAGAUUGAGUCAUACAGAUUUGUGAGCUCCUCAGGUGCUGUGGCCACGUCCACUCCAAAGUGGGUUUCGAUCAAACGCAAGGUUUCGAAGGCCUUGCGGAGUUCAGAGCGGGACAAGACUCCAUCGUUGUUGAGGUCAAGCUUUGUAAAUGCCUCGUCCACACUCUUAUUGAACUGAGCCUCGUCGUUAACAAAGUCACGUACUGUUGAUCCAUCUAUGAUCACCACUCCCAUUUUUCGUUGAAAUUUUUUCCGCUCCCCUUUCUCUGUUGAAGGAAUGAAGAAAGGACUGAGAUGAGAUUUCGGUGGCGAUUAUUAACUGUUCUAGGGAGACCUUAGAUUAGUUCCAAUCUUAUAUAUACUCAUUCUCAAUUGAGUCCAAUUCUAUAAAUUCUAUCAAUUUGAUCCUCAACGUUUUCUUAAGAAAUAUCAGGUCUUUCUUAUGAUUUCCAUCAAAAUUUCUUCCAACUGACUCCCAUUUUAGUACAAUGUUAAUAUUUAUAAUUUUUUCUGUUCAAUUGCGUUAAUUCAACGCUGCUUUAGCGUAUAGAAUAUGCAUAUUAAAUUUAAAUUAUCAAUAGAAAUUGAUAAAAGGAUGCAAUUGAGAAAAAUAAGCAAUUUUCAAAACCUAAUUGAUAAAAUCUAGCAGUUUGGGGUCCAAUUUAAUACACGUAUAUAUAGGCUUAAGGCUUUUCUUGGGAAAUUUCAAAUUAACCAUUCUCAAUUUUACCAAAAAAAGAAAAAGAAAUUGUUAAUUGGACUCCUGAAAGUUCAGAUACUCCAUCUUUUCCAGAACACUAAAAGGAGGACUCAAUUGAGAAUAUGUAAAUAGAUUGGGGGAGACCAUUGAGAUAUUCCUUUUGUUUUCUUUUUCAUGGCCGGUGCCUUUCUUUCUGAUUUUCAGGGAUGCAAAGUCAGGUGGCAAAAACAUGAGGCUACAAAUGUGUACGACGGACAGAUGGUGUCCUACCGUCACGUUGUGCUGUUGGUGCCGCGGGUUUCCCAAAUCCACUUGCUAUGCUUUGUUGAUUUUUUUAGGACAGCUUGCAAUAUUUUUGUUUUUACACCUGAAAUAUGAAAAAAAAAAAAAAAAAGUUAUUGACCAGAAUAGGCUUGGGAUCCAUUAUACAAAUGGACCAAGUCCUCCUAUGAUGCCAGGGCACAGGCUGAACAUGUUCUUGUGAGAGCCCAUCGGCCCAAUGAGACAUGAUGGGUGACAAAAGAGCAAAUAAAUAAAUGAAAUGAAAUGAAAAUAUCUAAUGAUUUAAGGCCAUUAAACAGGAACAAAGAAAGGAAUGAAAGGCAAAGGAAACUGGAAGAACAGGAGGAAUGAAGAGAGGAUUGAGAUGAGGUCCGGGCUGCAAUUAUAGAUUCCUUUUCCAGUUCUGAAUAAUUUGAUGGUGCUGAUAUUGGAAUUCUGCAGAAAAUGUGAGCGUUUUUCUUUUCCUCCAAACACUCGGACGACAACUUCCCAGCUUGAGAUACACGGAAUGGACAGCCUAAGUUGUAUAGUGGGAUUAGCAGAGGAUGUAGUAGAGUGGAUUCAAAGCUGUUUGCAGCAUCAAAAGGUUCUCUGUAGCUUAUAUGGCUAGUCUAUUGGAAUGGAUGGUACCUGCCUGCUGUUGAAGGUGGUGAUGCAGCUACUGGAAUACAACUAGUAUUUCCUUGCCUUGAAGUGUUUGUUGUACAUUAUGAGUCAUGCCAUGUUGAACACAGACUUUGAGCUUCAAGACUGAAACAUCUAUAUUGAUUUUUAUUUUUUUUAUUGAUUUUUUUUUUUUAGAACUUGGUCUGAUUUUCAUUAAGACCAUAUUUUUACAGGUGUACAUGAACAUGAUUAAGAUAUUUUUUGUUAUGUAGCCUAGCGGCCCACUUUUUAAUAAAUAUUUUCUUUGAGACCUCCUUUAAGUUGAUAAACUUUUUCUUUGAUUGUAAACCCGCAUUACAAGCCUUCAAUGUCUUAUCCAAGUCGUAAAACUAGUGGAGCAUCAUACAUCAUUAUAAAAGAUUUUGAAAAUAAAAAUUCUAGUACAGUUUUUAUUUUUUUGUGUGAUUUUUUUUAUUGAUUUUGUUUUUUUAGAACUUGGUCUGAUUUUCAUUAAGACCAUAUUUUUACAGGCGUACAUAAACAUGAUUAAGAUAUUUUUUGUUACGUAGCCUAGCGGCCCACUUUUUAAUAAAUAUUCUCUUUGAGACCUCCUUUAAGUUGAUAAACUUUUUCUUUGAUUGUAAACCCGCAUUACAAGCCUUCAAUGUCUUAUCCAAGUCGUAAAACUAGUGGAGCAUCAUACAUCAUUAUAAAAGAUUUUGAAAAUAAAAGUUCUAGUAUAGGUUUGAAGUUUUGGAAGGGUGAAAGAUCGUUUUUUAAUUUGAACCAAAAUUUUGUUAUGUUGAACGAUAAAUUUUUCAAUAGAAAAGGUUAAUGUAGCUUUAAUGUUUUUAAAAUUCAAAAUGGUUGGAAGGAGUGUAUAAUAUUUUAUGUUUGGUUUUGAGUAUUUUACGUCAUUGGUUUCAAUAGAACUAGUGGAGCAUCAUACAUCAUUACGUCAUUGGUUUUAAUAGCUUCAGAAAAUGUGAGAGUUUUAUUGUUUUUCAUUAAUGGCAUUAUAUUUCUUACAAUGGAAAAGUAAAUUUGAAUUUUGCCUAAUGACGUGCAAAAUAUAAGUGUGGGGCAAUUUGAUAAAUGCAAGACAUACAUAUGAUUUUAAUCCUUACAUUAUGUUUUUUUAAUGUUUCUUGAUCUUAUUUGAGCUUAUUAGAAGUUAUUUAAUGAGUUUGGCGUACCUAAAAAACUUUGAGAAUUAAUUGCUAAAAGAUAAGAAAUUCUGCAUUUUAUAUUUUGGACUUUACUUCUUGUGAUAGGUUUUUUACCAAGUUAGAGUUCCAGAAUGUGAACGUAGGCUUAAUCUAAGUUUAAGUACACAUAUCAAGCUUUUCAGAAAGGUAUUAUAGGCAUAAAUCCGAGUUUAUUUGGAUCUCUAAAUAGAACUGUAAAGAUCAGGUCGGAAUCCUACUUGUAGCAAGAUUCUCUGUUUUCACACUUAAUAUUCCGACGGACAUAUCUUGAGCUUUAGAUAUCGAAGUCAGGCCAUUCAAAAGCCUAAAUUCAUCGGCACAUUCAGGGUGACAAUGUUUAUGAAGGGCUCCAUAUCAGAAAGAAUCGUUUUCAAGAUGAAAAGUCUAACGCAAGAUGAAGGACGAGUUUUAUCUCCUAAUCUGAAGGAAAACUAACAGUUUGAGAGUAUUAUCGUUAAGAAAAAAAUCUAAUGGGAUCAAAUAGAUUUUCUCUACAACCUAUAACCUCCUAAUCUUUACCCUUGAUAUCUUAUUAUGAAGGCUACCUAUUAAGAUAUAAAAAUACCAAGAGAUCAAUGUGAGAAGGGAUAUUUUUUUUUUUUGUUGGAAUUUUCACAAAGGACUUAGCUACUGGAAUUUCCUAGAGGAUGAGCAAUUAAAUCUUGAGUUCAGUUCAAGAGAAAUAGACUUUCUCUCCCUUAGCAGUUGUGAAAAGUAACGUUUUCAUUGUAAUUCUUUCAUAUUCAAGUACUUAUUUAUCAUUAUGCUAUUGAUUUCUUUUCAUGGUAAUUGAAUUGUUUUGAGAUAGCACAUGUGCUUUCUAGUUUCUUUCAAUCUAUAAUUGUUGUUAGGGACAAGAAUGAAAAGCAAAAGAAUUAACUUGAUUGAUACAACUUUCACCUUAAUUUGUUAGAAAAGAAUAAGCUAAGUUAAAUUGUUCAAGUUUUUGAAUGGUUGCUUAGAAUAAAUUUAAUAGAAUUUUCUCCUAAGGCUAGUGUCGAGUGAAUGAGAAUUGUUUUUCAAUAUUAAAUUCUCUUGAUGAUAAGAAAUUGAUUAGAAAGUUUUGUCUAAUUAAUUUACUCAUAAUCUCCUCGACCUCUCUUAGCUUUAAAUGAUAUUGAAUUUAUUUGCUUAACUUGUAAGGAUAUUUAUGUUAGUUUGAUGAUCAAUAGAUUUAUAGGAAUGAAUGUCUAGACCCUUGAACUAAAUUAACGAUAUAUCGAUUCAGCAUUUUAUUUUCAAAAUCUUGUUUAAAUUUUGAUUCAAAUCACCUUCUGUCCUUUUUUAUUUCAGUAUCUUAUAAGAAGAUUAAACAAGAUUUUUCUUAGGUUCACUCUGGUUUUCACGGUCAUACUACAAAAUUAUUUUGCUAUCAAUAAUAAAAUUAAAAUUAUAUUUUGAAGGUUUCAAUUACUAACCAAUUAGAGUUUGCCUUACCCAAUUGAAGAAAUCGCAAAUUGGUCCUCUCUCAUAGGAGUUGGAGGAAUUUUCUGGCUCCCUUGAAAACCUACUCAUAAUGGGAUGGGAUGAUAAACUGGAGCGUUGUACCACAUCAGCUUCAACACCUCACUUCCGAAAUUGGAGAGAGGAAUUUUUACCUUUAUCCUCUAUAUUUUAUAUGUUUAUUUGAUUCUCAUGUUUUAUCUUCCCUUUGAAUUUACUAAUGAAUUAGAACAAAAGAAAGAAGAAGAUGAUAGCUUGCCAAAACUCAUUGCAAAUUCUUUCUCAUGCUGCUAACUGCUUGCCUACUAAGUACACUACUUUUCUUUUCUUUUUCUCUGGCGUCUAAUUGAUUGUAUGUAGCCACUGUUCACAGAGUUGGUUUCUUUCAUAGCUUCUAUUUAAAUGUCCAAAAUUUAAAAUUUUUGCCUUUCUGCUUAAUUAACGCAAGGCAUGACUUUUUUUGCAAUCCCUGUUUCCAUAUGUAAGAUAAUAAUUGCUUGCUUUUAUUACACCUACCUUUCUGUUCAUAAUUUUGGUUCAUAAUUAACGCAAGGCAUGGCUUUUUUUGCUUUCUUUGAGUGCAAAUGUGCUGCUCUAAUAUAGCAGAUUCAAUUUCUAAUUCCUGUGUUAAGGGUUGCUUUCGUUAUUGUAGAAAAAUUGACUGUGCAGCUUACACUAGAGAUAUCUAUUUCUGAUAUUUUGUUUAAGGUUACGGUGUCUUUUAUUGUUUUGUUUAAUUGCUUUUCCAGCUGUUCUGCUCAAUUUUAAAUCAUAGGUGAGGAGUUAAGCACAAUAGUUGGUUCUAAAAUAAUAAACUUAUUAUAUUAUUUUUAAAUUUUGUUGCAAUUCAAUGGUGUGAUUCAGUUUAGCAAGCUCAUAGACAAGUAAAACACCUGCCUGAUUCAUUGUCUGCACUUCUAGACUUUUGUUUCAUUUUCCUAAUGCCAAUUUGGUUGUGAAGGUCCUGCAUGAUGGUUUAUUUGCUUUUUAAUCUUUCUUUUCUUUUCUUUUUUUUGAACCUGAUUGAAUGAUCACACAUUGGUUUAGGGAUUCUGAAGGAAGGAUAAUACUUGCAGAUUUCAAGAAAGUGGAUAAUCAGGCAUGUGCACAGAUUGCAGAAGUCCAAGCUAUUAUACAUAGAUUAGCAUAGGCAAGAGCUAUUGGUUUGCUAGUACAGAUGUGGAACUUGACAGAUUCUUGGUUAUUUCGCAAAAUGACAAGCCGUUUUAGUCUGCACUACUUGUAAUCCACCUUAUAUGAUGAUGUUGAUAUUGUGGACCUAGGGAUAUGAUUUUUUGAAACAGUUGUGGUUGUGACUGUUAUUUUAUAUAACUUUAGGAUUCUGUUAAUAUUUAUCUUUAGGCUAAAUAUUAGGAAUGAGUUGGAUUCCAUUUAUAACACAUACUUCCGUGUGUAUAUAUAUAUAUAUAUAUAUAUAUAAGAAGAGUGGAACUCAGGGGAUACUGAUUCCAAAACAAAGUUCUCUGUUUCUGUUUUCUCUAGGUUUUCUAAGUAUCUUGACAUGGUAUCAAGAGCAGGUUACUAGAUUAUCUGUCCUUCAUGAUUUUUUUUCUCCUUCUCAGGAGAGCUUCCUUGUGGGUUCUCUAUUCUCGGUACUGUCUUAGUCAAUUUUUGGAGACCUUGCUUUUUAGUUCAACAACCAGGAUUUCAUCAACUUCCAUUCUGUUUUUGGGUUCUAUUCUUGUUUCAGUGGUUUUUGGAUUUCUGCAUUUUUUUUCUCUGGUUCAGUUGGGCUAUUUCAGCUCAUAUUUUUUCUGGUUUGGGAAUCACUUUUUAGCGCCAUCUGUUCAAGCAUUCUGGUGAGUUACUUCCUUUUGGCACCUCUGUUGUUAUUCUCGCGUGUGAUUAUUUUCCUCCACUGCAUCAUCAUGUCAUACGAUAAAGUUGACUCGUUUCAUAUUCGGUUUACUGGUAAAAACUAUUCUGCUUGGAAGUUUCAAUUUAAAUUAUUUGUUAAAGGCAAAAAAUUAUGGGGUCAUAUUGAUGGGAGUACUCCCGCACCUCAAGAGGUUGAGGCUUUGUCUAAAUGGGAAAUCAAGGAUGCUCGGGUUAUGACUUGGAUUCUUAGCUCAGUUGAGCCUCACCUUAUUCUCAAUCUGAGGCCUUAUACAACUGCCGCCACUAUGUGGAAUUAUCUUAAUCAAGUUUACAAUCAAGACAACAUGGCUCGGUGUUUUCAAUUAGAGUAUGAGAUGGCUAAUUUUACAUAGGGAAGUCUCUCCAUUGAGGAAUAUUUUUCUGGUUUUCAAAAUCUUUGGGUUGAUUAUUCAGACAUUGUUUAUGCUAAUGUUCCCGUUGUAGCUCUAUCUGUUGUUCAAGCAGUGCAUGACACAAGCAAGAGAGAUCAAUUCUUGAUGAAGCUUCGUUCUGAUUUUGAAACUGCACGUUCUAAUCUGAUGAAUCGUCAUCCUGUACCAUCUCUGGAUACCUGUUUGAGUGAACUCCUUCGUGAGGAACAACGUAUUGUCACUCAGACUGCCAUGGAACAUCAGGCUAAUGUUAAUGCACCUGUUUUUGUGGCUUAUGCAGCACAAGGGAGGAAUAAGGGUAGAGACAUGUGUGUUAUCCAGUGCUUUAGUUGUAAAGCUUUUGGUCAUAUUGCUCGGGAUUGUCCUAAGAAGUUCUGUAACUACUGCAAGAAACAAGGUCAUAUCAUCUUUGUUUGUCCCAUUCGACCUGAACGGAAGCAAGGUACUGCUUAUCAUGCCUCCACUAGUGCCUCUAGUUCUACUGCAUUGCCUGUUGCCUCGCCAAUUGUUCCUAUUCCUGCUCCUAUAGCUUUAGCAAACCCGAAUACACUCACUCCUGAAAUGGUACACCAGAUGAUUAUUUCUGCUUUUGGGCUCUCAGGUAAUCAUAAAUUUUCUUCUAAGCCAUGGUAUCUUGACUCUGGGGCCUCUAACCAUAUGACCAAUACUGUUGUUCCUCUUUUCAAUGUUAGAAAUUAUGAGGGCAGUCUAAAAAUUAACACUGCCGAUGGCAACUCUCUGCCUAUCAGUGUUGUUGGUGAUCUUUCCUCUUCCUUAACCGAUGUUUUUGUGUCUCCUGACCUCUCUACAAAUCUUAUUUUUGUUGGUCAAUUAGUUGACAAUGAUUGUGAUGUCCAUUUCUCUCAUUCUGGUUGUGUUGUGCAGGAUCAAGUGUCAGGGAAAAUGAUCGCGAAGGGGCCUAAAGUGGGCCGACUCUUUCCUCUUUACAUUUCUCCUUCCAUUAUUAUUCCUAGUUUCCCUUUAUUGUCUUUUGCAUGUAAUGUUGUUGGUUCUGAAAAAAAGAUAUGGCAUAAACGUCUAGGCCACCCAAACUCUGAUGUACUUCAUACUUUGAUUAAUUUUGGAUUAUUGGGAAAUAAAGCAUGUUCUUCUCUUGAUCUUUCUUUUGAUUGUACAUCAUGCAAACUUGGCAAAAGUAAAGUUCUACCUUUUCCUCGUCAUGCAUCUCGUGCCUCACAAUGUUUUGACAUUAUUUAUAGUGAUGUUUGGGGUAUUGCACCCGUUGUUUCUCAUGCACAUUACAAGUAUUUUGUUACUUUCAUUGAUGACUUUAGUCGUUUUACUUGGGUUUACUUCCUCCGGGCUAAGGCUGAAGUUUUCUCAGUCUUUAAGUGCUUUCUUGCACUUCUUGAGACUAAAUUUUCUGCCCGCAUCAAAGUCUUGCGCUCUGAUUCUAGCGGUGAAUACAUGUCUAAUGAGUUUUAUGCCUUUCUUCAAAGCAAAGGGAUCAUCUCUCAGCGUUCUUCUCCUUCUACACCACAGCAAAAUGGUGUUGCUGAGAGGAAAAAUCGUCACCUUCUUGAUGUGGUACGAACUCUUUUACUUGAAUCAUCUGUUCCUCCUCGUUUUUUGUGUGAAACACUUUCCACUUCAGUUCAUUUGAUCAAUCGCUUACCCUCUCCUACGUUAAAUCAUGUUUCUCCUUUCUUUAAGUUGUUUGGUCAUUCUUCUUUAUAUUCUAAUCUUCGUACAUUUGGUUGUGUUUGUUAUUUUCAUCUCCCUACUCAUGAACGAUAUAAACUUACUACUCAGUCUGUUAAGUGUGCUUUUCUUGGUUAUGCUAUCCCUCAAAAAGGUUAUGUUUGUUAUGAUCCACAUGUUCGUCGCAUACGAGUUUCUCGGAAUGUGAUUUUUUUUUAAAAUCAAUAUUUCUUUCCAUCUCAUAUUGAGCAGCCAUCUGCAUUCUUAUCUCUUUUGCCUAGCUUUUCCGAUUCCACAACAAUUAUGGAAAGAUUCAAACCUGGUUUUAUUUAUGAAAGACGUAAUCGACAUGAGUCUGGUUCUACUUCCCCCGUGCUCCCUUCCGAUCUUGACUCGACGCCUGAUCCUGCUUUUACUUCCACCACCCUUCGUCGGUCCACUCGUCCUUCUCGACCCCCUAAUUGGUAUGGUUUCUUCUCUCCUGUCUCUCUUGUUGCUACAUUAUCCACUAUUUCCGUUCCAUCUUGCUACAAACAGGCCAUGAAACAUGAGUGUUGGCAACAUGCAAUGCAAACAGAACUUCAAGCACUUGAGGAGAAUCAUACUUGGGAUAUUGUUCCUUGUCCUCCUACAGUAAAACCUAUUGGGAGUAAAUGGGUAUUUUCUGUAAAACUUCAUUCUGAUGGCUCUUUGGACCGACACAAAGCUCGCCUCGUAGCUCUGGGUAACAAACAGGAAUAUGGGGUUGAUUAUGAGGAGACCUUUGCUCCUGUUGCUAAAAUGACCACAGUUCGAACCAUUUUAGUUAUUGCCGCUUCACAGUCGUGGCAACUACAUCAAAUGGAUGUGAAGAAUACCUUUCUUCAUGGUGAUUUGCAAGAAGCGAUUUACAUGAAGCUUCCUUCUGGUAUGACUACUUCUUUUCCUCAUGAUGUCUAUAAACUAAAGCGUUCUCUGUAUGGGCUUAAACAGACACCCCGGGCUUGGUUUGAGAAGUUUCGCAAUACAUUUCUUGACUUCAAUAUCACACAAAGUAGGUAUGAUUCUUCUCUCUUUUUUCACACGUCUGCGUUGGGUAUAGUCCUUCUCUUGGUUUAUGUAGAUGAUAUUAUUAUUACUGCAUUGACUGUGGUUUGAUUACUAAGCUUCAACAACUGUUACAUGCAACUUUUCAUAUGAAAGAUCUUGGUCACCUCACAUACUUCUUAGGAUUGGAAUUUCAUCAUCGGGCCAAUGGUAUAUUUGUGAACCAGCAUAAGUAUAUUCAAGAUCUUAUUACUUUGGCUGGUUUAGAGGACACUUCUUCUGUUGAUACUCCUAUGGAGGUAAAUGUCAAAUAUAGGAAAGAUGAAGAGGACCUUCUAGAUGAUCCUACUCUCUAUCGGCGCCUGGUUGGGAGUCUUAUCUACUUGACCACUACUCAACCUGAUAUCUCCUAUGCUGUUCAUCAGGUUAGUCAGUUUAUGUCUUCUCCUCGGCAUCUCCAUCUUGCUGCAAUUCGACGCAUCAUCCGCUAUCUUCAAGGUUCACCUACUCGUGGGUUGUUCUUUCCUACCGACUCAUCUCUUCAACUUGUUGCCUAUAGUGAUGCUGAUUGGGCUGGGUGUCCAAAUACACGUCGAUCUACUACGGGUUGGUGUAUGUUUUUAGGUAAUGCCUUAAUUUCUUGGAGAUGUAAGAAACAAGAUCGUGUUUCUAAAUCCUCUACCGAGGCUAAGUAUCGUGCCAUGUCUACUGCUUGUUCUGAAAUAGCAUGGCUACGCGGUCUUUUUGAGGAGCUUGGGUUUCCUCAGACUACUCCUACUCCUCUUCAUGCUGAUAACACUAGUGCUAUUCAGAUUGCCACCAAUCCUGUUUUUCAUGAACGUACCAAGCACAUUGAGGUUGAUUGUCAUUCUAUUCGAGACACCUUGGAAAGUCGAGUGAUAUCUCUUCCUAACAUCUCUUCCGAUCUCCAAGUUGCUGAUAUCUUCACCAAAACUAUGACUCGACAGCGACAUCAAUUUUUUAUUGACAAAUUGUUGCUAGUUGACUUACCAGCAUCAAUUUGAGGGGGGAUGUUAUUGUAUAUAACUUUAGAACUCUGUUAAUAUUUAUCUUUAGGCUAAAUAUUAAGAAUGAGUUAAUUCCAUUUAUAACACAUACUUCCGUGUGUACAGAUGAAAUAUAUAUAUAUAUAUAUAUAUAUAUAUAUAUAUAUAUAUAUAUAUAUAUAUAUAUAUAAAAGAAGAGUGGAACUCAGGGGAUACUGAUUCCAAAACAAAGUUCUCUGUUUCUGUUUUCUCUAGGUUUUUAAGUAUCUUGACAGUGACAGCCUGUUGUCACCUAGAGAAGAACCCCACUUUGUAGUCUAUUUAUUGAUUUACUGGAACAGUUUAAGUGGACUACAGUCCCAUGAGGUUUACUCCAUACUGCGGGUUUUCCACGUAAAAUUAUCGUGUCUUGUUCUUGUGAUUGCUGGUCUUGGAUUGUGUUACUGUUGUAUAUUUUGAUUCAUUUUUGGAGAAGUAGUGGGACUUGUGCUUGUUUAUGCCUGCUAGAGCAAAAAUUUACUGAAGCUAGUGGUUCUGAGUGGCUCAGGAUUUCUGGUAUCCCACAAAUCAAGAUGGAUCUCCACUUUAUACAAAGAAGUUUCACAUCAUCAAGUUCUAUUUUUUUCUACAAGAAGUUCUCAAAAGACUCAUUUUUUAUGCCGCUAUAUUAUCUAUUGUUUUGGGAUACAACUUCAUUUUUCUUGUAUUAUCUUGUCAGUGAAUGAUGAACAACAACAUGUCUCAGUGUUAUCUCAGUUGAUUUUUGUAAUCUAUCUCCAAUUAAUGGUCUGAUUUUUUUUGGUAACCUGAUUUUCUGGGUUUUAAUCACUCUCAAUCGGAUGUUUUUAAUCUUAUCAGUGUUAUGCCAAAAUUCUAGCUCAAUCUUCUGGAAAUCUUAUGCCAAUGCUUGGAAAACUGGUUCAAAAAAAUUUCAAUUCGUUCAGCAAUGAAACUUGAUUCUGAUAUCAGUUGUGUCAGAGGAUUUAAGGCGUUCAAUAGGCAGCAACUUCCAUUUUCUGAUAUGUAGAAAGUCUCAGCAACUACACAUGCGAGCCAUUCUGAUAAAUUUACCUCUAAUGCUUUUAGUAAUACAGGCACGGCUAUUGCUACUUGUAGAUAUCUUGCAUGGGAUAGAGAACAUGGUGGCGGAUUAUCUUCCUAAAGUGACUCAACUUCAAUGAACAGUUGCAAUAUUUUUGCUCUGUCUAAAGGCAAGUGUUCUGGACUGUGCAGGAUGUUGUCAUCGUCAAUGCCAUUCAUUUUCUUCCGUUUCUUCUUGCAUGUAUGUUUCAAUCUCUUCACACUCAUAGGGUGUAGUCCAUUUGUAAGCUUAAACUACUAAUAUGAGUUGAGCAAGACAACUUCUUGGCAUUGAUUGAGCAGGACAUUUAUAAUAAACAGAUCACAUAAAAGCUGUGUUCUGAAGGUAUUUACUUACUGAUUAGAUUAUAUGGAGGUAUACAGUAGAAGAAUUAAUUUACUUAAUUAUUAGCUGACAGAUUAGUUUCAAUUUUCAAAAGUUUUAUAACAGAAGAGUACAUCAAAACUCUCACACACCCCUUCUACCAGAGUCAGACUUGGUCAAAGAUCUUAAUCUAACAAGAAACUUUGCCUUCCUCUUCUUUCCAUUAGUCUUCCCCGGAGAUGAGUCCCAAUUCUCCGGUGACCCCACCGUUAACACACUCUGAGGUGACCUUGUCAAGGCCGCCAUAUCUUCAUACUCUAUACUGGUAUUUAGAUGUUCAGUGCUGCCAGUACUCAAAAUUCUGGCUUGCAUUGCAGACACCACUUCUUUUAUUGCUAAAUCAACAUUGUUCCCUCUAUUCCGCAGCAAUAUCUCCCCUAUCUGAGCAGGAGUGAGUGCGCCACCUGACCGUAUACAGCUCUCUACCACAUCAAAAGAAGAAUGCCACUCUAUCCCAAGAUAGUUCAUAGCCAAUGCCUUGAAUGCAUGCAUCCCACAGGUGCCUAAGCUAACAUGCACGUCCAUCCGCCCGCAUCGAACCAAUGCAGGAUCCACAUUUUCUCGAUGAUUGGUUGUGAACACUAUUAUCCUCUCCUCCCCACAACAAGACCAUAAUCCAUCUGUGAAGUUGAGGAGACCUGAUAAGGUAACACGCCCACUCUCCUCUAAUAACUGAUCAUUGCCUGUACCCAGGUCCUUAUUAUAACCUGAUGAUGAUGAUCUUUUCCUUCUUGUUGCAGUAGCAGUAGUGGCCUUCAUCAUUCUAUCAGCAGUCAGAUCAAGGGAGCAGUCUAUGUCCUCAAUGACAAUUAUUGAUCGAUUACUAGUCUGGAUUAGUAGAGCUCUGAGCUCUGAGUUGUCAGUGACUUUGGUGAGUUCAAGAUCAUAAACAUCAUAGCACAAAUAAUUAGCCAUUGCAGCUAUCAGACUUGAUUUGCCCGACCCUGGUGGACCAUAAAGCAAGUAUCCCCUCUUCCAUGCCCGUCCAACUCUGUGAUAAAACUCUCUGCCACUAGCAAAUGCCUUCAAGUCCUCCAUCAUCUGCUUCUUCAAGUGAGGCUCCAGAGCCAGCGUUUCGAAGGUGGAUGGAUGACGGAAAGGAACUGAGACCCAGCCUGACUCGUAUGAAGCAUUGCCAUUGUUAGUAAACAGCCUCCUUUCUCUUGACACUCGCUCAAACUCUUCAGCACGUGAUGUCACGUGCUGGAUAUAAGGCGACAGCAGCAAAUGCCGGAGUCGCUUUGGAAGCUUGAGAGUGAAGCUACGUUUCUCUUCUAAUGAGUCCUGGACAGUGUCCACAUGGUGUGUCCAAGAAAGAGAAUGGCCAUUGAAGGAGUCGUGGAUGGUAUGAUUGGGAGCUAUAGUGAAGGAAAUGCAAUUGGAUGACUUGGAACGGGAGAGGGUGAAGCGUCGGCAGGUGGAGGCAGUGGCAGAGGAAUUGACAGAGUUGAGAUAGAGGUUGACAUGGCGGUAGAGAUCAUUGAUUUCAACACCACAGUAGCCAUUAAAUUCAGGGAUGUCAAAGUAUGAAUAUGGGGAGAUGAAGUCCUGGAGGGACUCAUAGAGGGAGUGAAGAAGGGAGAGGAGUUGUGUAGGUAAGAUGUUUUGAAGAACUGUGAGAAGGCCUAAGAGUGACCAAAGUUGUGACAAUAUCUCCAUGUUUGUCUGUUGUAUGUUUUUUGGGUUGGUGAAUUGUGAUUUUGUCUCUGCCUAGCUAUAUGCAAUGUUUGAGGAGGUUCGGCAUUUAUAUCAUGGAAGAUGACAAAUGGGAGGAGGGUGGGGAUUGUUGAUUGAUGAUUAUGUUGGGUAUAUAGUGUAUCUAUAUGGUUUUGAGUAAGAUAUAUGCAACCUUAUGGAAAACUCUAAAAAGAGACAUAUGAAGGCAAAGACAGUGAGUGUUCAGAGGUCUGGAAAAAGCAGCAGCAAAGAUAAAGCUAAAGGUGAAGCCGACCAGUCUUCUUUUGCUUUUGUUUUUCCAUGUAAGCUGCAAUAGCACUAAUAGACGCGCUAGCUAGAGUAGAAAGAAAGAAAAAAAGUAGAGAAGAGGCACACUAGGGCAUGGAGUGUGCAUGUAAACACACGAGAAGAUAGAUUGCUUUUGCUUUUGCUUUUGCUCCCCUCUUUACCAAUCAUCUUUUGCUUUUUCCUUCUCUUAAUAUGGGGUUCGCUUAGGUCAGAGAAUGUUCUUGGGAAUAAUUACACUCAUCAUGAUCAGAGGAUAUAUGCAUGAUAAUUGUGCAAUUGGUGACAGCAUAUAGUAGUAGUCCCGUAAAUCCUAUUCAUGAUGUUUCACAUUUACACUGUAUUACAUAGCUCUCCCAUUCAAUCAAUCAACUUGGUUCUCUUUUCUUAAUCUGACUUUCUUUUCUCUAUACAUGCAUCAUCACUGGAAUUAAUAUUGAGAAAUGUGUUAUAUACCUUGAGAGGCUAAGAUUUGCCGUGGCUAGCCACUUAAUUUCGGAUGAUUGCUAAAAAAAAAGUAUUAGAAGUAUAGAUAUAAAUCCCGAUUUAGCUCAAGACUUGUUAUGUUAUAAGUUGAAUAGGUCAAUUCAGAUUAAGAAAAGAUAUAAAAUUAGUCGAGGUUAAUCUACUAAAUUGACUAGAUUAACUUUUAAUUUUGAUAUAAAACUCCAUCCAAGUUAAUAAAUAAUUAGUUUGUCUUGCUAGCUAGGUUAUGUUAGGUUUAAUACGUGGCUUGGUUGCACACUUGAUAAUCAGCUAUGACUACUAAUUUCAGGUCCGAUCAUGAUGAAAGUGAAGCUAGCAGGAGAGAGGUCUAGCUAGGUGAGAACAAUAGAAAGGGAAAUAGGGCAUAUUGCAAAAAUUAAUGCUGCCACUUUUAUAUCCUUUUAUAUUCAGAAAAUUAGCUUUGAAGAUGACGAGUAAAGUUUCUUGAGAAAUCCCAGGAAUAAAAUUCACAUGAAAGGGAAUGUGGAAAAGUUGUAGAAAUUUCAUUGUUAAUUUGUUCGAAAUUAAUUAUAAAGAUCCAUUUGGAUAGUCCACUUAGUCUAAAAGGAGUACUCCGACGUUGGAUCUUAUAUAAUCACCUUGAUCGUGCAUGCCCUGUUUCCUCAUGUCAUCAGUAGUUUUUUCAUGGCAUUAUAAAAUUUUAGAAUGCAUGAUUUAACCAAAUUUAUGCUGGUAAAUGCACGAUCCGAUUCCAAGCUGGGAAAGAAAGAAUUAAUCACUGCUCUAUUUUCUUCACUUUUUUUGUUGUGAAAAGAAGAGUGGCGGUGGAUAAUGAGCGGAUCGAACAUAUUCUCUUCCGCUCCACUCGAAAAUUUCUCAAAACUUUGAAUGCUUUAAUUUGCUUUUAAGCAAAGUUUGAUUUACAGUUCUUUUGCCAAAAUUUGGUCCAAAAAUACUUUGAAGAAAGUGAGGGAUUGCUCACCCUUCAGAUUGCAAUCUAGCGGUGAUAUACCGCUGUCCUACAUGUGUUUUGGUUACACUUUUAGUUUUUUUAAGCUAUGAAAAAUGGUUGAGAUUUGUUAAAGGAGAAAACAAAGCAAAAGGGGAAAAAAGAAAAAAAAGGGUUUUUGUUAACAUGAAAAGCCACAACCAGCAAGCAUGGAGGGCUUGGAGAAAACUCGGAAAGCUGUGCUUCUAGCUAGCUAGCUAGGAGAAUCAAGAAUAAAGCCAUGGAUUAUAAAGGCUCCACCUCCAAUGUCAAACAUCAAGUGGCUAGGAUUCCAUCAACCAAGAAUUCUAUCAUAUAUAUAUAUAUAUAUAUGCACACUAUCAGUGUAGUAUAUAAAGCAUAGUUAAUUAAGAUGACCAAACACAGUAGAGUUGUCCAUGCAUGCACUGUAAUUAAUUUCUUUUCAACAUGAGUUUGCAUUGCUUUCCUUGUCAAAAUCUCAUGUUUUUAGGGUUAUUUUAACGUAUAUUUUGCGUCUCUAUAUAUGAUGGUUGGUUUGCUAAGAUAACUACUUGUUGUGAUGAUGGAUGACGAUAGUUCUUCCCUUGAAAAUCAUCAAAGAUCAUUAACGACCAGUCAAGAGGCAUUGACAGUUGGGAUUCUUCUUGUCCUAGACUAGGACUGUACUAAGUGUACUUUAUUAACAAGUGGAGAGACAGUGCGUGGACAAAAGCAGUGCUUUAUUAACAAAAGAAGAAGAAAGAGAUAAAGAAGCUUUGGAAUGGCAACUUAUCCACCUCACACUGCGCCCUCACACAUGAUGAGAAGAAGAAGAAGAAGCAGCAGCAGCUAGCUAGAUUGGGUUUUGAACUUCAUUAUAAUUUAUAUCCCCACAACGAAGAAGAAGAAGAAGAAGAAGAAGCUAGGUAGAUUGGGUUUUGUAUGUAAUUAUUAAUAAAUUAAGAAGCUCUUAUGAAUAAACAACGUCCGAUUAAAAGGAAAUUGAAAUGAAAAAUCAAUUAAAAUGCUCCUUUUCCAUUUUUAAUUUAAGUUUUGUGUCUGUGUGUGUUAGCUUCACAAGUAGAGAUGGCAUAUACUAAAAAGGGAGGGUUGGAUUUUCACAUGACAUUAAUCAUCUAAUUACAUCAUUUAUAAGAUAAUCCUGGUAGUCACUGUUUGAGCACUAAAAAAUGGGAUAAAAAGAAAAAGGAAAGCAUAUUUGCAUUUUACCUAUAUUGUACUGUUUUAAAUUAUUUAUUUCACAUUGAGACAUCUUGUUAUAAUUAAUUACAACAAGAAUUUCAAAUAAAUUAAUUGAAAAAAAUGAAUUAGUGAUUAUAUAUGUUGAUAAAACAAGAAUAAGAAUUGUAAUGAAAUUUCUAAAUAGAAUUGUAAGAUAAUACAUGGAUAUAUCUAAUUUUAUAUUUUAGAAAAUCCACAACUUCGUUCGUUAUUAUUAUUGUUUUUUAUUUUUAUUUUCUAUUUUUUAGAAUUUUGAAAACAACUUUUAAACAUAGAAAAUAAAGAAUAACGGUAGAAGAAUUAACAAUUGGGAUAAAAAAUGAUAGAAUUUGGCAAGCUAGUAAGUAAAAAUCUUGAAAAUAAAUUUUAGAAAACAAAAAAGAAAAAAUAUCAAUGUACCAAUCAAGCACUAAGAUAAUAUUUGAUUACUAUCCCUAGAUAAAAGAGACGGAGAUAGAAGAGACAAGAUAGAAAAGAAAACAGAGACAAAAUUAUGUUUGGUAGUGAUGUACAAGAUAAAAUAAUUGUUUCUAUAUUUUGUUUGGUUAUGGUGGACAAAACAUAAUAAAAUAUAAUAAAAUAUAUUUUAUCUUUAAUAUAUAUUUUUAUCAAACUUACAUAUUUAAAAAUAAAAAACAAUUAGAUAUUUUUUUUGCUUUAGUUAUAAAACCAAGACUACUUGACUGAUUGACCCGGGACAUGAAUUGUUCAGAGUUUAAGAAAAAAUAAAGAAAUGAUUGACUUGACUUGACCCGGUUAAAAACUCGUGUCAACAGAGAUAAAACACGAGUCAAAUUGUCUUAUUUGAAAUACAAAUUUAGUCAAAAUAAGAUUUCUUUGAUUUUUUUAAAAAAAGAAAACUGGGUCAGUUGGGUUAACCUUUCCGACCUAUGACAUGAACUAGGAGUGAGCAAAAAAACCGAAAAACCGAUUAAACCGAGAAAACCGGAAAAAAAAAUAACAGAAAAAAUUGAAUCGUGAAAAAAAACUGAUCGCUUUGGUUCGGUUUCGGUUUUAUAAGCCUGAAACCGAAAAAACCGAACCGAACCGAACCCAAACCGAGAAAACCAGGAAAAAAAUAACAGAAAAAAUCGAAUCGUGAAAAAAACCGAUCGGUUUAGUUCGGUUUCGGUUUUAUAAGCCUGAAACCAAAAAAAGCGAACCGAACCGAAUCCAAACCGAGCAAAACCGGAAAAAACCGAGCCAAAACCGAGCUAAACCGGUUUGAACCGGUUUUUUUCCAAAAAAACUAAAUCGAACCGAACCGAAACCGGUCAGUUUGAACCAGUUUCGGGUUUUUUUUAAAUCGAUUUGGUUACUUUUUUUUAUAAAAACCGAACCGAACCAAAAAUGAUCACCCCUAACAUGAACCUUGCCUCGGGUCGACUCUCUAGUUAGGUUUUAAAACUAUGAAAAUUAUCACUUUUACUCAUAUAUUGACUCGGGUCAACAUGGGUUGACCCUCCUGGUUCGUAACUUGGACCUUGCCUCAGUCGAUCCCUAAAUUGAGUUUUAAAACUAUAAUAAUAACAAUUUUUAUCCUUACAUUGACAUGUAUCAAUCUAGGUUAACUCUCCUGAUCAAUGAUCUAAGCUUUACCCUAGGUUAACCCAAAAUCAAGUUUUAAAACUAUGAUAAUAACUACUUUUAUUUUAUAUUGACCAAGGUUAACCUGGGUUGACCCUCCUAACACGUCUCUCGAGCCUUAUCCUAAAUCAAUCCCCAAGUCGAGUUUUAAAAUUAUGAUAAUAAUUAUUUUUAUUUUUAUAUUGACCUAGGUCAACUUUCAAUCUCACUCGUGACCCGAACCUUGCCCUGGAUCAUUUUGCGAAUCGAUUUUCAAAAUUAUGAUAAUAACCAUUUUUAUUGUUAUGCUGACCCGGGUCAACCCGACUCGUGAUACGGGUCUUAUCCUAGGUCGAGCCCUGAAUCGGAUUUUAAAACUAUGAUAAUAACUAUUUUUAUUCUUACGCUGACUCGAGUCAACUCGAGUCAUCCCGACCCAUGACUAGGGCCUCGACCAGUGACCCAGGAUUUGCCCCGGAUUGAUCCUCGAGUUAAAUUUUAAAAUUAUAAUAAUUAUUAUUUUUAUCCAUAAAUAUCUUAAUUGGAAAAUUUUAAAAUUAAGAUUUUUUUACAAUGAUAUUUUAAAAUUAAAAUAAUAAAUAUUAUCUUAAAACUUAUUUUCUUUGUACCUCCUAUUUUAAAAAUACAAAAUUAUCUCUAAAAUUAUCUUUUUAAAAAAUUAAUUUUUAUAUUCUUACAUUUAUUUUAUCAACUAAAUAUAUUUUUAUCGCUAAUAUUUUCUCCGUUACUUAAAUGUCAUCAAAUGCAAUUAGUUGCAGUAGUGGUAAGUAUAGAAAGAGAGCGAAGGGGAAACGUGUGAAAUGGAGUGGAGAGCCCGCAAGAAUAAAUGGGCUUUCCUCUAAAUGGUCCUCGGCCCAUUAUGUAUAAGACCUAGAAGAUCUCAGUAACUUGAAAUCAUGUGUUCUUCUAAUUCGCUGAAUCGUUUAUUUUUGCUCUCUUAUUUUUAUAAUUAAUUAAUUAGUGAUCUUUCUUUUCUUUUAUUUUUUAAUUUAUCUGGGGUACAGUAAUUUUCAUUUAUUAAGGGUUGAUUUGUUUGUACAAUACAUUGUAAAAAAAUGGUGCAUCAGACACUGAAUAAUUUUAUGUCAUGAGUGACCGCUAUAAAAUUAUAUUAACGAGGGAAAAUAUAUUUUAGAGUCAACAAAGUUAAAUGUAAACCGAAAGAACAUGUUUCUUUUAUUAGGUAAAUCACCAAGAAUAAUUGAAUUUUUAGGUUGAAAUGAUUUUUUAAAAUAGUAUUAGAGUCUUGUUGACCAAGUAAUUACGAGUUCAAAUCUUAUUACCCUUAUUUUAUUUGAUAAAAAUUAAACACAAAGUAGUAUGAAUAUAUAUAAGUUUCAAGCCCAAAACGCUUUCAUUUAAGAAAAUAUAUUAGAGAAUAAUAUAAAUAAUUUCUUAAGGUCUCACCUAAUAGCUUAAGCUUUUAGGUGAAAUGAUUCUUUGUGAUAUUAGAGCUAGCCUUAAUGACCAAAAUAAUUACAAGUUCAAAUCUUAUCACUCUCAUUCUAAUUAAUAAAAAUUAAGCACAAUAUAUUAUGGGCACGUACAAGUUUAAAGUUCAAAGGGUUUUCACUUGAGGAAGUGUUUUAGAGACUAAUAUAGAACUGUGCUUGGAACCUCAUGUAAUAACUUAAACUUUUAGAUUGAGAUAAUUUUGACUAGUAUUAGAGACUUAUUGACCAAAUAGUCACGAAUUUGAAUCUCAUUACCCUUAUUUUAUUUGAUAAAAAUCAAGCACAAGGUAGUGUUAGCAUAUGAAGGUUUCAAAUUCAAAGGGUUUUCGCUAGAGAGUGUAUUAGAUAAUCAUAUAAAUCAUAUAUCAAAACCUUAUUUUUACAUUUAUGUUGUAUCUAAAAUAAUCUUCUCAAUUUAAAAUUUUAAGUUAUUAGAUGAGAUUUUAAAAAUAAUUUUAUAUUAUUUUCAAAUAAUUGGAAGGUGGGAAAAAUAUAACUUGAAUUCUUCUUAUCUUUCCGGUACAUAAUUGAAGAUCUCACUUGUUGUCUUAGGCAAAAACCAAAAUAAAGUUGUGCACUCAUCUACCUUGAAUUCUUCUUAUCUUUCCGUUAACUUACCUCAUAAUUGUUGUGACAUUUUCCUACCUAAUGCAUCCUAAUUUUGAAAACCCAAAAUUUUUAAAUAUUAUUCCUUUCUGUGGACACUAUGAAAAGGGAUGUGUCUCCAUUUGAAACAUAGAAAAUCAUAAUUAACCUUAGCAAAAAAUAAAAUAAAAUAACUCAUAUAAGUCCGUGUUAAUCGAUUUUCAAUUGGAUCCCAAACUAUCAAUUUCACUCCCAAAGUGACAGAAGUUCCUCAAUCUAGUCACCCUUUCUGAAUCAAAAUAUUUUUUAAUGCCCAAAAGAAAUUGCUUGGGAAAUUAAAUUUUGAGUUUUUUUUUUCAAUAAAAAAGGGGAAGAGUUUAAACAGAUGACUCGAUAAAGGAAUACAUGAUACAUUGGUGACCCAAUUGAGAUAUUGAUAGUAUGGGGAUUACAUUUAAAACAAGUUCAUAGUUGAGGGACUAAUUGGUCGGUUUGGCCAAGUGAAAAGCAAGGCUCUCAGAUCACAAGACAUUCUAGGAUCCAAAACAAAUCAAAGCAAAAUGCUUUAUGCAAAGGCUAUAAUACUGCUGGAUUAUAGGACUCUUUGCUUCUUUUUUGACUGCUACAAAAUUGAAAAGUGGCAUCCAAGGCUGCACAUCAUUGCGCUGCUAUUCACACAGUCCUUCUUUUACACAGUUAUUUGCAUAGCACAAGUCAGCAGCAAUUGAUCUUGACAACCUUGUGAUUACAGAUAAAGAAAUAAAAACACAAAUACCAUUCUUUCUAUGACUACAAUCAUAUUAAUUACAACUCAGCAAAGAUUAAACGGCUCGCAAAAUCUGGAUGCCCACCAUAGAUUUUUCCUCAGCAAGCCCUUGAUCAACAGUCUCCCCCAGCAAAGAAAACUAUGCGUGAUUCUUUCAUUUGGUUACAGUACUACAGAUAUUGAUAUAUAUUACAAGUGGACAUACAUGGUGGCUAAAGGCUAAAGGCAUACUGUAUUAUGAUCUGCUUAAAAGAGGAAACCAACGCUCUUGGAAAUAAGAGUGGUAAGAGAUCAGGAAGAAGAGAAAAACAAGCAGAAACCCGACUCCCCAAGGAGUUCCUCCAGCUCUAUGUAGAGAGUCUUUCUCUGGAAAGGGAAGGUAAUAGGAAAGCCUCCUGCCAUAUUGAUGAUCAUCAUUCGAAAACCAAUGAACAAGUAGCAAAAGCAGCAAGGGAGACGCCAUUAGAAUCAGCUUCCCUUGAUCAAACAUGCCCUCUAACACCGGCUCAUAUUUGAUGUACCAAGUUAAACCAAUGAACAUUAGCAGAAUAAGCAGGAAAAAGCAAAGGUGUAUCGGUAAUGGAGGAUGAGAGUUAUAAGAUGACGAUGAAUAACUAUUACCCAUGUUUUCUUCAAUAUUAUUUCUAAUUGUUACCCUAAUAAAAAAAAAUUAGCCUUGAUGUGUUGUGAAGAGAGGGGAGACACUAAGAGGGUUUAUAUAGAGAAAUGAUGCAUGUCAGAAUUAAUUUAAUUUAGUUCUAUUUUUUGCACAAUGAAGAAAAGCGAGGACUUUACUUGCAAAA
Molecule: long non-coding RNA, 95188 nt
Filed under: Populus trichocarpa (black cottonwood)
Lineage: Eukaryota; Viridiplantae; Streptophyta; Magnoliopsida; Malpighiales; Salicaceae
Description: long non-coding RNA (PTRI_LNC000238)
Rfam family: tRNA (bases 71263-71344)
Source: RNAcentral